This 127782-nucleotide long non-coding RNA is filed under the name Eucalyptus grandis. Its description in RNAcentral is "long non-coding RNA (EGRA_LNC002202)". Lineage: Eukaryota; Viridiplantae; Streptophyta; Magnoliopsida; Myrtales; Myrtaceae. The record is from RNAcentral.
AAGAACUAUGGAAAGAGACAUUGCAUAAGUUAAGAAAAGCACCUCAUGAGGAUGUUUUUGGAAAGUUGAAGAUCAGCUAUGAUGCCUUAAAUUUCAAGCAAAAACAAAUUUUCCUCGAUAUUGCAUGCUUUUUCAUCGGUGAAGAUAAGGCAAAUGCAAUCUACCUAUGGAAAGGUUGUGAGGUUUUCCCAGAUACAGGAAUUGCUGCCCUCAUUGGCAUGUCUUUGGUGAAGAUCGUGGAGAAUGAUAAGUUUUGGAUGCACAAUCAACUUAGAGAUCUAGGAAGAGAAAUUGUUCUCCAAGAGAAUCCAAUAAAUCUUGAGGAGCGGAGUAGGAUAUGGAUUAGGGAGGAGGGCCUUCAUGCAAUAAGACCAAAGGAGGUAAAGCACUUCUAGAGAGAUCUAACUAGUUUUUGCCAUAGAUUCCACUACAUUGUACCUUAUUGGGUUUUUGUUUACUUUCCUUUUUAUAAUCCUUUGGCUUUAUGAGAUAGAAUACUAACAUCACUCAUUCCCCAUUCUCAUUUGCAGAUAAACAAAAAGGUUCAAGCACUAUCCCUUUAUUCAUCUAGACAAAGUAUGCUUGAUGACUUUGUUCAAAUUAAAAGGAUUGGAAGGUUUGAACAUCUAAGGUUCCUUAAAUUAUCAAAAUUAACCCUCAUUAGAGAUGCAACAUUUCGUCUUCCCAAAUCAAUAUUGAUUUCUUUGAAUUAUCCUCUGCAAAAACGGACCAACAUGUACCUAAAGAAUUUAGUUGUUCUUGAAUUUGUCGACGUUAUUUUCGCAGAUGAUCUGGGAUUACAAAACUCACUUAAGGUGCGCAAUAUUCUUAUUCCUAUUUUUUUUUUCUUGGAAAGUAAUAUUUGAUUGUUCAUCUAUUGAGUAUUGCAUUCAUUUUGACAGAUGGCAACAAAAUUGAAAGUUCUUUCUUUUGAAAAUUGUUGGAACAUAAUCAGAACACUCGAUUUCUCUGGAUGCCCGAAUUUAGAGAAGCUUAAUUUCAAAUGGUGUAAAGAUUUGAGGAAAAUCAGUGGCUCUAUUGGGAAGUUGAAGCGUCUAAUUGACUUGAGGAUUUAUAGCUACAAUUCUCUCAAACAUUUGCCUGAAGAAAUUGGGGACCUAGUGAAUCUACAAUAUUUUGUUGUAGAUUGUUAUAAAAUUAAGAGACUCCCGAAUUUCAUAGGGAAGUUGAAAUCAUUAUGUGAGUUGCACUUUAAAGGUUGCAUUUCUCAUAAUUUAGAUUCUGCAAAUUCAUGGAAUUUACCUUGUGUUAUUGAAAUGCUCCAGAAUCACUCUUUAAAAGAUCGACUUCCUUCUGGCAUUGGAAGUUUGCCCCUUCUAAGAAUCCUAAAUCUAUCAGGAACUUGUGUCAGUGAAGUUCCAAAGACCAUCAACAUGCUUCCUUGCCUACAAAGAAUCGAGUUGAUGGGAUGCAAUAAUAUUCAAGAGUUGCCAACCCUCCCAACAAGUUUAACCCAUCUAGAAGUGUCAUCUAAAUUGUUGCGGGUAGUCUCGGAUCUUUCAAACUUGACUAAUUUGGUUGAGUUGUAUCUAUCAGGAACUCAUGUCAGUGAAGUUCCAAAGACCAUCGGCACGCUUCCUCGCCUACAAAGAAUUAAGUCGAUACGAUGCGAUACUAUUCAAGAGUUGCCGACCCUCCCAACAAGUUUAACCCUUCUAGAAGUGUCAUCUAAAUCGUUGCCGGUAGUCUUGGAUCUUUCGAACUUGACUAAUUUGAUUGAGUUGCAUCUAGUUGAUUAUGGAAAAGUAAGAGAUAAACUUUGUACCGAUGAGUUACGAUGGAUUGGGAAGUUAUCCAAACUGACAAAAUUGACCGUCGGACUUCACAAUGCCCCUGUUCCUAUUGAGAUGGCUUCCCUUCCUGUGCUAAACAAACUUUUGUUGUUUGGAUUCAACCAACAAACCUUUCCACAACUACCCCUAUCUCUGGAAAGGUUAAGGCUUGGAAAUUUCAAUUCAGCUGUGUCACUCUCUCCGAACCUAAGAAAUUUGUUAUGUUUAGAACUAUAUAAUUCUCCAAUGCAAGAAAUACAACUUGAUGGGUUUCGACUUCCACAGCUAAAGGAGUUGCGUGUGGAAGGCUGGCAACACCUUGAAAGGUUGAGGCUAUCAAGAAUGAGGAAGCUGAACGAUGUCAACGUGAAUUUGUGUAUGAAGUUAGUUGAGAUCCAAUUUUCUUGGGUGUUUGAAUCACUAGAGGCAUUGGAUAUUGGAGAUGGCGAGUCCUUGGAAAGGAUAGUUUAUGAGUCUGAUAAUGAAUUUAUUAGUUGUGAAGGGAGGCUAAUUUUUCCAUCGACAGUCUUAAAUAAGUUGCAUACUCUCUCCCUGUGGUGUUGCCCUAAGAUACUCGACGUUCAAGUUGUGGGUACGUUGGAAUCGUGGGAACGCUUAGCCAUUGAGAGUUGUCCUUACUUGCAACGUCUCGGUGGUUUGUCAAACUUAAAGAAGCUAAAGUCUUUAUCAAUCAGGAGCUGUGAGAGGCUACGGGAUGUUGAGGGCAUCGACGAGUUGGAGUUUUUGAACCAUUUAUCACUUUAUAGUUGCACAUCGUUGGAAAGGUUGAUUGACGUGUCAACCACCAAACUGCCAAAUGAUUGCCAUGUACAGAUCCAAAAGUGCGGGAGAUUACCUGGGUUUAAGAAAGGAUUCAGCGGCUCCGUCCAGUCCUUCAAGCAUUAUAAGGCGAGCCUGGAUCAUUCUCUCUAUUUAUUUUUUAUAUUUUCUUGACGCAACCGUCCAUGAACACCAAUUCAACUCUAAGGUAGAUUUGUAAUAAUGGUGAGAAAUUAAAAAAUAAACAAAAAUCAACUAAUAUUUGAUGUCACUUAUUUUAAAACCCACUCGAUAUAAUUUGUUUUAGUUUUAGCUCAUGUUUUCUCAUUUUCUUUUCUUUUCUUUUUUCACAUGAGAAAGUUCUAUAUGUGAAGCAAAUCUAUGGGACAAGGUCAGCUUUUAUCAAAAGUCAUUGGAAAAAUUGCAAUUUUUAGCAAAAAAAUAUAUAAAUUAACUCAGAGUUUUUCAUUAAAAUGUUAUUUUCACUUAAUAUGAAAUGAGUUGUUCAUUUAGCGAAUUUUUAUGUAAUACACUCCACUUUAUUGUCAUUUCUUGUUUAAUACUAUUCAGUAUGGAGAUGAGUUUAGUGAUUUGCAAUUUUCACAGUGAAAAUAGAACACUAAAAGAAUCCUAUACUCAUUCCACAGUUUCAAUAAGAAUUUGCUGAGGGAAUUCUUUCAAGAACACAACUUAAAUGGUCCACUGAUCCACAAAUCGACUGACUUAUGUUAUUGAUGGAGUUGAGUGUGAAUUCAAUUGGCAUGUGGAUGGGGUCGGCCAAAUAAGAUGCGUGUUCCAAAAGCAUCUAGAAAUAUUUAUUAAGAUUUAUCAUUCUAAAGAAAACAAUGAAAAUCUAAUUUUUGAAAGUCUGCAUCCCCCCCCCCCCCCCGGGGUUUUUGACCGUGUUUGUUUAUGGCCACUUUAAACAUCGUUCAGACAUUUAUUUUUUCAGUUGUGAGGCAUUUCAUUUCAUUUCAUUGACCUGCUUCCACUACACUAGAUAGAGAAGGGGAAAAUGAGGAGAAAAUGCUUCAUCUACUUAAUUUCUAACUAGCCCCGGUCUUCUUCUUUUUUUGGGUAAGAACAUAUUGUUAUUUCUAUCUUAGAAGCUUAUAUCUAAGGCAGAUAAUGGGUCAGACCAAUAAAAUGUCUUACUAAUGUCAUGGACAUAGGUAGCGUACGAGUCAAAGACAGGGCAGAUGGCUACAAUGUAAAAUUGUUUAAAUUUGGUGAAAUGGAAAAUCGAACUCGUUUGAUGUGCAUUAUCCACAUACACAAUUUCGUUCUAAUCCUACAUGAUUUACAACAUUUUCUUGUGCCAUAUUGUUUCCUCUUCUAUAUUGAUCCUUUCUCUUAUUUCAAUCUCAACAAAUAUAGCCCAAACUUGUAUGUAUGACUUUCAUCAGUAUCUUUUGAGGAUUUUAAAGCAACUCCUAUCUUUUUUAUUGCAUUAUUUUAAUCAUGCCCUUCCUUUUUCGAAAGCUUUCUCCUAAAAUUGGUUAUGAUUUUAUUUUUCAGGAAUCGGACUUUGAUUCGACAACAUGUUUCGGACACUUGUGAAGUUUUGAAGGCAAUCCACACGAUAAUUGUUAUAUUGCAGGGACAAAACUAGCAUAAUAUCUUAUCAGGGUCAAUGCACUGAAGAGUCCAAAGGUUUCUGAGAAUGAUUUCCAACCAGGACAUCAGCUUAGGAUGCAGGUGUGACCUCAUCAUUUUCAAGCUAGAAAGAUGAUUUACCCUUGUGGCAGAAUUAAGAGAGUUGUUGUUCUUCACAUCAACAUUUCUUUGAAUCCUUAAAGGAUUCCUUGCUUGAAUUAGUUAUUUCAAAUUUGUCCCAUCUCUUUUUGAUUGGUCUUAGACAACUCAUUCAAAUUGCCCAUCUUGCAUGAAGAACUGCAAACGUUUAGUACAAGCAGAUUAAGCAUAUGCAGAAUAAUGUUGUGUGAAAGGCCUCAUCCAAUAUAUGAAAUCUACUUGUUAGAGCUGGCAAUCUCUCCAAGACGGGAUAUGACAUAACAUAAACAUCAUCAUACAUAGAACAAAAAUGGUGUGGCAUUGAUACAUCAUGCUCUCUCAUUUCAGGUGACCCAACAUGAAUAUGUCAGGCCACGGCACAUUGUGAGCCCUACUUCCAGGCUUGUAUCUUCUAGCAGCUAAUUCAGUCAUAUGUGUUGGAGAAAUCUCUCUAGAGUGUUUUGAAGCUGACAAAACGUUUCUAUCAGUCUAGUCUGGAAGCUGUGCAGAUCCUUGUACUUAGAGUCUGAAGACUUUUAGAUCACCAGACUCAGCACACAAGACUCAAGACUCAAGACUAUUCUCAUUGACAGUUUCUAAUCUAGAGACGAAGGCGAUCCAAAGCUAAAGUGUUUGGUUAAGGAUUUGGUCUUGUCGAUUGGAGAAGAUCUCCUGGCUGGAUUUGAUACAACGGAUUAAUUAUUCGAAAUCAAGAUCGUUUGAAGAUCCGAUAAUUGACGAAAUAUUCUUGGAAGGUUCUAUUCUUGGAAACCAAGAUCCUGAUUGUAUGGGCGAACGUGAUUGAUGGGCUAUCGACGUGUUCCUUUAAUAGCUCGAAUGACCUUCUUAAUUGAUUCUGUCCAACGGGAAGAUUGGAAGAAUUCCUUUGGUAAGUGCCAACGGGUAUGAUGGCAUAAAUGAGUAUAAAAAGAAGACGUUCCAGUUAUUCUAGUAAGUGCUCGAUAGAGAAAUUCCAGAGUCUAAAGCUCCUUGAUUAUUAGUCGAUUCAUAUUGAGCGAAACUGUACUCACAAAGAGAGUCUAUACUUAGUGAUACCUUGAGAGAGUGUAAUAGAUCUUCUACACCAAGAAAUCAAGGAAGAACAGUGCUGUAAUAUCUUUUUGUUCAUAGUGGAAUCCAGCCAGUGGGCUGUCAGUGCAGAAGAGUGGACGUAGGCUUGAAAUAAGCCGAACCACUAUAAACCUCGUGUUCAAUUUUCUCUUCCCUACUCUCAAUCUUACGUUGAUCGUUGUUUGUUUAUUGACGAAGAAAAAUUGUCUCAUUUCUAUCAAUUGUCUAGCAUUGUGCAAUUAUCAUUAGAAAUUACUCGUUAUACCUAUUCACCCUCCCCUCUAGGUACUUAUACUAGUCAUAUCAAUUGGUAUCAGAGCUCGUGUACUCACUUUAUUUGAAGUGUUUUACUUCAGAGUAAAAGAUCCAUUGCUAGUAUGCUAGCUCCAGGGCUGGUCAAAGGUCAAAGCAAUACCAGACCUCCUUCCUUUGAUGGAAAGGACUACAACAUCUAGAAAAACAAAAUGAAAGCAUUUCUUCGAUCAAAGGAUCCUCUGGAAUGGGACGUUGUAAAAAAAGGAAUCACUCCUAAAGUUGCAUCCGUCUCAGAAAGAGGGAAAGAAACUGUUGAGACCAGCAGAAUGUCUCAGGAAGAGAUAAUCAAGAGACAAACUCUUGAUGCAAAAGCUAUAUAUUCUUUAUAUUGUGCCUUGUCACCCAGUGAAUAUAACAGAAUAUUAUCUUGUGUUACAGCAAAAGAAGUCUGGGAUAGGUUACAUAUCACCUAUGAAGGAACUGAUCGAGUAAAAGAGACCAGAAUCAACAUCCUUCUCGGUCAAUAUGAAGCCUUCAAAAUGAGACCUGGAGAAUCUAUAACUGACAUGUUUAGCCGUUUUAUAGAAAUUGUAAAUGGUCUUGAAAAUCAAGGACAAGCAAUUUCUGAUCCCAUGAAGGUAAACAAGCUACUGGUUUUAAGAUCUUCUUUCAAGAAGGAAUAUGUUCUGGAAUCAGCAAAGACUCUACUCAGUCUUUUAUGGGUCGAAGGCAUGGAAAUAUCUAUCUUUUGGAUAUGAAACCGGAUGAAUCGCAAUGCUUAAUUUCAAUUCAAGACGAAGCAAGCUUGUGGCACAGAAAGCUUGGUCACAUAAAUAUGAAGUAGAUAGCCAAAAUCUCAUCAAAGCAGCUUGUUCGUGGUCUACCCAAUUUAUCAUACCGAAAGUCUGAUCUAUGCACUCCAUGUAUAUUGGGAAAGCAGGUAAGAAAUUCAUUUAAGCCAAUAAAUCAUGUCUCUACUAAUCAUGUACUGCAGCUGUUGCAUAUGGAUCUCUUCGGACCAACCAGAACCCAGAGCAUUGGAGGUAAGAAAUAUUGCCUAGUAAUCGUGGGCGAUUACUCCCGAUUUACUUGGGUAUAUUUCCUUGCAAGUAAGUCUGAAACCUUCUCGUAUUUUGAAAAAUUUGCUAAAAAGGUUCAAAAUGAAAAAUGAUAUGUUAUUUCAAGUAUAAGAAUAGACCAUGGAGGUGAAUUUGAAAAUCAAGAUUUUACAAAAUUUUGUGAUGAAUCUAGCCUCAAGCAUGUGUUCUCCUCUCCAUACACUCCUCAGCAAAAUGAAGUUGUGGAAAGAAAGAAUAGAUCUCUUCAAGAAAUGGCUAGAACUCUUUUAAUUGAAAGUAAGAUUUCUUCACAAUUUUGGGCUGAAGCUAUUUCAACAGUGUGCUAUAUCAUAAAUAGAGUCUUUUUAAGACCUAUUUUGGAGAAAACCCCUUAUGAGUUAUUCAAAGGUAAGAAGCCUAUUGUUUCGUACUUUCAUGUGUUCGGUUGCAAAUGCUUUAUAUUGAAAAAUGCAAAAGAUCGAGUUGGUAAGUUUGAAGAAAGAUAAGAUGAAUGCAUCUUCCUUGGAUAUUCUACAUCAAGCAAAGCUUACAGAGUCUAUAACAAGAAGAGUCAAUCAGUGAGCUCCAAACUCUUCAAAGCUUGCAUCUCAAGAAGCAUCUCAGACUCUGGAAGACCAACAUCAAGUUGUUCGUGAAGAUUCAAGUAAAGAAAGAGAUCAUCAAUCAGACAAAUCAACCAGUAAUUGGAAGCAUAAGUCUAGUCAUUCCAAAGAUCUCAUUAUUGGCGAAAUUAAUGAAGGAAUUCGCACCAGAUCCAAAAGGCGUGAAGAGUCUAGUGCUGUGGCACUUGUUUCCGAAAUAGAACCCAAAAGCAUAGAAGAAGCUUUAUCAGAUGAAAGCUGGAUUGAAGCUAUGCAAGAAGAGCUCAGGCAAUUCAGUAUCAAUGAUGUCUGGGAAUUGACUCCUAAACCAAAAGGUAAAUCUGUUAUUGGAGCUAAAUGGGUUUUCAGGAACAAGAUGAAUGAGAAAGGAAAAGUCGUAAGAAACAAAGAAAGACUCGUGGCCAAGGGAUAUACGCAAGAAGAAGGGAUAGACUAUGAUGAGACCUACGCUCCAGUAGCAAGGUUAGAAGCUAUUCGAUUCUUGCUUUUUUGCUUGUUAUGAAAAUUUCAGAUUAUUCCAAAUGGACGUCAAAAGUGCUUUCCUGAAUGGAUUUAUCCAUGAGGAAGUUUAUGUGGAACAACCACUAGGGUUUGAAGACCCAAAGAAACCAGACUCAGUCUUCAAACUGAAAAAAGCCUUGUAUGGUUUAAAGCAAGCACCUCGAGCUUGGUACGACAGACUAAGUAAGUUUUUAAUACAUAAUGGUUUUGUCAAAGGUAAAGUAGAUACUGCUCUAUUUAUCAAAAAGGAAAACAAAAGCUUUCUACUUGUUCAAAUAUAUGUUGAUGAUAUUAUUUUUGGAUCUUCUAAUGAAAGUCCGUGUAAGAAAUUCUCUAAGUCUAUGCAGGAUGAGUUUGAAAUGAGUAUGAUGGGAGAGUUAACCUUCUUUCUUGGACUUCAAGUAAAACAAUUGAAGGAAGGAACUUUCAUUCAUCAAGAAAAAUAUGCUAAUGAUCUUGUUAAAAGGUUUGGACUAGAAAAGUGCAAAAAAAACCGAUGUCAAGUUCUUUGAAGAUAGACAAAGAUGAAGAAGGGAAGAAAGUUGAUCAAAAGCUGUACAGGAGUAUCAUCGGUUCACUUCUUUAUCUUACUGCCUCUAGACCUGACAUUUUGUUGAGUGUGUGCAUCUGUGCUAGGUUUCAAUCAGACCCUAGAGAAUCUCAUCUCAGUGCUGCGAAACGGAUUAUUAAAUACAUUGCUUCAUCUUCAAGUAUCGGUCUUUGGUAUCCUAAGAAGGGAGACUUUAAUCUUCUUGGAUAUUCAGACGCAAAUGUAGCCGGUUGCAGAGUUGAUAGAAAGAGCAUCUCGGGAACUUGUCAAUUGCUUGGGAACAAGACAGUGUCUUGGUUUUCAAGGAAACAAAACACUGUGGCUCUCUCUACAACAGAAGCAGAGUAUGUAGCUCUUGGAAGUUGUUGUUUGCAAAUUCUGUGGAUAAAACAACAGCUACAAGACUUUGGAAUUGAAGACUCAUGCACUGAGAUUAGAUGUGACAGCACCAGCGCAAUCAAUCUUACUAAAAAUCCAAUCCUUCACUCAAGGGCAAAGCAUAUAGAGAUUCGUCAUCACUUCAUUAGAGAUCAUAUUCAAAAUGGAGAAAUCUCGAUUCAAUUUGUUGAGUCAAAGAGCCAACUAGUGGAUAUAUUCACAAAGCCUUUGGAGAAGAAUCAAUUCGAUAUCAUCCGUUCCAGACUCAACAUUUUGAAGCUUGAGGAAAUCAAAGUCUAGAGACUCUCAGACUCUCAGACUCGAUCAUUCACGGCCAUAGACUGUAAGUUGUUUUAAAAUUCAAUCUCGAAAAGGUACGAUCUUUCAUUCAGUUAUAUUUGAUUUAUCUUUAAUUUCCGAGAAAAACGGAAUCUUGUCUUUUCAAAAAGAUAACCUCUAUUAAAAAGGCAGUUAUCGUUUUUAAAAAUGGACGACUGUUCACUUUCCUUUAUGUCGAUUGGUUUUUUCCUUUCUUUAACUGGGUUAUAUACAGUAAGUUGUCUUCUUCGCUUCACUCUAAAACCCUAAAAAGACAUUCUCCUCCCAAUCCUGUCUCGAUUUCGUGUUCAUCUUUGAGAAAGUUGUCAUAUUUUCUUGGGAAAGCGAGUCAAGGAAUCUUUCAAUGACAAGAAACGAUGUCUUCUUGUAGAAGGUCUUCAAGAAUCGCAAGCAGGGGACCACAGAGAAUGAGGGAGGGUCCUACCCAUUUCGAUCUCACCAAGGAAGAAGAGUUACCGAGACAGCAACAGAGCCCGAUUCACUCUCAGCCACGUCAAUCUCUAUUAUCUACCCCACAAAGUGUGAAUCAACUACCACAGGAAGAAAUAAUCGAGGAAGCAGAGCCUGUAAGAGUCCAAAAACCCUAUUUUAUUUAUAAGCUCUAUCGUGCUUUGAAAAGCAUAGGUACACCACUGAACUAUGUGGAUGCCUUCCUUAAAGACAAAGGGUAUAAAAAUGAGUAUAUCUUUUUGUGACGGAUGGAGGAUUUGGGAAUUGCUUCCAAAGGAAAGGCUGAGGAAGCACUUGUGAACAUUCUUAGUGACCCUCGUGUAGGGGGAUUUAAUCUGACUGACGGGAAUGACGAUGAUAAACUAUUUAGAGAAUUCCAACCCAAGAUGGGUGUUGCUGCGAAAGUGAAAGGAAAAAGAACGGAGUUGUUCAAAUCAAAGGAACAGGAGGAUCUGUUCUUCAAAUUGUUGAAACGGGGGGUAAUAAACCCUAGGAGCGUUGAUUUUGACUUUCUGGAUGCCAUCAAUGUGAACUUAAAGGAGAAGUUCAAUCUGCUUCAACUAGAACAAUUUUGCUCUGACACCACAGACGGCUAUGCACAAUUAACAACAUAUUUCUAUUCGAAUCUCAACUUUUUAGAUGCGAAUAGAAUAUCCUUCAGUGUUCGAGACCAAUACUAUGAGGUAGAUGUGGACAUGUUGGCAGACAUAAUUGGAGUUGAAAGAGGACGAUAUCAACCGAUCAAGGUUUCAAUCGCUCGUACCACACUGGAACUUGUCAAAGACAAGAGUACAGAAGGAAGAGUUACCUACACAAGAAUGCAUGCCAUCAACAUCUUACUGUACAAAAUCGUGAUCAACUGUCUCAGGCCAAAAUCAACAUCCAAGACAGACGUGUCUAAUUCUGAGGCGAAAUUGAUGUACGCGAUCAAUUCAGGGAAGAAGUUCUCUCUUCCUCACACCAUUCUCUUCCACAUGUACAGAGCAAUGGUGAAGGAUAAGGGCCAGUUGCCUUACUCAGGUCUUGUGACUAAGAUCUUCAGACACUUGAAUAUUGAACCUCCACAUACUCUUUGCGUUCGACCAUGCGACAAAAUGGUGGUGGGUUUGAAAAGACUCAGUCGUUCUGUAUCCGAAUCAAUGGAAUGACAGAAGAAAAGAAAAGAAGCAAAGGAACAAGAACAUAGAAAAGCAGAGGAGAGAGAAGAUAAAGAAAAAGAAGAAGAGGAGAAAGAAGUUGAAGAAGAAGAAGAAGCAGUCAAAGAAAAGUCUGCAGAUGAAGCUGGAGAAAAAGGCAAUCAAGAUUCUACUGAGCAUGACCAUCACUAUUCCCCAAAUGAGGCCUUAGAAACAGGGGGAGAUGAUGAGCAAGGAAGGACUACACCAUAUCCUGAUCACAGUGAAGGUGUGAGUCGCUCGCAAGCAAAUCCAGAAGAUAUUCAGGCUUCUCAAAUGCCUGAGGAAGGACAUGACACCUCAACGCUAAAUUUGCGCGAUUACACUAAAGUUCCAUCGUCUGCCUUCACUCCAUCUGAUAGAGCAAAUGCAAGCACGCAGACGGACAAUACCGCAGAUUUUCGUCGUAUCCUUGAUCUUCUUCUAGCAAUGCAGGGUCAAAUAUAUGCUUUGGAAUGUGAACUUCAAGUCCUAAAGAAUUCUGGACAAGCGUCUUAUGUUACCCUGUCGAUCAAAUACAAGACCUCGCUCGUCAAAUUCAAGCAAAUGCCAAAGGAGUAGAGAUGACUCGUCUAAGGGAAGACUUGAAGAGGCUGGAAGGCAUCGUACAGUCGAUGGGAGAUUUCCAGAUUGUGCGCGUUCCCAAGCAGACUUGACUCUUUCUCACCUUUUUAAUGAUGACAAAAAGGGGGAGAAUUGCCAGCUUUGAACUGAACUAAACUUUGAUUUUGAAUCUAUCUUUAAUUUUAGUUUGUUUGGAUAUUUAUUUUUGAGUAUGACUUGAGUGUGGUGGACUUGGUGAAUUUGACUGACUUGAGUGUGUGGAUUUGAAAUUGACUGUUGCAUUAUUUAUAUCAAGUGUUAUUGUAUGGCUUUACUCAUGAAAGACUAACUUAUUUUCUGUGGAUGCAGAGUCUAGUUGAGUUAUUAAUCUUUAUGAGAUAUCCAUACUGCUUGAGUAAUGCUUUUGCAAGUCAAAGUUGUUCAAAUCUACAGGAAAGUUUUGUCACCAUAAAAAAUGGGGAGAUUGUUGGAGAAAUCUCUCUAGAGUGUUUUGAAGCUGACAAAACGUUUCUAUCAGUCUAGUCUGGAAGCUAUGCAGAUCCUUGUACUUAGAGUCUGAAGACUUUCAGAUCACCAGACUCAGCACACAAGACUCAAGACUCAAGACUAUUCUCAUUGACAGUUUCUAAUCUAGCGACGAAGGCGAUCCAAAGCUAAAGUGUUUGGUUAAGGAUUUGGUCUUGUCGAUUGGAGAAGAUCUCCUGGCUGGAUUUGAUACAACGGAUUAAUUAUUCGAAAUCAAGAUCGUUUGAAGAUCCGAUAAUUGACGAAAUAUUCUUGGAAGGUUCUAUUCUUGGAAACCAAGAUCCUGAUUGUAUGGGCGAACGUGAUUGAUGGGCUAUCGACGUGUUCCUUUAAUAGCUCAAAUGACCUUCUUAAUUGAUUCUGUCCAACGGGAAGAUUGGAAGAAUUCCUUUGGUAAGUGCCAACGGGUAUGAUGGCAUAAAUGAGUAUAAAAAGAAGACGUUCCAGUUAUUCUAGUAAGUGCUCGAUAGAGAAAUUCCAGAGUCUAAAGCUCCUUGAUUAUUAGUCGAUUCAUAUUGAGCGAAACUGUACUCACAAAGAGAGUCUAUACUUAGUGAUACCUUGAGAGAGUGUAAUAGAUCUUCUACACCAAGAAAUCAAGGAAGAACAGUGCUGUAAUAUCUUUUUGUUCAUAGUGGAAUCCAGCCAGUGGGCUGUCAGUGCAGAAGAGUGGACGUAGGCUUGAAAUAAGCCGAACCACUAUAAAUCUCGUGUUCAAUUUUCUCUUCCCCACUCUCAGUCUUACUUUAAUCGUUGUUUGUUUAUUGACAAAGAAAAAUUGUCUCAUUUCUAUCAAUUGUCUAGCAUUGUGCGAUUAUCAUUAGAAAUUACUCGUUAUACCUAUUCACCCCCCCUCUAGGUACCUAUACUAGUCAUAUCAAUAUGUAACCAGGGACAAAGAUGUCACUAUCCUCUUUAGAACAUAUUAUGGUGAAUUUAAUAUAAGCUUUCGUGGCAAAUAAUAAUGGAAGACUUAGAAUUGAGAUACAAUUGCAAGUGAAAGUUUACAAUUUCAAUAGUAGAUAUGUAUAUCUAUUUUCUUGUACAUAAUAUACAUUGCCGAAAUAAUUAAUCACGGUAGACAGUAGUUGCUAUGUAUUGUUGGUUGAAAUGUUCACGCAAGAUUGGCUGUGAUGUUAUUUCUUCAAAAAUCACGUUUUGAUUAGAUUUGGACAUGUUUUGGAGGCUUGUACAAUUUUGAAGACGACUCCGAUAAUGAUUUUUACCAUGCAGGGACGGAUUGGCAUAUUAGUUUAGUGGGGUCAAUGUAUUUGUUGUUGCGCGUGCGCGGAAUAUAGACGGACCAAGCGAAUCGGAUAAAAUGGUCGGAAUGAAGGAAAGGAAAUCAGACACCGGAUUUACGUGGUUCGGCCCGAGUAUCGGAACCUACGUCCACGGGGAGAGCAGCACAGAAUUCCACUAUAGAAACAAGCGAUACACCGGAGAUUACAAUGACUCGAGUACUCAAACACACUCAGUGUUUCCCAGCCCCCAAAUUACACCCAGAUAACUUACACAGUGUUUAGCCCUUCACAAUUGCUAGUGAAAUCUCACUCAAGAAAUUAAACAAAUUCUACUCACAAGAAUUUAACUGACUAAAAGCACUCGGAUGUAAUUUCAACGAGAAAAUUUCUCUCUGCCGAGAGCUUCUGAAGCCUCACGACUUCUCUCUUCAGCUCUCUCUCUCUCGCCCUCUCUCUCUCUCUCUCUCUCUCGGCCACCAAAAUAACUCAGCUCGGCGCCAUCUUCUCCUUCACUCCUCUGCCUUUUAAGGACGAAGUAAGACAGAAAAUGUGAAACUCAUUCGGCGCUCGCAAUCACCACUGACGCCCACCAAAAUUCAUGGGCACGCAUGCAUGCAUGGGACGCAUUUAAUAAGGCAGAAAACUUGCACCCAUAAUUCAAGCGUGAAAGAAGGAUGGCCGCCGUCUUCCAAGACCAUCUCCACGAUGUUCAACUCCUUCAAGUAAUAUUUUUUUAUCAUUUCUUUCCUUUGGUUGUCUGCAGCUUGAAUAAAAUAAGAAAGGAAAGAAGCAAGGAGUUAAAGAAAGAAGACAAAACAAGCCCACAAUUGGCUUUAGUCUUCCGUGUCCAUCCACCAUGCAUGCACGUCCAUGUGCAUGCAAUUAAAGAGUUAGAAUAAAAUAAUGAUCUUCCCCUCUCGCUGCUGCACGCUCUCUUCAUUCUUCACGCUUGCGCUCAUAGAUCCGCAUGCGAUCUUCUGACAAUUUCGGCCAAUUCACAUGCGCUACUUUGACUCACACGUGGUUGAGUUCACGCAUUCUCGUUCAACGGGCUCAAAUCGAGACAUAUUUUCAACAAUCUCCACAUUGGCUCGACGUUUGAGCCAAAUCAUAAUCGCUUCAGUGGACACCUCGCUACUACUCUCCCACAGCCCCAACGGGCUCAACUGCCACAGAGUGCUUCCAAUUUCAAGAUGCGCUUGAACUUUCUCAUAAUCAUGGACCUCAUCAAGACACCAAUUCCACCUGCAUAAUUAGCUACUCCACAAGGAUUUUCUGACAUAACCUCCUAUAUCACAGAUAAAGCAAAACCAUCAUUGCUUCCAUAUCUGACAGUAGGUCGAACACGCACCUUGUCAAAUUUAGUAGCUACAGCAACUGUUGGCUCUAUUGGCUCCACCUCGCUACAAGCAUCAUCUAUGUCGAUUAUUACGCUAGUACUCGCUACCUCAGGAGUUUCUGGUUGCAACUCCACCUUGAGCUGAACACCGUUCAGAUCCGUAUUAACACUGCCAAAAACACUCCUAUCCAAAAGUACUAGAGACUUGUCAAAGGUAACUUCUCUACUGUCAACAGGUGAAUUUAUAUCCGGGCACCACAACUGAUCGCCCCACUCACCUCGUGCAUAGCCAUGGAAUAUGCACAUUGCCCUCCCAUCGAGCUUACCAUCACUCACUCAAAAAUAACACGGGCAACCAAACAUUCUAAAAAUAGAAUUACCAGCAACGUUACCUGACCACACUUCUUCAGGAAUCCGCCAUUCAAUAGCAGUUGAUGGGGAUCUAUUCAUCAGGUAGCUUACCGUACUAAGCACAUCAGCUAGGAUUCUCCUAGCAACACCAGCACUAGAGAUCAUUUUACGGGCCGUCUCUAGUAAUGUUCUGCUUAUCAAUUAUGCAAAUUGUUGUGAUUUAUUGGCACUAGUGCGAUGUUUCACUAUGCCCUCUUCCAUGCAGAAUUUAUUUACCAGCUCCGAGCAGAACUCCAUGCUAUUGUUAGUCCGCACAUGCUUGAUCGACUUACCAGUCUCCGUCUCGAUCAAAGCUCUCAACCGCGUGAUCCUAACACUAGCAUCAAACUUGUGCAUCGGCACAAGCACCCAGGUCUUCCUCGAGCAGUCAAAAGACUCUCGAACAGAAGCAUCCAACGUCUCCAGGGCAAAACCUGUCACUGUCUCACCUUGAAGUUUAUACAGGCCUCCGUGCUUGAUUCCUUUCAUUAUCACCAGGGCACCUCGAACAAUCUUUAGAACUCCACCUUCUGAAGAAUACCUGCAACCAGUUGAAUCUAGGGCACCCAAGGAAAUUAAGUUCUUUUGCAAUUCUGGAACAUGUCUUACUCCAGUCAAUGUCCUCACAAUACCAUCAUGCAUUCUGAUUUUAAUAUCACCAACACCCACAACAUCGCACUCAGCGUUGUUCCCUAACUGAACUUUACCAAUACCCAUGCACUGAUAAGUGAUAAACCAAUUCCUAUUUGGUGUAACGUGAAAUGAACAACCAUAAUCCAUUAUCCAUCCGUGAAAUGAAAAAUCCUCAGUGACAGACAAGACAAUCAACACCAUCAGAAUCAUUCUCAGCUACAGCUGCAACAUUUUAUGUAGACUCAACUCUAAUUCCUUUACCCUUUUCAUUUUUCAGCUUAAAACAGUCUCUUCUACGAUGCCCACUAUUGCCACAAUUCCAACAGACAAUCCUACCAGUCCUAGACUGACUUCGUCUGUUCAUGUUCCUGCUAACACGUGUGCUAGUUCUUCCUUUACCUUCACCUACUAAAGCAGUAGACACGGGUUCACCAAAUUCUUUCCUACGAAUGUCUUCACUCAGAAUCAAAUCACGAACGUCAUCAAAUGUCAAACUUCUUGACCCAGAGGAAAGACCAAAUGUACAAAAGAUCUCAUCACCAAAAACUUACACUCCAAAUGUAAGAACAAAAGGAGUGGAAGGGUGAUGAGAUGUAAAAGCCGCAAAGUGCAGCACAUACACUACAACACCAAAACCAAAAAGAAGCACGACAUGGAUAACCGGCUACCAAACACACCACAGGUGAGGAAGAGGUCAUUGUCGGAUCGAAGUACCUACGAGUCCCUAGUGAAAAUAAUUGGGUUUAGGCCUCAACUUCUCUGCAACCUUCUGUUUCUUAAAUCAUUUUCGAUGUUCCUGAAGGUAAUAGCCUUGUCUCGAACCACUUUGAAGAGGUGGUUCUUCAUAGCUAGGAUAGUCAGGAGCUGGUCUCUAAAGAUGAUGCUAUUCUUGUUUUUCCAAAUGAUAUAACAAAGUGCGCCCAAAGAAAAAUGGGCAAUUCACUUGUAGAAAUUUUUACCCAUCAAAUAGGUAGCGGCCCGGCGGAAGUUCUCCCUCUAAGUUCUGUUGCGCCAAUGUAAAUUGCAUCUGAAAGCCCAAAAGAAUAAAAUGACUAGAGUUUAUUCCUUCCCGUUGGGGAAAUAAAAAAUAUAAGGGGAAUCAGCUGCGCAAGACGUGCGGGCACCGGCCGGCAGGUGAAUGUAAGAAAACGAAUGGAAGUUAAGAUCACACCUUUAAAAAAAAAAAAAAACAGACAUAUAUGUAACGACCACAACGGGCUGGGCCGGAAGGAUGAAGAAAGUCCAGUAGGGAGAAUCCUGAAGGCUUUGCUGAAAUCUAUCACCUUAUCCUCAAAGUGACGAACCAAUAGCAUAUUUCCUAGAAAAAAAUAAAGAAAUAAAAUAAAUCGACUGAAAAUCGAUGUGAAGCCAGCGAGAGAAGCGCUAGCUCUGCGAGACGAAGAAGCCAUGGCGUCUCUCCUGGGAACUUCUUCCACAGCAAUCUUGGCCUCACGGCGCCUCUCCCCACUUUCAGGUGCAAUUUCCUGCACAUGUUUCAAGCGUUUGGGGGAUAAUCCGGACGACCCAUUUCGGUUCGGGUCUUUAAAUUGCUCGAAUUCGACUAUUUCGAGCUCGGGGUUUAUGAGGUUUUUAAUGGGGUCUGUGGAAUUUGCCUUUGUUGUUGAAUUUUCUUGUUUGCAGUGCAGAAUCAUGGCAAGAAAUGUUAUGAAGGGAUUGGGUUUCAGACCAAGAAAGGAAGGUCGCCGUGGCAUCUUGCCGUCACCAAUGUCGCGACCGAUAUCAAUUCUGUCGAGCAGGUAUCGAUUCUUUCCUUUGCCUUUUAUUUUAUUAGCUCUAUGCAUUUCUGGGAAGUUGCAGCAAGAGACUGGUGUGGAUUGAUGCUUCAAAUUUGUUAAUUGCUGAGUUUUUUUUAGUGAAAGUAGACUGAAAAUUGGGCUGCUUCCAUUGCAUUUAAUGAUAAAGUGAGGAUUUCUUAGGCUGAGGCAUUACGCUAAUUGAAGUCGAAUGGGAAAAAGAAAAUGCUUUGCAGUUGAUGGUUUUUUUAGGGUGGUCUUGUUGAGUGAAGUGAGAAUUUUUUGGGGGAGAAUUAGCAUGGAUUGCUUGUGUAGGAUUUUGUGAGCUGGAUUGGAUGGAUUUUUUUCAUUUUUCAGGCUCAGAGGCUUGCCUCUAAGGAGAGUUAGAGGCCGGUCUAUCCUUUUGCCGCUAUAGUUGGGCAAGAUGAGAUGAAGCUGUGCCUCUUACUAAAUGUCAUUGAUCCGAAGAUUGGUGGUGUUAUGAUUAUGGGAGAUAGGGGCACCGGGAAAUCCACUACCGUCCGGUCAUUGGUCGAUUUCCUCCCUGAGAUUUCGGUGAAACCGCAAGGUUCUAUGGACUUCCAGCAACCGGGUUACGGCAAUUCUGAACGCAAAUUUAUCCACAAGCUUAUUCCACCCAGUUUCUGAAGCCAAAUGCGCUGGAAUACUCACGGAGGCAUAUCGAAGAGAUAAACGGAGCAAUUAAGAAGAAAUCCUUCGCUGUGCCUAACCUACAAAAUCAUGGACGAUGCAUACUGCCAAUCUACAUAGAGCACAAAGAGGUCUUCCAAAAUCAAACGGACCUACUGCGACGGGAGGGUGGGAGACGCAAAAUGCACGCGAAACAGCGAGAGACAAGGCACAACAAAGGCAAGAGUCUGAAGGAACUCCUCAUCGGAAAAGUUCACAUCUCAUCAGGUUUCUCCAUCGGAAAAACUAAGUGCGCUCGUGCAAAGCCCCUCCACUCGACAGUACCUUCCUUGCGAUCGCGACAGGAAGCGAGCUCGAGCGUGGGAGAGGGAGGUGUUGGAAGAUAUGCUCGAAUCUGAUCUUGGGAGAUAUGCUCGGAAUCUCGAUUGAUCUUAAUUGUACAUAAAUUAGUUAGGAUCUUUAGAUUGAGAUUGGAUUCAAUUUCAUAAAUAUUUGUUUGCCUUUUAUUAUUUCAUCUAUGUACUAUAAUUACAGAAGAAAUGUACAUCAGAAUACAUACGAAAUAUACAAGAAUUCCAGAUCUCUAUAGUCUUCUUCACUUUCUUACAUGGUAUUAGAGCUUCGGCUUCUGACUGUUCUUCACUUCCGCUCCUUAUUGCCCACCAAAGGAGAUUUGAAUCACACAACAGAUCUACCAUCUUGGUAUAGGAAUCACUCGAAGAAGAAGAAGACAAGAGCUACUGGUUUCUUACCUCCAAUGGCCGACGACCAAUCCAACCCAGAAGCCUCACCACCGACGCAGAUCCAAAAUUUACCUACAACAACACAACAACAAACAAUCCAGGCACACCCUGUUCAAUGGAGACCUACACAAGCUCAGUUUGGUCUAGGGCAACCCUUUGCGGGUCAACCGUUCUAAUGGGUACCUUACCCAUUUUAUCUCGGGACAUACCUGAAUACAUCAUCGCCCAUUUAUGUAGGACACCAUGGAGCCCACUUCCAAUCCGAGGCAAGCUUGACCCCAGAACUAGAGCAGGUAAGCGGAUCUAGAGAACCGGGUAUGGGAACAAAUCCCUACCUGGGGUUUUCAAAUGCAGAUUACCAAUCGGGUCAAUGGACAAAUACCUACCCAAACCUUGCGCUCGGAUUCAUGCCAUUCCCCGUCGCUGCCGUUACCGGGCAUACGGACCCUAAUGAUCCCCUGCAUGUCUCAACAGCCGAUGGCCAUGAGCUGAAACUGAUCAACCUUCAGUUAACCGGACCAAAGAAUUACACCAGAUCGUCCCGAGACUUCCGGCGCGCCCUUGUGACGAAGGACAAUGAUGGAUUCCUCGACGGGGCGGUUUCGAUUCCUGCCGAUGAGCGACUAGCCCGAUUUUGGAGGAAAUGCAAUCAACUCGUGAGGACGUGGAUCGGCAACUGCAUCUCCCCAGAGGUCGCGGUUGGUCUCCCACCAACAGAAGACUCGAAAGCCAUGUGGGAAAACAUCAAACAGAUGUACGGCAAAUUAGAUCGAGCAUGAAUUUUUUCCCUUUUGCAGGAACUUAGUGAGUUAAAACAGGGGAACAUGAUCAUCACGGCCUGUUACAACAAACUGUCGUCCUUGUGGAACGAUCUCGAAGCAACAGAAGAGAAGCCCGAGGGACCAGAGGAGACACUUGCACAAUACCGGUCGAUCAAAGAAAGGGAAAAGGCGACCCGAUUCCUUUUAAUCUUAAACGAUUCUUACCUGACGUUUCGCUCGCAGAUUUUGGCCAUGGAACCGAUGCUCCCUCUUGGCCGGAUCAUUCAAUUAGCCGUCCAAGAAGUAAGCCAGAGGCUUGCUUCAUCAGAAUUAGCGAAAGGAGGAGAGAGUUUUGCCCUGGCCAGUCGCAGCGAGCGAAGAAAUUGGGGAUCGAAAACCCUAGUGCUCGAAAAAGGGGCGCCAGGAGGAGAGCUAGGGUUUCGGUCGCCCAGAUCUGAGGAUUCCCACCUCCUUAAAAGAGGAGAACUAGACGGCUCGGAUUCAGCCUGUAGAUCGGAUGGUCCAAAGGGACCCAUCUAUUCGACCGGAUCUAACGGUGGAGAUGGAGCGACUGGGAAGACAUCCGACGGUGGUGGUUUUUUUUCUGCAUUUGACGGUGGAAGAAUUUUUUCGGCAUCUACAAAAAGUUUUAAUCAAAAAAGGGGUAAAUUAUAUUGUGAAUUUUGCAGAAGGCCACAUCAUACAGUGGAAAAUUGCUGGAAAUUACACGAUAAACCCGGAGAAAAAGGAAAAAGAAGGAAAUUUCUAUGGCCUACUAGGUUGGUGGUUCUAAUGUUGAUCAGUCCAUAACAAAUUAUCAAUACCAACAACUGAUGCAGGCAGUACAGAAAUUGGACAUCUCAAGCAAGGGAGGAAAUUUUUCAGGUGUUUCUCGCUGCCUGAUUAAUAAUAUUUCCAAGAAAUCCUAGAUAAUUGAUUCUGGGGCAAGUGAUCACAUUGUCUAUGAAAGAGCAUUAUUUUCAGAUAUACAUGAGAACCUGGAAUUUCCUAUUACUGUCCAAUUACCAAAUGGGAAUGUUACUCAUGUCAAAAUCACUGGAUCAAUCAAACUGAGCCUAGAAAUCAUACUCCAAAAUGUCCUUUACGUUUCAAAAUUUUGAUUCAAUCUUAUUUCUGUGUCCAAAGUCUGCAGAGAAAAUUCUUGUCGUGUAUUGUUUGAUUCUGACACUUGCUUCUUUCAGGCCCUUUCGACUGGCAGAGUGAUGGGCUUGGGUAGUCUUUCUGAAUGAUUGUUUCUAUGGAAAGAUUCUCCAAGUAAUUUUGAUUUAUCCUCAUUUCCUUCAAAUAAAAUAUCAUUGUGUAACACGACUACCAAUGAUAAAGACUAUCUUUUACAUUCAUGAUUGGGUCAUAGUGCUUCAUUUCCUUAUUCUAAGUGUCAAAUAUGUCCCCUUGCAAAGCAAUCACGCAUUCCUUUUGCCCUUAGUAAAAAUUGUGUAACGCACAUUUUCUCUUUAAUUCACAUGGAUGUUUGGGGUCCUUACCAUACCCAACAUCAUGAUGGAUCGCACUAUUUCUUGACAAUUGUGGACGAUUAUUCUCGUGCCACCUGGGUUUUUUUGAUGCAGUCAAAGGGACAAGUCUUCUCACAUUUGAAAACAUUUAUCGCUCUAUCCAAGAACCAAUUUGGAAGAUCUAUCCAACGAGUUAGGACAGACAAUGGGAAGGAGUUCUUCAACAAUGACUGCAAUUUUCUUCUGUCAUCUCAUGGGAUUCUCCAUGAAAGUUCUUACAUCUAUACUCCACAAUAGAAUGGAGUAGUGGAGCGUAAGCAUUGUCACCUAUUGGAAGUUGCACGUGCAUUAAAAUUUCAGGCGUCUAUUCCAAAAAAAUAUUGGGGCGAAUGCAUAAUUACUGCAACAUAUCUCAUCAACCAUAUGCCAACUCGGAUACUCAAUGGAAAAACCCCAUUUGAGUUACUCUUCAAGAAGAAACCGGAAUUUGGGCAUUUAAGGAUAUUUGGAUGUCAGUGCUUCGCUACUGUUUUGGGCCCUCGAGACAAAAUGGGGCCUCGAGCUCGACGGUGCAUCUUCAUGGGUUAUCCGAAUUUACAAAAGGGGUAUUGAGUCCUAGAUCAAUCAACAUUGGAAUUCUUCAUCAGCAGAGAAGUUAUUUUUCACGAAGAUAUUUUUCCUUUCAAAGAAAAGGACUCUUCAAUGGAGACGCCAAACAAUUCUGGUAAGCCACUAUCUAUGGAGGAUUUUUCAAAUACCGAAUAUUUUGUGACAGGAACUCCAAAACCACUUAUGAUAACCCCAAUCACUCCUGAGAUUUCUGCACCAGCAAUUGUUGAAAAUGGCGCUCAAGAAAAUUCUUCAAUGGCAGAAGAAUCCUCUAAUGAAAUUGGCAAUAUAGAAAUAUCUUCAACUUCAGCUCAAGUGAAUCCUCCUCGACGAUCUGGUCGUUCUACAUGACCGCCAGCUUGGAUAGAAGACUAUGUUUGUGCAUCACCCAACUCACCAGGUAUUAACUACCCAAUAUCAUCUUAUGUUUCGUUCCAUAGACUUUCAUCGGAACAUAGAUGUUGUGUGAGUCGAAUAUCAGAGGACAUCGAACCAUCUACUUAUGAAGAAGCAGCUAAAGACCCAAGAUGGCAGGAAGCUAUAGGAGCUGAAUUGCAGGCACUAACUGCAAACAAGACCUGGGAUUUGGUCCAUCUACCACCAAAUAGGAAACCCAUUGGAUGCAGAUGGGUAUACAAGAUUAAAGACCGUGUUGAUGGGUUUAUUGAGUGUUACAAAGCUCGAUUGGUGGCCAAAGGAUUUACUCAACGAGAAGGCUUUUUGAUUACCACGAAACCUUUUCCCCCGUUGCCGAAGAAUACCCAAACCUUGAUUCAAUGAAUUGAGAAGAGGGAUCUACGCAGAGUGGGGUGUCAGAUGGUCGUUUUUCGGCUUGCCAAAGACAUAACCGUAAGAUCCUUCUUAUCUAUUACAGCUAUCAAUGAUUGGCCUUUACACCAAAUGGAUGUACAUAACGCUUUUCUGCAUGGAGACUUAGAUGAGGAAAUCUACAUGGAUAUUCCUCAAGGAUUACGGAGACGGGGGGAGAAUAGAGUAUGUCGUCUCCGUAAAUCUCUCUAUGGUCUCAAGCAAGCUUCUAGGCAAUGGUAUGCAAAAUUUGCCGAUGCUCUCACUUCUGUAGGUUUCAAACAGUCUAGAUAUGAUUAUGCCUUGUUCACAAUGACUCAAGGUACGUCAUCUAUUUAUCUAAUGAUAUAUGUUGACGAUAUCCUCAUCAUGGAAAAUAAUAAAAUUGCAAUAGAGAGAUUCAAGAAGUAUCUGUAUUUUACUUUUCACAUUAAAGACUUGGGAGCACCCAAAUACUUUCUUGGAAUCGAGAUUGCUCGAUCUGAUCGUGGGAUUUCUCUUAGUCAACGGAAGUUUGUGCUGGAAAUUAUAUCAGAGGCAGGACUGUUAGGAUGCAAACCAUCAAUUAUUCCAAUUGAGUAGAAUAUAAAGUUGACCACCAAGGAUUAUGAUGCUGGGACAUCUGAGAAUCAUGAUCCUGUUCUCAAUGAUCCUUCAGGUUAUAAGCUUGUUGGGAAGCUCAUAUAUUUAACUAUGACUAGAUCCGAUAUAUUAUAUGCAGUGCAGACUCUCAGCCAAUUCAUGCACAGUCCCAAGUUAUCUCACUUGAAUGCUGCAUUAAAGGUCGUGAAGUACUUGAAGAAGUGCCCGGGACUAGGGAUUCUUUUAUCCAGGGAAUGCAAUAUGAAAAUGUUGGCAUACUGUGAUGCAGAUUAUGCGACUUGUCCUAUGAGUCGACGAUCCAUUACAGGUUUUUGCAUUAAACUUGGAGAUUCUCUUCUUUCAUGAAAAACCAAGUUGCCUGCUUCUUGGUUUUUCAUGAAAGAAGCAGGCAACUGUAUCAUUGUCUUCAGCCGAAGCAGAAUACCGAGCUAUGACAAAAACUACUUGUGAGAUCAUAUGGAUAUGGGGACUACUUGGGGAUCUUGGGAUAAAUUUGAAGAGUCCGACUAGGUUGUUCUGUGACAACGAUGCGGCGCUCAAACUUGCAGCAAAUCCCAUAGUACAUGAAAGAACGAAGCAUAUAGAAGUGGAUUGUCACUUCACUCGAGAAAAGAUUCAAGAAGGGAUAAUUGAGACUAGAGGAAUUGGAAUGGCGGAGCAACCAGCCGAUAUCUUCACUAAGGCCCUAUGUCAAAGACAACAUGCAUAUCUAUUGAGCAAGCUAGGCAUCUUGGAUAUCUAUCAGCCACCAGCUUGAGGGGGAGUGUUGGAAGAUAUGCUCGAAUCUGAUCUUGGGAGAUAUGCUCGGAAUCUCAAUUGAUCUUAAUUGUACAUAAAUUAGUUAGGAUCUUUAGAUUGAGAUUGGAUUCAAUUUCGUAAAUAUUUGUUUGCCUUUUAUUAUUUCAUCUAUGUACUACAAUUACAGAAGAAAUGUACAUUAGAAUACAUACGAAAUAUACCAGAAUUUCAGAUCUCUAUAGUAUUCUUCACUUUCUUACAGGAGGGACAGAGAUCGGCUGGAUUAGAAUGGAGAUGAGAGAGAAGAACUCUGGUUUUUCUGCGGGUUUUUGGAUGGCGACUCUUUACAUAUAGAGAGAGAGAGAGAGAGAGAGAGAGAGAGAGAGAGAGAGAGAGAGAGAGAGAGAGAGAGAGAGAGAGAGAGAGAGAGAGUAGAUCUGAAAGAGGCAGGACCGGAAAGUGGCGAAAAACCGACGGAGGUUCGUCUGAGCGACUCGUCAUGCGCUCGCCGGGAGUUCUCCCGAGGGGACAAUAAAAUCCCGAUUCUGCCCCUCUAGAGGAACCAAUUCACGAAUUGCUCUGGUAUUGCCUUUAUUUUGUCUACUUUGGACCCAAAUCAUCGGAUCUAAAUAGAUUUUAAUCGUCGAUCGCAUGGAUUCAGACACUUGGGAACCAUGAUACCAACGGCAUUGAUGGAUUUAGGGCAUGUAGAGUUGAGUUUAGACAAGCAUUUACCCUCACAUUAAUAAAAUGUGUACAGGACUCAAGGAGCUAUUCGUCGGUUUGCUACCAAAGCCCAUCUCAUGUGCUUACACUAAGAAGAGGGCACUUUUGCUCAAGAAAAAUUUCAAGCUGGCAUUAGUAAGAACUAAAGAAAUUGACAAGAGAAUGAAUAUCUUAUUGUCAUAUAAAGGAGUACUUUAAAGUUGUGUCGUAUUGAACUUUGUCCCACCUAUUACACUAUUGAAAUGUUAUGUUUAAUAUACCAAUAAAGUAUCAAUCGCUAGUUGAGCAAGUUUAUCACCACAGCCCCAUUAAAUAUGAGUAGGGAAUUCUAAGACUAAUGAUAGACCAAAGCCCAAGUUCGUCUUUCACAGAUUAACCAAAAAAAGAAAAAGCAAACUAUUUAUGUUACUUUGGGGGUCUACCGUACACUUUGCUUCACAGAAUUGAAUGGAUUGUCUGAGCCCCUUGACCAUUUUGUUGGAUGUUCUAAGUUUUGCUUUACUAUUUACACUCCCUAUGUAUAUAAGUUUACAAAAAAAAACAAAAAACAAAAAUUCUCCGUUACUCUAUCAGAUUAAUAAAGAUAGGAAACAUUUAUGAUUAUUCUAGCAAAAAAAUGACCUUUGAUAGAAAUAACCUUUUUAUUUUAAGUGAAAUGCGUACUAUAUAUAUAUUAGUAAUUAGCAUUUGGUGUGUUUAAAAAAGAUGAAACUUCAAAAAUUAAAUUUGAGAUACACCGCUAACUAAUUUUGUUUCAAAAAGGCUUUUAAGUAAUUUUUCCUCAAUCCAAAAUAGUAAAACUUUUCGUUAUCUAACUUUACUAAUUUAUUAGGCAAUCAUCUUUCCUACGUGUAAUGAAAGUACACAUUAAUUAAAGUUUUAAAUCAAGUAUGUUGAACAUUUCGCCCCUCGAAUUAUAAUUCUGGCCAUUUAGUUCUCGGAAAAAUGAACUCUGUCGUUUAGACAAUCACGCCUUUGCAAAGCUGGUGUUUCCAAUGCGUAAAGAGAGUUACAAGCAACUGAGUUGAUGGCGAUGGAAAGAGGUUACAAACCGAGUUUUGACAAGAGCUUGGCCGACGCGUGUGGUAUUACACGGUGAGCCUGAGUCCCUCUUCGACAGUCCGGCCAUUUUUUGUUCGUUUUGAGAUGGCCGACGGCCCUCAACUUCGGCAUCCCGGUCAUCCUUGUGUUCUCGGCCUUAUAGAGCUGAGUGGACAUUUCGACCGUGUCCUACACCGUCAGGCACGCCGACCGCUGAUCCACAGUUCCACAUUCGUGCAUUGCUGCGAAGGAUGCGAAGUUUUCCACCACAAGUUGUACGCUAAGGACCUACUAUGGCCCCAGAUACAACACCCUUGGCAGGUUGGCCUUCCGCUGCGAUUCGUGCAAUGUCCAGUUAUAUUUCUGCCUCACGAUUAAGCUGGACAGGGACAUUCCAACUCAAGGCAAGAAGUUUCGAGUCAUGAAUGCGCAUUGACCUUAUGCUAUGGCGAGUUUAGCUGCAGCCUGUGCAGGGAUGUGAUCUCGGAUGCGGAUUGUUAUGUCUCUUUUGGACUGUGCUGUCGUUUGGCAUAAGAGACCAAGCUGCUCGGAUUCUCCUCAGUUGAUCGUCAUCGCCGUCAUAUGUGCGAGCUGCUCAGACUCUGUCAAGCGCUUCCAUUACUAUCGCCGGACGUAGCACCUACCAUCUAAGCAAGAUUUUCUACUCAAAACUCUCACAUAUCAUCAGCUAGGAGCAAAUGCGACAAUAAUGAGGAUGAUGCAAGUGGUACACCCAACAAAGAAUUGAGUUGAUACAUUGUGAUAAGAUUCAAGGGUUGCCAACACUCCCAACAAGUUUAACCUAUCUAUUAGUGUCAUCUUCAUCAUUGCGGGUAGUCCCAGAUCUCUCGAACUUGACUAAUUUGGUUGAGCUGAUACUACAACAACAUGGACAAGUAGGAGAUAAACUUUGUAUCGAUCAGUUAUGGUGGAUUGAGAGGUUAUCCAAACUAACGGUUUUAAGGGUCAAACUUCACGAAGUCCCUAUUCCUAUUGAGGUUGGUUCGCUUCCUCUGCUAACGUUACUUGACUUGUCUAAAUUGGACAUGCAAACCUUUCAGCCACUUCCCUUGUCUCUGCAAAGGCUAAGCCUUGGCAAUUCCAAUUCAAUUGGGUCACUCUCUCAGGACUUGAGAAAUUUGUCAUUUUUAAAGCUCCAUGGGUCUCCAAUGCAAGAAUUUCAACUCGAUGGGCUUCAACUUCCACAACUAAAGGAGUUGCAUGUGGAGUAUUGGGCACCCCUCGAGAGGUUGAGGCUAUCAAGAAAGAUGUUAAGGUGGUAAAUUGUCCAAAGCUGGUUGAGAUCCAAUUGUCUUAGGUGUUCGAAUCACUGGAGGCAUUGUCUAUUGAACAUUGCAAGUCCUUGGAAAUGCUAGUUUAUGAGAUUCACAAUGAAUUGAUUACUUGUGAAGGGAGACUAAUUUUUCCAUCAAGAGUCUUUAAGUAACUUGCGUGCUCUCACACUGCAUCAUUGCCCUUCGAUACUCCACAUUCAAGUUGUAGAUACAUGGGAAUCGUGGGAGUACUUUCGCCUUUGGAGUUGGCCUCAUCUGCAAAGUCUCGGUGGUUUGUCAAACUUAAAGAACCUGAAGACUUUAAAUAUCCAAAACUACGAAAGCCUGCGACUAGUUGUGGGCGUCAACAAGUUUUUGGGCCAAUUAGUUCUUUGUAGCUGCGCGUCGUUGGAAAGGGUGAUUUAUGUAUCAACCACCAAACUGCCGAUCGAUUGCCACUUAUUUAUCUUCGGUUGCGAGAAAUUACGAGGGACUGAGAAUGAGUCAAGGGCUUCCGGAAGGAAUUCGGGGCUUCGAUCCGGUGCUUCAAACCACUAUAAAGUGAGUCCGAAUCAUUCUCUCUUUUGCUUUUCGAUUUUCUUAAUGCAACUAUCACAAACAUGAAUUUAUCUUUUAGGCAGAUUUGUAAUAAUUGUGGGAAAUCCAAAAACAAUCCAACGAGCGUGAAUUAUAUUUUGUUUUACUCAUUUUAAAACUCACUCAAUAUAAAAAAAAUUAUUUUUAUUUUUUUGGUAAACAUAAAUUGUUUUAUUUUCUGCUUGCAUUUUCUCAUUUUAUUUUCUAUUUAUUGUAUACGAGAAAGUCCUAUUUGUACGGGGCCAGUUUUAAUCAUAAAUGAUUGGAGAAACUUCAAUGGCUGGAAAAAAUAUAUAUACACUAGCGCAAAGUCUCCGACAAAACUAUUAAUCUUGUUUUGUAUGGAGUGAGUUGUUUGGUUUAGCAACAUUUACUCCACUCUAUUGUUGUUUCUUACUUAAUAUAUUUAUUAUGGAGAUGAGUUUGGUGAUUUGCGAUUUCAUAGUGAAGAUGGAACUUAAAAGACUCCAAUUCACAUUGAUGAAGUUGAGAGUUGCUUGAAUUUGCAUGAGGUUGGGGUUGGCCAAUUAGGAUGUGUGUUUCUAAAAGCAUCUAAAAAAUUAUUAUUAAAGAUUCUGCAUUCUAAAAGGGAACAAUGAAAAUCUAAUUGCCGGAUGAUAUAUUUCCACAUCAAAUCACAAGAAUUGUUUCUUUCUCCGUACUUGAACACUUGUUAAGGGAGUAUAUGCAUAGUGCAAGCAAAAAGUAGGAAGAUUCCUAAUUCUUAUCUUCUCAAUCUUUUCGAAACAACUAAAUCGAGUUUUUAGAUGAUUGUGAUCUGCUUACUAAAAUAAAGUUUAAUUUUGGUUUAUUGAUACUAAACUCAUCAUUUGAUAUAGAAAAUUAAAGUAACGUCAUUUUAAUAUUUUUAUUAGUGUUUUAUUAUUAAUAUUCAACGACAUAUCUUUUUUAUUGGUUGUUUCCUCUCUCUUUUUUCUGUUUUCCUCCAUCGUUUAAAAAAGCAAAAAGCACAUUUUUUUUUUCAAUCUCAACGAAUGCAAUUAAAACCUAUAUGUAUAAUAAAAACUGUUCUAAAUUCCUCGAAAGAUACCGAUGAAAGUCAUAUAUAGAUUAAACACGGUGGUUGAUUGCAUAAUUUUAAUCAUUUCAUUCCUUUGUUGAAACUUUCACGGAAGACUGGUUGUGAUUUUAUUUUGCAGGAAUCAUGCUUUGAUAGGAUCGGGACAUGUUCGGGUGAUAUACUCUCUCGAGUCUUGACACUCCUUGCACCUGCUUACGCCGCGAAUUCUCGAACUCCUCUUCACUGUUGUGGCCAAAGACACCUGGUCGACUCCUCGCGGCUGCUGCGUCCCAUUGUCGUCACAACUGAGCGGAACUGAAGAAGCCAGGUCUCUUUGACGCCUUUUGAUGGAUCACGGCCAUUGCGCAUCACCAUCUGCCGCCAUGUAUACCCGGCGUUUCUCCAAGACGUUCUCUCUAGUUUUCGCCAUCGCCAUUUCCAUUUCUCUCGCUUGCUUCGGUUCUCUUUGCUCUUCUUCCUGCGGGUCUCCUCCUGUCUGUGAAGCAAUGCAGGAGGACACGUCUUUCCUGCGGGUCUCCUGUCUGGCUUUUACCGGUCCUGCAGUCUAUUACGAAUGUUAGACCUGAAUCCACUACCCCUUAUGUUCAUCCUUCUUCAUGUAAAUUAACUAAAUUAAAAAAAAAAAAAACGAAAAACAAAAGAAAACAUCACUGGCCCUCUCCGGCGGCAGCAAGUGCCCUUGCCAAUUUGCCUUCUUCCUUUUUUUAUCUAUUAAAUUUAGCUUAUUUUUUAGUUUGAUUUAAAUAAAAUUUGUAAUAAAAAUCAGAUAUAGAUAUAUUCCAUGUUUUAGCCAUGUCAUCACCACAAAAAGGAAGACGAUAUUUAAAAAGCCAAGUCAGUGUUUUCCAUUACUUUAGUUAGACAAAAUUAAUGGAAAAACUUGGUUGCAUCAAUUUAACAAGUUUAGACCUUAAUUGCAUUUUCUGUAAAUUUUAGGAUUGAAUUACACUUUUAUAACAAGUUUUAGGAUUUCUAGAUUACUUAUCUCUAAUUUAUAUUUUACCACAUUAUGAUUUAAACUAUCACAACCAACUGCUGCAAACUCCGUCUAGAUUUUAAUAUUGGAUCAUCGGGUCUUGAGUUUGAUCAUUCACUCUUUUCACCUUCAAUAAUUUUGGAAAAGUAUUAUAUCUGCAUAUUUCAUACUUUCACUCUUCUAUAUAACAGCGUUAGCAUCAAGAGCUAUUCAAAUAUAAAACUUAGUCGACUCUUUAUUAGCUCAAACCUUUGGAACUACUUAUUGCGCACGCCGACUAUAAGGAAAGCAAUGUCAUUCAUGCUCUUCUUUAGUACACCUCCAGGAGCACGUGUAAUUGAACCCUAUAUCUUGGAGAACUUUUGACAGCAAUUUUGGACCUUUUGGUUUCUAUCGGUCUUUGCAUGGAGGUGGUCAAUAUGAUAAACGAAGAUAAAGAAGAUAAGAUUUGCGACCUUAAGACAAAUAAUCGCAUAGGUUGGGCAUCAUGUGACAGCUCAAAUGUCGCACGAUCUAAAGUUUUAUAUUAGCACUGCCCUGGCUUUCUCGCCGCCAAGAAAACCCACUAAGUUGUGACGCCAAGCUGUCUUUUAUAAUGAACUCGAGUAGGAAACCGAGUACUCUCAAGUCAAAGGAAAUAACAAGCCGAGAAUGAACUAUUAUGAAUGUUAAGUUUGAGAAGUGGGUCCAUAUUUGAAACAUUGAACCUGACGGCAUCUCAUGAACAAAGAGGGAAGAAAAAUAGUCUUGAUUCAGCGAGGCACCCGGAAAUGUCCUCGGGAUUUCAUCCGGAACCGACAGGACACAAAAAUAGAGUCCCUGAAUAGAAGAAGGAAGCCAGCAUGCUUCCACAAUCCAGAAGUCUGAGAAAUAAGCACGCGUAAACUUUCCUGAUUCAUCAUUGCACCCGUGUUCAGAAGAAUGUCUGAGCAAGUAGAAAUUUCCCAUGUUUGUAUAGGCACAUGCAUCCAUGAUCUCCUGUGAUUCUAUUUGGGCGUGACUUGUGCACACUCGUUUAUGUUGUGGGUUUGAGAGAGAGGGAGAGAUAUCUCGUUUGAUGCAACUUCAAGCGUGAAUCUGCUUGGACAUGAGCUGCGAUGCAUACUUCUGUACCCUACGGAUGUUUUGUCUGGUGAAGGAAUUGCAAAGAAAUGCCAGGGGUAAAAGAUAAUAUCAUGGAUAACCCGAAUAACAUCCUGUGAAAACAUUGAUAACCAUAAGGAUAUCUUUUCUUCGGAGAUGGGAUGAUUAAGCAUUAACAGAUUGUUGUUGGUCGCAAGUGCUCGAACAAGCAAUUCUUUAGCUUCUUCCUGCUUCUUCUUUAGCAUGUUGCAGAUCUGUAAGACAAUUCCCUUAGUCAGCCAAUGUAUUACUAGCAGAAAGAUCACAACGAUGGUAGAGUAGACAAGAGGCAACACUUCAAUGCCAGUCUAUGUUCCAAUCGCCUUCUGAAAACUCAAUUGCUAAUUAUAGACCUUUAAUUAAAAAAAAAAAUAGUUAUAAAGUACCAUAGAUUCAUCUUUAAGGAUAAUCAGGUUGGACUGUAGAAGAAAUCACAAUUUCCGUAUUAGAAAGAUUCUCUCCAUCGGUUGAUUUCUAGUUGUACAAAUUCAUUAAAUGAAGAUGAUUAAUGUCAAUGAACCCAUAACCAAAUUAUCGGAAGUGAGCAAACAUCCAGUAGUGAAAACUACAAAUUCAAGAAAUCGUUCGUCAACUCCCCUAACCACCNNNNNNNNNNNNNNNNNNNNNNNNNNNNNNNNNNNNNNNNNNNNNNNNNNNNNNNNNNNNNNNNNNNNNNNNNNNNNNNNNNNNNNNNNNNNNNNNNNNNNNNNNNNNNNNNNNNNNNNNNNNNNNNNNNNNNNNNNNNNNNNNNNNNNNNNNNNNNNNNNNNNNNNNNNNNNNNNNNNNNNNNNNNNNNNNNNNNNNNNNNNNNNNNNNNNNNNNNNNNNNNNNNNNNNNNNNNNNNNNNNNNNNNNNNNNNNNNNNNNNNNNNNNNNNNNNNNNNNNNNNNNNNNNNNNNNNNNNNNNNNNNNNNNNNNNNNNNNNNNNNNNNNNNNNNNNNNNNNNNNNNNNNNNNNNNNNNNNNNNNNNNNNNNNNNNNNNNNNNNNNNNNNNNNNNNNNNNNNNNNNNNNNNNNNNNNNNNNNNNNNNNNNNNNNNNNNNNNNNNNNNNNNNNNNNNNNNNNNNNNNNNNNNNNNNNNNNNNNNNNNNNNNNNNNNNNNNNNNNNNNNNNNNNNNNNNNNNNNNNNNNNNNNNNNNNNNNNNNNNNNNNNNNNNNNNNNNNNNNNNNNNNNNNNNNNNNNNNNNNNNNNNNNNNNNNNNNNNNNNNNNNNNNNNNNNNNNNNNNNNNNNNNNNNNNNNNNNNNNNNNNNNNNNNNNNNNNNNNNNNNNNNNNNNNNNNNNNNNNNNNNNNNNNNNNNNNNNNNNNNNNNNNNNNNNNNNNNNNNNNNNNNNNNNNNNNNNNNNNNNNNNNNNNNNNNNNNNNNNNNNNNNNNNNNNNNNNNNNNNNNNNNNNNNNNNNNNNNNNNNNNNNNNNNNNNNNNNNNNNNNNNNNNNNNNNNNNNNNNNNNNNNNNNNNNNNNNNNNNNNNNNNNNNNNNNNNNNNNNNNNNNNNNNNNNNNNNNNNNNNNNNNNNNNNNNNNNNNNNNNNNNNNNNNNNNNNNNNNNNNNNNNNNNNNNNNNNNNNNNNNNNNNNNNNNNNNNNNNNNNNNNNNNNNNNNNNNNNNNNNNNNNNNNNNNNNNNNNNNNNNNNNNNNNNNNNNNNNNNNNNNNNNNNNNNNNNNNNNNNNAUGGACUUCCACUUCAGUGGAACUCGCCUUAGGGGAAAUCUUAACAUGAAAUUUAGGAUGGUCACAAGACACUCUGUUGGUUUUGCUCUGUUCAGUGUCCUCAUGAUUGCAAACCUGAUACGUAUGAUCUAAGAAACCAGCAAGAAAUGAGUUUCGACUCUCUGUUGAAAUAGAAAAACUUAAGAAGGUUCUGUCCAUUUACCGGUUCAGUGACAACAGCUUCGGAGGAUUCGCUGAAACUUCUGAAGUGUCAAGGGUAAGAACAUUACUUCCACAAACAAAACCCAGUCACAGGAGCGAAGGUAGUGGAAUUAUUAGCACUCUUCACCUUUUUCCACCUGGAGACUCAGAGGGCGAUUCCAGUGGACUAGAUGACAUCCCCUGCAAAAUAGACACACCAAUUCUAAUGCAUUACAAAAUAGCAUCCCCAUAAUUGUAUUUGCAACGCCCUAUUGAAGAGGUCUAAGGUAUUACUUGGAAGUGAAGAGCAAACAAUAGAAAGGAACCUCAGAUGAUUUCCCUUAUGAAUUGAGAAGUGGCUGGUUUUAUUGGUUUACCUGUUCUGUGACAACAGUUUCUGAGGAUUCUCUGAAACUUCUAAAGUGUUGAGUAAGAACAUUACUUCCACAAACAACCCGGUCACAGGAGCAAGUAUAAUGGCGCUAUUAACACUCUUCACCUUUUCUCACUUGGAGACUGAAAGAGCAGUUUUGAUGGACUAAAUGGCAUUAAAUUGGCAUCUGAUCCCUGCAAUAUACACUCAUGGCUUCUAAUGCAUUACAAAGUAGCAUCCCCAUAAGUAUAUUAGAGCAAACAACAGAAAGGAACCGCAUAUGAUUUCCAUUUCAAGGAUGAAUUGGGAAGUGACUGGUUUUCGGUGCUUUUGCUACGAUGAGCUAACGAAUGUGCUGCAUCUCCUCGCAUUGCUGUAAUUUGCUCAGAGUCUCUCAUGGAACUGAUUUCCUCUGUAGGACUAGAACCAAGUUGAUCUUCUUUGGUUCUUGUGGCCCUGCGCACAUUGACAUCAUGAUCUCUUGAGAGUNNNNNNNNNNNNNNNNNNNNNNNNNNNNNNNNNNNNNNNNNNNNNNNNNNNNNNNNNNNNNNNNNNNNNNNNNNNNNNNNNNNNNNNNNNNNNNNNNNNNNNNNNNNNNNNNNNNNNNNNNNNNNNNNNNNNNNNNNNNNNNNNNNNNNNNNNNNNNNNNNNNNNNNNNNNNNNNNNNNNNNNNNNNNNNNNNNNNUAGGUGUCAACAACUCAUUUAUACUGCCCAUCUUGCAGAGGGGAACUGCAAAAGUUUAGCGCAAGCAGAUUAAGCAUAAGCGUACGCAAAUUAAUGCUGUGUCAAAGGUCUAGUCCACUAUAUGCAAUCUACUUGCUAGCAUUGGCAAUGUCUAAGACGGGACAUGACAUAACAUGAACAGAAUCAAACAUAAAAUUCAUAUGACAUGACAUUGGCAUAACCUUUCUGUAAUGAGGGGUUAUUUCAGUCUUGAAAGUAUAUAUCAUUUAAAGGAAUAUCACUCUCCCAUGCCAUGUGACCCAAAAGUUCAAACUGAACAUGAACAUAUCAUGCUACAGCUCCCACUUCCAGGCUUGUAGUCUUCUAGCAGAUAAUUUAGUCAUGUUUUACCAGAGACAAAGAUGCCAAUAUCUACUUCAAAGAAUAGUACGAGAAAUUUAAUGAGCUUUCCUGGCCAAUAAUAAAGGGAGACUUAGACUUGAGAGACAAUUGCAAGUAAAGGUUUAUAAUUUCGGCUGAAAGGGCUUUAAUUUCAUCAACAGAAAGCAAAUAAUCAAGAACAUAUCUACAUGUGUUGAUCAAACUAGAAAUAUACAGCAAUUAGGAAAGUGUCCAAUGUCUCAACGCAAACUAUGAUAUACAAUUAAAAAAAAAAAAAUUCUCAUUUUACCCUAGUUGAAAGUCCGACGGAACAGAAGAGUAAUAACCAGGGCAUCUUUAUAUCGGGAACAAAUAAACUUUCCCUUUUUUAUUUUGAGUUAGUGUGUGGGUGGGGGAGUGGCAGCAGGGAGGAGAUAACUUAAACAUUACUUGUUAGAUACUGUUAAAUGAAGUACGUGGGAAAAAUAAAAUGCUAGAAUUUGAACAAAAUUUCAAACAGCUCAACAAUUACAACUCAAUUGGGUACGGAUGCCUCACCUCAGAUGAGAAGUGGGUCUCACACUGAUAUGGCUUCCACUGACUUUUUGUUUGCUCCCUUGCUGGUGAAUUUCGACCAAAAAGCAACUUUCCCCCAACUUGAGAAUCCUCGGCAUUGUUUCCCAACCUGUUGCAGAUUGCAUGAACCAUGUGAAGGUAUAAAGCAUAUCAAAGAAACUAAAAUCAAAAAGAAAAUCUUCACCUAGUGUCAUUUAGAUGUACAGAAGCAAGUCUUUUGCUGCUAAAUUGAGUAAGCUUUCUCCCAGUUGAUGGUUCUCGAGAAGACUGACUCUUUAUUUCCUCUGAUCUCUUGGAAAACUUUGAAUGGGCUUGUCCAGGCUCUCUACCAGUAAAGAAAGAGGACGAUAUUUAAGUGCAGGUCCUCCGCUUGGGACAUUUACAUGUUACUAAAAGUGAGCUAAGAAGUGCAAAAACAUUAUGCUGUUGAUCCAACAAUCUUUAUACUGAACUCUGGAAGUCACCAUAAAAUGCAUCAAAAUGAUAGCAAAAACUCAAUGAAUGAGUGCAUCAGACUGAAAUCACAACUUGCAUUCCCCUCCUUAAAAAUUAAGCUACGAUGCAUAUGCUUUCUAAAUUUUCACAAAAUCGAUCAUCAAGAGUCCAUGUUUCUUAAAAGGAGCCAUUAAUGGCGCAUUGCUCUAAUUUGGCAUGGCAGAAACUUGCCAAUAUCAUCCUAAUAUAGAUUCCCCCUCGUUCCUCUAAUCACUUAAAGGUAAGGGAUAAAUGGGACAACCUGAAAACAGCUGUUUCACUGUCAUGCAGUACUUUGCUUGGGAUAAUACAGGCUGUAUCAUUAAGACUUGUCUCAGGCUUGGCCUCUUCAUCGUGAGCCUUAGUAGCAUUCAAUGAAUCAAAAAUAGGUUUAUUGCUUCCAUUUGCCUUGCCUUCUGCUCCUGGCACAUGUGGCACACUUGAAACUUCUGACUGCAUGUUGCCAUGAGAAUAUGUAGCUUCCCCUAUAAUUUCUUUCCUGUUACUCUGCUCUUCACCCAAAGUGGAAUUUAAACUUUUGAAGAUAGACAAAUCUUUUCUUGGAUGCUCUGGGAUGGUACUUAAAUUUGUGUCAACCCCGGGCUAAAUAUGUACCUCUAUUGAGGCUGUUUUGUCUGACAAAUAAUCUUGUUGGUCAGAUCCUUGAGAACACGUGAUGUUUGUCCUUUCGAAAGAAGAUUGUUGUGGAAUUGAAAUUCUACAUGCUGCGGGCUUUGGCACCCAAUCAUCCAUUCUUGGGUUUGGCAUAGAAGUUGAAGUUACAGAAGUUCCUACUUGAAUCUCUGAUGUACCCACACAGCACGUUGAUUGAAUAUUAUCAAUCAUAGUGUUAUCCUCACAGUCAGGAAUUGCCUCAGGAAGGCGUGUUUCCGAGCCCUGUUGCUCAUUCAUCUCCAAUGAUCUCCCUUUGCUUCCUAUAACCUUCUUCCCACCUUGUUCUUCCUUAGUCAUGGGUGAAUCAAGAUUAAAGCCAUCCAACCUGGAUAGCACAAAUGGCUGCUAAGUUCAUAGAUUGCAAUCACAAGUCAUGACAUUUCCCUUCACUUGAAAAUAUAACCUUAUGUAUCAAAGAAUAUGCCCUAAUGUAUGCAUUGUGAAGCUGUCUUACCCAUUAAAAUCAAAGGAGAAAGAAAAUCUUUUCUUAAAAUUUCCUUCAUCAGGUGAUUCUGCUUCAUUUCUGUCAUGUUUGGAGAUUUCUUAGAUAGGCAGAAGAAAUCAAGAUCCGGCAUGUCCACUUUGAAUGAUGAAAACUUGUUAAAGUCAGCAUCCACGUUAAAAUCGACAUCCCUGAAAAAGGAUAUUUAACAAUCAAUCCACAGAAAACAGAGAUAUAUCCCACUCUCAUAACAAAUAAGAUUGUAACUAGCUUUCAUGCAUGUUCACCAUCGUCCAUCAUUUUAAUAAUUUUUGAAGUGGAUGAAUGAUAUGUAAAGCAUGGCUCGCUCGAUCACCACGGGCAGUAUUCUCCACAAACAGGUAAUUGUACACGGGUGAAUAUAUGUAACCAACUCAAGUAUGAAGAUAGAAUAUUAAAGUUACAUCCCACAUCCAUACUGGUUUAUUAUCUAGCUGCCCAUACUUUAAGUUUCACUUACAGUUUAUCAAUGUUGAAUUUCUUCAUUUUGCCUUUGCCAACAGUAUCAAAGCUAAAAUCCACUGUGUCAUCUUCUGCCACAGACAACGACUUCCAGGAGGUAAGGAACUCCUUUCCAAAUUCAGCAUCUGUUGAAAUCAGAUUUAACAUUGAGCUAUGACCUACAUAUCUGACCUUCAUAAGACAUGGCCAGAAAUGUGUACAAGCAAUCAUCCUAAUCAAUGACAAGGAUGAAAACCAAUUUUAACAUUAAUAAAGCUUUAAUUUGUUUUCAAGUAGAUGAAAAGUAUGCUGCACUAAUUAUUGACCACGAUAUCCAAAAGAGUCAUGUGUCAGGCCAUAUUACAAAAAUAACCUAAACAGAUUAUAUAGGUUUAGGAUUGAGAAAUAUGCAUCCUUGUGGUACCAUUCCACCUCUGAAGCGAAUUUACUGUAUUUUGAGAUUUGUCAAGCUUAUACAGAGUACCUAGUAAUGAUUUAUCCUCUUUCUGAUUCACCACUGCAGUUUCCUUAGGUGAAUCUGCCAUCUGCAAGGGAAAGAGUGAGGAAAGCAUAAUAAAAAAGAGAAUUCAAAUGGCCCUUAGAAUUUACAAAAGAAAAGGGAGAUUUUAAUUGCAAAUCCAUUAGGUUGGCUAUACUACACAGCAACCUCCUCUCUUCGUAAAAGCAACCUCUCUUUGUUAAACCAUUGCAUCUAUAACAUUUUUGCACUUAUCUUACGCAGAAGCAUAUAUAAACUAACCUAGGAGGGACCUUAGCCAGUCCAUUAAAGUGAAAAACCCACACAUGACAUGCAGACAGUUCAUAAAGGAGCAGCAUUGACUUAUACAAAAUGGUUAGGUGCAGAGUUGCGAGCUCUAAAUUUAAAACCGUGGGGCCAGAAACACCCAUAUAUACAUGCCACUAUCGUAUAUCUGUGAAGAUUCAUUUUUCAUCCUUCCACAAAUGCAAAGAUAAAGGAUCUCCAAUUUGACAGCAGUGAUAAGAUGGACACCUAAUCAGUACAAUAAAGUAAGGAUCAUCUCAAGAUUUCUCAGCCUUGAUUCAAAGGGACAUAAGUCUCUCAUACUUUCGAUAUGAAAUGUCUGAAGGAGUUCAACUAGACCACAAGUGGAAACCACUAUAGCUAUUACAAAGGAUGAACAAAUGCAGUAUUAAUAAGUUCAUACGGGGGCAAAGCACAGGGCUAAUCCAGUAUAAUCUAUCCCAAGAAAAUAACACUGAUGCUAUUUUAACAUGAGAAACCAUAGCAUUGGGUUUUAGCCAAUGAAUUAAUGGCUGUCGUAUGACUGCCUAAAAUAUAUAGGUCCUCCUAUCACAUUCAUAUCAUCUGAUUUCCAGUACAGAGAAGUUCAAUUAAAAUGAAUGUAAUUGAGAAAAAAAGAAAUACAUCAGAACAGCAACUUAUCAUGACAUCAUUUCUACGAAAACAGAUGCCGAGAAAUAGCAUUACCUUUGUAUGUAAAUGCCGUAAGUCAUAGUGAUUUCCUCUGAAUAAGCGCCUACAUUGCGCUCAAACUGCAAGGAGCUAUAUACCUCCAGCAAAAGGAUUACACCAAUUUUGAACGCAAACUUAUCCACAAGCUUGUUCCAGAGGUAUAUCAGAGAGAGAUAAACGUAGCAAUCGAGAAGAAAUUCUUUGCUGCGCCUAACCUCCAAAAUUAUAGAUGGUGCUCCAACGAACUCGAUAAAGCCAAUCUACAUUGAUCACAAAGACGUCUUCCGACAUCAAACGGACCUACUGUGACGGCAGGGUGGGAGACGCAAAACGAGCGAACGCGAAACGGCGAGUGACAACUGAGCGCGGAAUCAAACAGGUGAGAGUCCGAAGGAACUCCUCAUCGGUACAGUUGGCAUCCCAUCAAAUCCACCAUCGGAAAACUAAGCGCGCUCGCUAAGUACCUCCGCUCAACACUACGAAACAAUCAGCGAAAGCUGAUGGUUCAGAGGCACGGAGCAACGAGACACUGAAGAAGCCACGGCCAGAAGAAGAAAUCGACGGAUUGCGAAAGCUCGAGAUCGAUUCGCACGUCGACAUUACCUUCCUUGCGAUCGCGACAGGGAGCGAGCUCGAGCGUGGGGGAGAGAGAGAGAGAGAUCGAUCGGCUGGAUUUGAAUGGAGAUGAGAGUGAAGUAAUCUGGUUUUUCUACAGGUUUUUGAAUGGCGACUCUUUAUAUAGAGAGAGAGACGGAGAGUAGCUUUGUCGCGACCUACCCUCGGGGGAGGGAACAGGUUUAGGGGUAUUGCCUAAGGAAGGGCCUAAGGCUCAUGAUUAGGUAUGAGCUCCCAUACCCCGCGUGACAUUGGGAUAUUCUUAAGGAAUUUUGCACAAAAGGUGUCGCCAUUAGCUUAUUGGGGUCGGCUAGAAACCAAGUGAGGCAUGGGAGUGUGUCUCACUUCCUACGCAACCAGAGAAUCUAGGAUCGGGGACUUGAUUACACUAAUUAACCAAUUAGUGCCCUUUCGGUACCUAAUCUUGUUCAUUUUAACAAAAUGAUGUUUGGCAAGUAGUUUAGAUUGAUUUUAUACCAUGUGAGGUGAUCAUGCAGAUACGCAGUCAUUAAAAUAACAAUCAUAACUACCAAAAUCCUAAUUGCAAUCAAAUUAAACACGUACAAUUAAACAUAAUUAGAUACGUAAAUCAAACAUGUAACAUAAUUAAUAUGCGAGCAAAUAAAUGCUUAAUUAUACUAACAUGGCAAGAUAUAGCAAUUCCUAACCAAAUCCCAUCAUUUUUUUUAUUUUCUAAAUUUUUUUAAUUUUUUUAAAAGAAAAAUAAUUAUUUUUAAAUUUUUUUUAAUUUUUUAAUUUUUAAUAUUUUUUGAAUUUUCGAAAUUUUUUUUUAAAUAAUAAAUUAAUUUUUGAGACCGGGCCGGUCCAACCCGGCCCGGGUUCGGCCCCGUCGACGCGGAUUGGACCGGACCCGGGUUCGGUCCAAUAGGCCCAAGUGGGUCUGAAGCUUGGGCCCAGCCCAAGAAGUCUCCCUCCUCCCUUUUUAAAAGAAAGCAAGCCCACAAGCCUAUACUAAACCAGCCCAAGCCCAAAAGCCCACAAGUAGAAACAACCCAAACCCGGCCCAAUUCACCUAAAACCCUACCCAUUUCUUUGACCCGGUUUGUACCUCCUCUUUAGGGUUCUGUGUUGACGGCGGUGGCGGCGACGCGGCGGGCGGUGGCGGCGACGCGGCGUCUGCGAAGACGAGUGGCACUCGGGCAGAGGAGGGCGUCACGGACGUGUGUGCAGCAGGCAAGGGCCGGUGUGGGGCUCGCUCGGCGGUGACUGGCGAGGCAGCUCGAACGGCGUCGGGUUGAGGGCGGUGAUGGGUGAGCGACGGCACCGGCUGCAGCGAGGGGAUUCGGACGGUGACUAGAGCGGGACGGUGGCGGUGGUCGGCCUGGUGGUGCAGCGGAGUUCGAUCAACUCCCAGAUCUGGUUCGUCUCCGGCUGGUUCGGCGUCGGGAACGCUGUGGGCGGCGAACGACGGCAGCAGCAGCAGGGAGGCGGUGUUUCGGCGAGGGGCGGUGACGACGUCAAGGUCGGCGAACAGGAGCUCGGCUGCUGCAGGUUGCAUGGCGAGGGGACGCAGCGACCGACUUGGGUGAAGCGGCGGUGGCACGAGGAUUAGUGAGUAGGAGCAGAGGCAGUGUCGUGGGGGCUCGGGAUCUGGUGUUCGGGCAGGAGGGGCGGCCGGAGGCGUCGAGUUGCAAGGUCGACGGCAGCAAUGGCGGCAAGCAGGGACGGCAAAUAGCAACAGCUCGUCAGGGCCGGCGGAAAAACGCCCGUUGGUCGUCGUGGGUCAGCUGCGGGAGCAGCGGAGACAGACGGAGGGCGAGGUUGCUCGUGGAGACGCAGCAGAACGGCGAAUGCUGGGCCGAGGCGUCGCGAGGUCGACGGGCGGCACUCGGACAGAGGGGGGGGGGGGGGUCGGUCGAACGGCAACGGCGGCAGCGGUGGUGCCGCCACCGCCCUUCCUUCCGGUUUUCCCUCUCUUUUUCUCCUCUCUCUUUCUGCGUUUUUUUUUGUUCUGGAUCCUCUCCCUCUCUCUGUCUGGUCCCUCCUACACUGGCCGGCUCCCUCCUCUUUUCCUAGUUCCCAACCCCCUUUCGAAAACCCUAGCUACCGAGAGAAGAAGACCCUGGGCGCGGGCUGGGCUCAACUAGAAACAAAAGUGGGCCGGCCCUGCGCGAGAGAAAAAAAAAAGGAAUAGGGGGCGGUGGGCUGGUUUGAGGCUGGAUCCGGCCCAAUCCACCCUCUAAGUAAUUUUUCAUUUUUUUUUCUAUUUUCUAUUUUCUUUUUCUUUUUCUUUUGUUGUUGUUUUGCUAUUUUUUUUUCUUUUUCUCUAAUAAUUUUUUGUACUUGAAAACAAAAAUUGGGUGUCAACAGCUGCCCCUCUUUUAAUGUUGUCUCGAAGAGGUUGCAUUCAAAGACAAAAGACACCUAAAUUAUUUAUGUAGUAGAGAGACCCUGAGUACAUAGGCACGCGUUAGGUCGACAAAAAUGAUUCAUAACUAUGAAAGCACGUCUUGCAAAUAAGAUGAAGAAAGACUUCGGGCUACAGAAGCCUACCGGGUCAUAAGAUGGGAGGGAGACUCCGAGAUACAAAGCUCUCUAGGUCAUAAGAAGUGAGGAAGACUCCAGGAUACAAAGCUCUCCGGGUCAUGAGAAGGGAGGAAGACUCCAAGAUACAAAGCUCUCCGGGUCAUGAGAAGGGAGGAAGACUCCAGGAUACAAAGCUCUUCGGGUCAUGAGAAAUGAGGAAGACUCCAGGAUACAAAGCUCUCCGGGUCAUAAGAAGUGAUGAAGACUCCAUGAUACAAAACUCUCCGGGUCAUGAGAAGGGAGGAAGAUUCCAGGAUACAAAGCUCUCCGGGUCAUGAGAAGUGAGGAAGACUCUAGGAUACAAAGCUCUCCGGGUCAUGAGAAGGGAGGAAGACUCUAGGAUACAAAGCUCUCCGGGUCAUGAGAAAUGAGGAAGACUCCAGGAUACAAAGCUCUCCGGGUCAUGAGAAAUGAGGAAGACUCCAGGAUACAAAGCUCUCCGGGUCAUGAGAAAGGAGGAAGACUCCAGGAUACAAAGCUCUCCGGGUCAUGAGAAGGGGUCAUGAGAAGUGAUGAAGACUCCAGGAUACAAAGCUCUCCAGGUCAUGAGAAGGGAGGAAGACUCCAAGAUACAAAGCUCUCCGGGUCAUGAGAAAUGAGGAAGACUCUAGGAUACAAGGCUCUCCGGGUCAUAAGAAGUGAUGAAGACUCCAGGAUACAAAGCUCUCCGGGUCAUGAGAAAUGAGGAAGACUCCAGGAUACAAGGCUCUCCGGGUCAUAAGAAGUGAUGAAGACUCCAGGAUACAAAGCUCUCCGGGUCAUAAGAAGUGAUGAAGACUCCAGGAUCCAAAACUCUCCGGGUCGUAAGAAGUGAUGAAGACUCCAUGAUACAAAGCUCUUCGGGUCAUAAGAAAUGAUAUGACUGAGGUCUCAUAUUGUAAAAUGAGUUUUGAUUGGGUAUGAUAGUCUCACUGUGCAUGAACGGGUUUCGACUGGGAGGCGGACAAGCGUGGUUUACGGAUGAACCCACCAAUCUUGGAGAUGAGAUGGUUUAAGGUUAACCAUAAGCCUUUGGAGACGACAUGGUUUAAGGCUGACCAUCAACCUUUGGUUUUUAUGGAAGCACCCGCUAAACCCUUAGAAAACUGCAUGGCUUCACUGAUGAAUCCUGUCAAACUCAACUUGAGCAAAUGUCAUUAGAGAUGUCAUCAAGAGAUGUAUUGGCAAUAUUGCAGCAAUAAUUGAACAAAAUAAUCAAGCUAAGUCCGACUGCUUUAGAAAAACAUUCGAUGUCCAUCAGCCUCAUGUGGCGUAAAACUAUCAUCCUGCUCAUGGAUAUAUCAUUAAUCAUCAAAUUCUCUAGGAGACAAGUUCUCAUCAGAACAGUUACGACUCGAGAAAAAGGUUCAUUAAGCAUGCCAAACUAGAGCUUCUUAGUCAGAAAGGGUUUCUCACGCACUCUCAAUAAAAUGAUUACUUGAUCCCAUCCAUUAAUGUGGAAGAUAAUUGAUUGCUGAAGGUAUCUCACAUAACCUACGUCGAAGACUUCCGGAAACAUUCGCAAUGAGCACAAUCUGAUCGAUAAAAAAUGUCUUUUGAAAGGACCGCAAUAUAGGCUCGGUUAGGGCUUAUACACAGGAAUUAUUGCUUUGAGGCCAAUAAAGGAACAUUUGUCACUAUCUUCAUCGGCUUUACAAGUCGAGAGCUUGGGAGAUGAGACAAGAUAGAAUUACUUCCACUCCUUCAAGUAGUAGCUUCUUUGUGGCAUUCUCAUUUUCACUCAAACCAUCCCAAUCAGAAGAGACUUCGGAAGAGGGUUGUAAUGUUGGCUUGGGGAGAGGCUCGAAAGGCUUAAAACUUUCAACAGGGUCUUUAGGAGUCGAUGAUCAUCAUGGCAUCAUGACCAGGUCACUUGAUCUUUCCAAAUCAUUUGGCUUUUGAAAUAUAACGCAUCUCGAAAGUCCAUUGACUAAUCAUUUAUGCAUGGGAGCUUUGCCCGCUUUUUCUAAUUUUCUUUGCACUUGCAAUGAUUUUUUUUUUUUGCAGGCACUUGGACUUUGAUAAUAAUUUUUUUUUCACAUAAGAUGCAGCCUUUUGGCUUUUUUUUUUUAUGGGCAUUGGCCUUGCUUUUACCAGGCACACUGCUUUUUUAUGCCCCCUAAUUUGUCUAACUUUUUGCUCUUUGAACUUUUGGAGCUCUUAUGACUUUCAAGAUGCUUUUCGCAUUUCCUCAUGAUUGUCAAUUAUAUUUGGUCAAUUCUUAUGCCUUGCCCUAGUGAAGGGAGAUGAUCACCACUCAGGAUUCAGAAAUGAAUAAUCAGGCCCAAAUUAGUUGAAGCAAUGGGUAUCAGUGUUUGGAUAGAGAAUGAGAUGUUCUUCUUUACAUUGGGAUGAGUCAAGAUCUAAUGAGAAUUCCUUUGAAGCUAUCACCAGAAGAUUGAUGCAAGUGAAAGUAAUAGGAUCUUUCCCAAUCAUUCGCUCUACAACACGACCAUAACCUCCUAUGUUGCCCCAAUGUAGGGUCGUCCUUGACAGGGGUACUUUGAAUGAUCGUCUUUAUUUUGCCCAAAGGGAUAGGAAGAGAUUAGUGCAAUGCUUGGGAUUGAUGAAGGAAACGCCUUUAUCAUUUCGAUCUUUGCGCUCAAUGCGAAUGAAUCAUUCAUUCUAAGAGAAUGUCGCUUUUCACUCAACUCUCAAAAGUGUUUGAAGGACACUCAACUCUCAAAAGUGUUUGAAGGACGUGUUUGGAAAUGGGCUUACCUUUCUUCAUCCUAAGCACUUCUUGUUUGGCAUGGUUAACGUCUCAAUCUCACUCUGUCGAGAUCAUCUGAGUAGAUCAAUCUCCAUAAGGAAAUUUGAUUUUAAAUGAAAUACCCACAAAACCAGAAAACAAUUUUGAGAUAAAAAUGAUGCUAAAAAAUUUUGAAUAAAUUUUUUGUUUUUCAUUUUUCAUUUUUGUGCUUAUUUCUAGAAACGCGUCAAGGAUCUUUUCGUAAUGGAAAUUCUCUUUCUUUUUUUUCUUUACUUACUUUUUUUUUUUUUACUAAAAAAAAAAUGAGAAGAAUGGUACUUACCUGCGGUGUGAUGACCCGGUAAACCUGUAAAGAAUGUAAAAGAAUAUGUUAGUGCAAACAUCUUUAGGGAUUGAUGUGUUGAAAACGAUACAUUAUUACCCUUCAUUCGCUUUCAUCCUUUGGGUGGUAACAUCUCUUUGAUUCACCUUCGUGGAUAUUUGGUAACUCGACAAUACCCUUCAUUUGCAUUCUUCUUUAAGCGUUUGACGUUUUCCUAAUUCCUUGGUAGAAGACGUCGCUUCUACGGUCAAGAUGCAACUUUUAUCACCCUGUAAGAAGGGAAGAUGAAACGAGUUAUAUCUCAUUUCUUAGUUAGGUUCAACUAAGGAACGAUACAUCCUUCUUGAUGAAUUUGACAAUGUUGUUGUAGCGCACUUCAUUGGUGGGUGAAAGAGAGAUUUUUCUCUAAAUCAAAUGUUGUUCUCCCUCUUUAUAUGACAAACCUUGUUCCGUUCGAGUCUGUCCUGUACCAAAGAAAAUGAUAUGUCAUUUUCUAUACUGAAGAGAAAUCAAGUUUAGGAACGAGUUACAUCCUUUACAAAAUCGAGUGAUCAACAUCUCAAUGUAUCUCUCAUGGAGGAAGGAAUAAUAUUGCGCAUCCGUUCCAUUUGAAUCCUUCUUUGUUUAAGAUGAACAUGACUUAAUAAUGCUCCAUCGCAUUUGUUGAAACAUUACAAAACUUGGUACUCUUGAUGUCUCCUUGACAAUGAAAAGAAAAUCAAGUCAAAAACGGUAUCAGAAAUGAAUAAUUGAAAUCGAUACAGUUUACUCUUCCUUUGAAUUUGCCCUUUUGGAUAUUUGGCAACUCCUUUCAUUUGUCUCAUUAUGUAAAGUGAACGAGAUCGAUGGGUUGUUUUGGCAUCUAAGGCAUUUGCGAAUAACAAAACUUCUCAUAAUGGAAUUCAACUUCGUUUCGCCUCUAUGAAAAAUUGGUGCCGACCCUCAACGCAUGCUUGCUCUUCGAGUUCAAUGAGUCCAAGAAAACGACUACGUGAAGAGAGGGCAUUAAGCAACGUUGUCUUGAAAUUCAUUUUGGAAGGUAAACGUAUAGGUUCACUUAAAACACUUUUGAAUUUGCUCUUUUUUUUGUUUUUGUUUUUAUCUUCUUCUUUUUUAAAUGAUGAUUUUCAUGAAAUUGAAUUCCAUCAUUAAAAAUUUGAGUUGCACGAUUUACAAAAGCAACAAUUGGAUUCGCAAUCAAAACUCAAAAAGAAAAACAUGGUUCUUAACAAGAAUAAAGACUGAUAAAAUACAAGACUCUUUUACAGAUGAAAGUAAAAAAAAACAACUAUUGUCCUAGCUCUAGAAUUCACUUCCUCGAAUGGUCACCACGAGAAUGUCAAAGAGCAUCGCGCAUAACCUGCAAAAAGACGACAAUGUCAAUAUGCGAAUGAGAGAAAACGAUAUUUUAAUGACGUCACUUUUUAGAAUAAAAUCGAGGCGACGAUACAUGCCCCACAAUCCUUAUUACAGGACUUUAGUAUUUCGCCAAGAUUUUAUCAUAAGAGAAGAUAUCAUUAAAAUUAUCAAUCCACGAUCAUCAAUCGAAUGCCCACUUUUAUUCCAAAAGUUUCGUAUGCAAAAGAGUCAUUGAUUUUUGAAAGAUUGAUUUGUGAUUUUGCUCCUAGAAAAUGAAGUGAUUUUUAUUUUGAGAAAUUUGUACACAAAAUGAUUUGCAUUAUAGUCCCAAAAUGUGAGAAUGAGAAAAUUUGAUAAAAAAUGUAAUUUCAAUUUUUGUGCCCCAAUAUAAAAUGACAACUUGAAUUUUUUCUUUCUUUCCUUUUUCUUUUUCGAAAUGAUUUUGAGCCUGUAAUGAGAAAUUUAAACAAAACCAUGUGUUCAACAGUGCCAAAUCAAAAUGUUUAGAACUUGCAUUCAAAUGCUCACUUGUCAAAAGUGAUUGUCAAUUUUUCAAUCAUAAGCUUGCAUCACCGAGGGCAUUCGAUUGAUUUCCACAAAUUUCAAAAUUAAAAUGCAAUACAAAAUGAGCAAAUAAAAAGGGAAAUGAUACUUACAAUAGGUGUCGACCUUUGUCUCAUGCUUUUUUUUUUUUUUCCAAUCACAUAGAUAUGCACAUGGAAUGUAGUUCGAUUUCUACUCUAUAUGGCCCAAAAUGGAGCCAUGGGAUCACAGGACUGAACCAACAUGCUCGUGGCUAAGUCGUGUUACCCAUGACUCCGGCUUCGUCAAAGGAUCGACCCGUGUCGCAUGCUCGCAGACCAGGGUGGGGACCUCUAACAUCAAGAAAGAAAUUUCGAGGUUGAGAUGGGCGACUCAUACUACAUGCUUGUAGUCAGAGUGGUAUCCACCUCAACACCAUCCUAAGUAAUCCUAUGCGGCCCAGGUCCGGCGGCAGGUUGUGUGUGCUAAAGUGUAGUGCAAUGUAGGAGAUGCAUGCAUGACAAUUCAUAAGCAAUCAACACUUCAUACAUGAAUAAUAAACCAUACAUUCCUUCACCUCCCUACAAGACAAAGGUGAGCAAACACUUCCCCUUAUACCUCCCAUUCUACAAAAACAUUUAAUACCUUUAAUGUUAGAGACAUACUUGGAAUCCUUGCUACCAAACAAAAAUAUUUUUUUGAACAAGAUUAAUAUUGGUCUAAGUCCUCUAAGGUUUAAAACCAAACCAAGUCCCCAGCGGAGUCGCCAAGCUGUCGCGACCUACCCUCGGGGGGAGGGAACAGGUUUAGGGGUAUUGCCUAAGGACGGGCCUAAGGCUCAUGAUUAGGCAUGAGCUCUCCCAAGCCCAUACCCCGCGUGACAUUGGGAUAUUCUUAAGGAAUUUUGCACAAAAGGUGUCGCCACUAGCCUAUUGGGGUCGGUUAGAAACCAAGUGACGCAUGGGAGUGUGUCUCACUUCCUACGCAACCAGAGAAUCUAGAAUUGGGGACUUGAUUACACUAAUUAACCAAUUAGUGCCCUUUCGGUACCUAAUCUUGUUCAUUUUAACAAAAUGAUGUUUGGCAAGUAGUUUAGAAUGAUUUUAUACCAUGUGAGGUGAUCAUGCAGAUACGCAGUCAUUAAAAUAACAAUCAUAACUACCAAAAUCCUAAUUGCAGUCAAAUUAAACACGUACAAUUAAACAUAAUUAGAUACGUAAAUCAAACAUGUAACAUAAUUAAUAUGCGAGCAAAUAAAUGCCUAAUUAUACUAACAUGGCAAGAUAUAUCAAUUCCUAACCAAAUCCCAUCAUUUUUUUUAUUUUCUAAAUUUUUUUAAUUUUUUUAAUCUUUUUUAAAAGAAAAAUAAUUAUUUUUAAAUUAUUUUUUAAUUUUUUAAUUUUUUAAUUUUUAAUAUUUUUUGAAUUUUUGAAAUUUUUUUUUAAAUAAUAAAAUAAUUUUUGAGACCGGGCCGGUCCAACCCGGCCCGGGUUCGGCCCGGUUGACGCGGAUCGGACCGGACCCGGGUUCGGUCCAACAGGCCCAAGUGGGUCUGAAGCUUGGGCCCAGUCCAAGAAGUCUCCCUCCUCCCUUUUUAAAAGAAAGCAAGCCCACAAGCCUAUACUAAACCAGCCCAAGCCCAAAAGCCCACAAGCAGAAACAACCCAAACCCGGCCCGAUUCACCUAAAACCCUACCCAUUUCUUUGACCCGGUUUGUACCUCCUCUUUAGGGUUCUGUGUUGACGGCAGUGGCGGCGACGCGGCGGGCGGUGGCGGCGACGCGGCGUCUGCGAAGACGAGCAGCACUCGGGCAGAGGAGGGCGUCACGGACGUGUGUGCAGCAGGCAAGGGCCGGUGUGGGGCUCGCUCGGCGGUGACUGGCGAGGCAACUCGAACGGCGUCGGGUUGAGGGCGGUGAUGGGUGAGCGACGGCACCGGCUGCAGCGAGGGGAUUCGGAUGGUGACUAGAGCGGGACGGUGGCGGUGGUCGGCCUGGUGGUGCAGCGGAGUUCGAUCAACUCCCAGAUCUGGUUCGUCUCCGGCUGGUUCGGCGUCGGGAACGCUGUGGGCGGCGAACGACGGCAGCAGCAGCAGGGAGGCGGUGUUUCGGCGAGGGGCGGUGACGACGUCAAGGUCGGCGAACAGGAGCUCGGCUGCUGCCGGUUGCGUGGCGAGGGGACGCAGCGACCGGCUUGGGUGAAGCGGCGGUGGCGCGAGGAUUAGUGAGCAGGAGCAGAGGCAGUGUCGUGGGGGCUCGGGAUCUGGUGUUCGGGCAGGAGGGGCGGCUGGAGGCGUCGAGUUGCAAGGUCGACGGCAGCAAUGGCGGCAAGCAGGGAUGGCAAAUAGCAACAGCUCGUCAGGGCCGGCGGAAAAACGCCCGUUGGUCGUCGUGGGUCAGCUGCGGGAGCGGCGGAGACAGACGGAGGGCGAGGUUGCUCGUGGAGACGCAGCAGAACGGCGAAUGCUGGGCCGAGGCGUCGCGAGGUCGACGGGCGGCACUCGGACAGAGGGGGGGGGGGGUCGGUCGAACGGCAACAGCGGCGGCGGUGGCGCCGCCACCGCCCUUCCUUCCGGUUUUCCCUCUCUUUUUCUCCUCUCUCUCUUUCUGCGUUUUUUUUUUUGUUUUGGAUCCUCUCCCUCUCUCUGUCUGGUCCCUCCUACACUGGCCGGCUCCCUCCUCUUAUCCUAGUUCCCAACCCCCUUUCGAAAACCCUAGCUACCGAGAGAAGAAGACCCUGGGUGCGGGCUGGGCUCAACUAGAAAGAAAAGUGGGCCGGCCCUGCGCGAGAGAAAAAAAAAAGGAAUAGGGGGCGGUGGGCCGGUUUGAGGCUGGAUCCGGCCCAAUCCGCCCUCUAAGUAAUUUUUCAUUUUUUUUCUAUUUUCUAUUUUCUUUUUCUUUUUCUUUUGUUGUUGUUUUGCUCUUUUUUUUCUUUUUCUCUAAUAAUUUUUUGUACUUGAAAACAAAAAUUGGGUGUCAACAAGCUUUGAAAGAGGCGGGACCGGAAAAGCGACGGAAAUCGGGCGGAGGUUCACUCGAGCGUCAUGCGUUCGCCGAGAGUUUUCCCGACGGGACAGAAGAAAAUCCCGAUUUUGCCGCCCUCAGGGGAAACAUUUCCGCUUUGCUCCGUUCAUUUCAAGAAAAAAAAUUUAAAAAAAAAAAUCCUAAAAAUAAUUACUUCAAUCAUUUACAAAAAUUUAUAAAUAGUCAUUAAUUAUUUCAAAUAAUAACAAACGGUUGUUUUUAGAAAAAUAUAAUUACACAAUCCAUUUUCUGUAAAAUAAAUGAAAUUUAUCUUGAAAAAAAUCCAAUGAACCUAGAUAUCUGAAUCCAAAUAAAUUUUUAUUGUCAAUCACGUCAAUCUACGCUUGGGAACCACAUGAUGAAUCACCUUGAUGGAUUCAUGGCAUGUAAGCUCAAGUCGAGAUAAGCAUCUACCCUCACAUUGAAAUUCAAGGUGCUAUUGGCUGAUUACUAUCGAAGCCCAUCUCACAUUCCUAGUGUCACAAAAAAAAAAAAUGGGCAUUUCCUCCGAGGGCAACUUAAAGGUUGGAUUGAGCAGGACUUAGAGAAAUUGACAAGAAGAUGAAUAUCUUAUUAUGUUAUAAAAGAGGAUUUUUAGAAGUUGUAUAGCGUUGACAUUUGUCGUAGCUCAUCUGCUAUAGGAAUGUUGGGCUUAAAGUACCAACAAAAUACCAACAGCCCAUUGAGCUAGUCUAUCACCGGAGUCCUAUCAAAUACGAGUGGGAAAUUCAAAACCGGCAGUACACUUAAGCCCAAGCCCGUCCUUUGCAAAUUGAUUUAUUACACAAUUGUCUUUUCUAUGCGUAAUGACGAAAACUAUUAGUUAAACUUUUAAAUAAUAAUUAUUUUUCUUAUGGGGAUAAUUAUUUUUUUUUUAAAAUUUUGUCGAGAGUCAAGCAUGGUUGCUUUGUCGGAUUUUGUAAAGCUCGUGUCUCUAAUGUGUAAUCAGGGCUAUGAACGAUUGAGUUGAUUGGCCAUGGAAAUAGGUGAUGACCGAGUUUAGACGAGCUCGGGCGAACGUGUUUGGUAUUACACAGUGAGUCGGAGUACCUCUUCAACAAUACACCUCUUUUCUUUCGUUUCGAGAUAGUCGGCAACCCUCGACUCCGGCAUUCUGUCAUCCUGAUGUUAUAGUCCUUAAGAGAGCUGAGCGGACAUUUCGACCAUGUCUUAUGCUGCUAGGCAUCGACCGUGCGAAGGAAGGAGUAGAAGCAAUGAAGGUGAAUUUGAAGGAGGAGGAGCGUGAACUGGGGGAACUAGAGGAAGUGAACAGAGAAUCUCAAAGUAAUCAUGAUAACAUGGAGUAACUGAUAUGGAUGUAAAUUCAGCGCAAUUCCAUUUCUCUAGGAAGCUAGGAGUAUUGAAGAGUCUUCGCGUUACUCUAAUUAUGCUUGUAAACAGAGAUUUUCACUGGGUACCUAAGUGUCAGACUAUUGAAAUUCCUCACAAAUUUCACGGUUGCCAAUGUACAAUAGUCUCAAGCUAGAUUAGUAUCAGACUUUGCAGCACUUUUGUAGCAACUUUCAAAUGAAAACUUUUCAUUCGCUGAAAGCCCAAGGCAGCCCCAGGGGUGCCUUGAGCUUUCAGCUUUGGCUUUGCCCUUCAUUCUACUGUUCUCAUCUUCUUCGUUGGCUGAGCUGUUCAUCUUCUUCGUUGAGACAAACGAAUUGUGCAGGGCUGCUGACGGCGAGCGAUGAACUAGCGAGAGGCGGGCGACUAUCACGGCGACCGUCGCCGGUGGGUCAUGCGACCUCCGGCGGGCCGCAAGAUCUGGUCGCGCGACCCAAGCGCGACUCAGAUCUGGGUCGCCGGAGGUCGCAUGACCCACCGGCGACGGUCGCCGUGAUAGUCGCCCGCCUCUCGCUAGUUCAUCGCGGCGACUAGAUCUGGGUCGCGCCGGCGCCGGAGGUCACGCGACCUCAGGCGCGACCCAGAUAUGGUUGCUACAGGGUCGCGCAACCUCCGACGGACCCAGAUCUGGUCGCCAGGAGGUCGCGCGACCUCGCGGCGACCAGAUCUAGGUCGCGUCGGCACCGGAGGUCACGCGACCUCAGGCGCGACCUAGAUCUGGUCGUGCGACCUCCGGCGAACCCAGAUCUGGGUCGGGCGACCUCCGUGAAGGGCCGCCGGGGGUCACUCGACCCCAGGCGGCCCUGGCCGGGGGUCUCCCGACCCUCGGCGGCCCUCGCCGAUGGUCGCCCGACCCCAGGCGGCCCUCGCUGGAGGUCGCCGGGGGCUGCCUGAGGUCGCCGGCAGCCGCUUGCCUCAUCAGCCAAUAUUUUUACUUUUUAUUUUUAUUUUUUUAUUAAUCACAUAAGUUAUUUAUAAAUUUAUCUUUCCAAACAACAUUUUACACAAAGGUAUUUCAUAAGGGACUUUCAAACAACAAUUUACCAAACACAGUUUGCAUUUUGAAAAAUACCUUUAACUCAAAGUCUUUUGCAUUUUUCCAAAGGCUUUCUCCAAAAGUCUAUCCAAACGCACCCUUAGUCUCGAAAGUCCCUUGGGAAAAAGUUUAGGUAUUUGGUUAAGCAUUUAGAGGUGUCCUUGGCCAAAUAUUGGCCUCAGAAAUGUAAGUCCACAUCUACUAUUAUUAUUAUUAUUUUUAAAACCGAUCAUUUUCCCACACCGCAACCACCAAAACUCUUUGCGAAUGUUGGGUUCGUUUUUUUUUUUUUGUCAUUUUUAUCUUUUGACAAUCAAUAACCCAACUUUUUAUCAAUAUACUAGAAUGAUCAUUAAUUAACGAAGAUGAUUAAUACUACAAUAAUUAAAAAAAAAAUAUUCAAAGUUGAAAAUAAACCUAAAAGAACUCUAGGCCAAAAGUUGAGCUUUGCAUCUAAUCUAUAAUUAAAUUUUUUUAAUGUGAUUUUUAAAUAAAUUUACUAAUAUAUAUCUUUUACAUUACUCUCAACAUGAAAAUGUAAAAGGUUAUAUAGUCAUUGUUUCUUUUUUUGCAAUUUUAAAAAUACUAAAACUAAAAAACUUAAUUUAAUUACACUAAAAGGCUUUUCAAAUAUAUGUUUACCAAACAGUUUUGCAUUCCCUAAAGCGCUUUUCAGUUAUAGUUUACCAAACAGUCUAGCAUUUUGGAAAACCCUUUUAUCUCAAAGGUAUUUGCAUUUUCCCAAGAGCAUUUUCCCAAAGCCGAACCAAACGGAUUGGGACUGCCAACAUUUUGGCCACCAUUUAUUUCUCCAUGUCGGAAACGCUAGAACUGCGGAAAGAGAAUGGAAUCGGGUGUGGCAGUGAGAACAGCAGUUUCAACAUUAAUAACGACAAUGACGGCAGCAUCGACAAACGAAGGCUUCGCAAAAGAUGAUCGGGCUCUGCCGACAUCUUUCUCGUGAUCUCAAUCGGUCUAAAAUUAAUCUAUUCUGAGCAUGAAAACAUUUUGAAGACUUGUCUUCAGUAGUUGUUGAAAAAAGCUAUGUCAAACUUCGAAGCUUUCUUGGAAGGAUAUUGCAGGGUUCAGGGAAGGUUCCCAGAAACAUCUCCUUGCCCAAAAGAAAAAAAACAAGAACCGUGGGACCUGCAACUUGCACGCGCAUUUGAACAAGUACUUAGCCACCAAGUUUGAGCAUUCGAUCUAAUAGUCUUCCAUCGUUUAAAAAAAAUAAAAAAUAAAAAUAAAAUAAAAUAAAAUACAAAUAAAAAUAAAAAAAUACGACUUUCUGUUUCAACCAUUUUGCAAGUUCAGGGAAGGUUCCCAGAAGCAUCUCCUAAUUCAAAAGAAACAAAACAAGAACUGAUUUCGUAUAUAAAAUGGAGACUUUCUUGCUUCUUUUUUUUCCCGAUAGGUAAGAUACUUUUAUUAGCUUAAUAUAAGGAAAGGAUGGAUCAGAGAGAAUAAAUAAAAUAUUUGUGCAAAAAAGCAAAGAAAAUAAAAAAGUAAUAAUACUUGGAAUGGGGUAAAUUAAUGCAUAAUGAAAGUUUGGUUCCUUGACUUCCACGUAUGUCAUGCCAUAAUCACGUUCUUCCGAACUGUUGCACAUGGGGCCUGCAACUGCACGCGCGACAAGCCAGCUAGCUGUGACCGUCCUCAGAUGUAAACGUCCUCAGUUGGCUCCUGCUAAUGGGGCCUUCAACUGCAUUCACAAGUGUGUCGACCACAACUUUAGUUUCUUUUUAAUCAUCGACCAAUAGCAUUCGAUCUUAUGGUCUUCGUAGUAAAAAAUUGCAACAUCCUGUUUCCACCAUCUUUUCAUAGACCCAUAGAAUUCUCCUAUAACUACAUUAUUUGCUCAUAACGUGUUGACGCGGAAUAUUUUCUGUUUCCACCAUAUUUUCUUAGACCCAUGGAAUUCUCCUAUAACUACAUUAUUUGCUCAUAACGUGUUGACGCAGAAUAUUUCUCUGCUGAAGAUCAUCGAGCGAGAGAGGGAGAGAAGGAAAGAGAGGUCUGCUUAGCUGAGCAAAUUACUGCUAUGGCAAGCUCAGAUGCUGGAACAUCAUCGGGAAGCGAGUACCAAGUGUUUCUGAGUUUCAGAGGACCUGAUACUCGGACUGGAUUUACCGAUGUCCUCUUUCAUAGCUUGAUCGACGUUGGAAUCCACGUGUUUCGAGACGAUGAAGAACUCCGUGUCGGUGAAAGAAUUGAUGGAUCGCUGCUACAAGCGAUCAACAACUCCAGGAUCUACAUACCGGUCUUCUCUCGGAACUAUGCUUCAAGCCAAUGGUGCCUUUGCGAGCUCGCACAGAUCGUGGCAAACACCUUGAAAUCGGAAGGUAAUAAAGAGAUCCUACCUAUUUUCUUUGAUGUGGAACCUAACGAUGUUAAAUUGAAAACUCCACUAUAUCACAAUGCCAUACUCAAUUUGGAGCACGAGAAGAAGUUGAGCAACGAGCAAGUAAAUGUUUGGAGAGAGGCCCUCAUGGAGGUUGAUGCCAUAAAGGGGUGGGAGGUGAAGAAAUACAAAGGGUAAGCUAGCUAUUUUCAAGAUACUUGUUUCCCCAAUUUUCCUAACACUUAAUAAUAGAUCUCAAAAUUCCAGUAUGAUUGAGGUGGGAGUUUUAUUAUAGUAAUACUAAAUGAUGAAUCUUUACGUCUGCAAAGCAAAAUGUGAAGACAUGAUAUUCAACUUCUACAGUUGUUGCUUGACAAUUGCACAAAUUUUUAUACAACAAUUUUGCUCGAAAAUCCCAAGGUUGCUACUCUCAUGUUGGAAUCAAGUUGAAUUUCAGGUCAUGACAUAGCAUCAACGUUGUCAAGGGCUUAAAAGUAUGUUUUGGAGAGACAUUAAUGUCCAAUAUGGACUUUUAGAAUAUCACUCCUAGGUUUAAGGUCCCAUUACUUAUCAGGUCAUUGUGUAGUUUAUCCGAUGCUUGAAUGACAUCACUUCUAGUUAUGUAAUCGUGAAUUUUCUCACUAAAAUGGAUUUUCAUUGUGGCAGCCACGGAGAACUAAUCAAAUUGGUUGUUGCGAAGGUUGUGGAAUGUUUGAAGUCAAAACAUAGAUUGGUGACUGAAUAUUUAGUUGGAAUCAAUGAUCAAGUAGUAACGGUAAGCAAAUUAUUAGAUGUCGAUUCCGAUGGUGUGCGACUCGUUAAAAUUUAUGGCAUGGGAGGUAUUGGAAAAACUACACUUGCCAAGGUCAUCUUCAACCGACUUUCUUCUCAUUUUGGAAAGUGUUGUUGUUUCCUUGAAGACGUUCGAGAGAAGUCGUCAAGAACCGAUGGCUUAGUUCACUUGCAAAAAAGGUUACUAUCCGAAAUCGGUCAUCCUGCAGGAACAAAGAACAUUGAUGACAUUGAUUAUGGAAUUAAGAGGAUUGGAGAAAUACUUUGUAAUAAGAAAGUCCUUAUUAUACUCGAUGAUGUUGAUAACAACAAACAAGUGGAGAAAUUAGUUGGACAGAGUACUUUAUAUUCAGGAUCCAGAAUAUUGAUUACAACUAGAAAUAAAGAUAUCUUGCAAGUCAAUAGACAAAAUUAUCAGAUUUUAGAUUAUGAAAUGGAGGUGAUGAGUGCUGGACAUGCACUUGAGCUUUUCAGUAGGCAUGCAUUUAACACAGACUUUCCUUCAGAUAAUUACAAUUAUCUUUCAAGGAAGAUUGUAUUUGCUACUGGGAGACUUCCAUUGGCUCUUGAGGUGAUUGGUCCAUUCCUCUGCCACAAACCACGAAAACUAUGGAAAGAGACAUUGCGUAAGUUAAGAAAAGCACCUCAUGAGGAUGUUUUUGGAAAGUUGAAGAUCAGCUAUGAUGCCUUAAAUUUCGAGCAACAACAAAUUUUCCUUGAUAUUGCAUGCUUUUUCAUCGGUAAAGAUAAGGCAAAUGCAAUCUACCUAUGGAAAGGUUGUGAGUUUUUCCCAGAUACAGCAAUUGCUGCCCUCAUUGGCAUGUCUUUGGUAAAGAUCGUGGAGAAUGAUAAGUUUUGGAUGCACGAUCAACUUAGAGAUCUAGGAAGAAAAAUUGUUCUCCAAGAAAAUCCAAUAAAUCCUGAGGAGAGGAGUAGGAUAUGGAUUUGGGAGGACGGCCUUAAUGCAAUAAGACCAAAGGAGGUAAAGCACUUCUGGAGAGAUCUAAUUAGUCUUUGCCAUAGAUUCGACUACAUUGUACCUUCUUGGGUUUUUUUGUUCUUUCCUUUUUAUAAUCCUUUGGCUUUAUGAGAUAGAAUACUGAUAUCACUCAUUUCCCAUUCUUAUUUGCAGAUAAACAAAAAGGUUCAAGCACUAUCUCUUCAUUCAUAUGGACAUAGUAUCAAUGAUGUCUCUAUUCAAAUUAAAAGGAUUGGAAGGUUUGAACAUCUAAGAUUCCUUAAAUUAUCUCAAUUAACCCUUGUUAGAGAUGCAACAUAUUGUCUUCCCAAAUCAAGUUUGAUUUCUUCGAGCUAUCCUCUACAAAAAUGGACCAACAUGUACCUAAAGAAUUUAGUCGUUCUUGAAUUCGUCAACGUUACUUUCUUAGAUGAUUCGGGAUUACAAAACUCAAUUAAGGUGCGUAAUAUUUUUAUUCCUAUUUUAUUUUCUCGGAAAGUAAUAUUUGAUUGUUCAUUUAUUGAGUAUUGCAUUUGUUUUGACAGAUGGCAACAAAAUUGAAAGUUCUUUCUUUUACAAAGUGUCGGAACAUAAUUAGAACACCUAACUUCUCUGGAUGCCCGAAUUUAGAGAAGCUUACUUUCAAACGUUGUGACAAUUUGAGGAAAAUCCAUGGCUCUAUGGGGAAGUUGAAGUGUCUGAUUGACUUGAGGAUUGAUCACUGCUAUUCUCUCAAACAUUUGCCUGAAGAAAUUGGGGACCUAGUGAAUCUACGGUAUCUUUUUGUAGAUUGUGAUAAAAUGAAGAAACUCUCGAAUUCCAUAUGGAAGCUAAAAUCAUUACGUGAGUUGCGCUUUCAAGAUCAGUUUUCUCAUAAUUUAGAUUCUGCAAAUUCAUGGAAUUUACCUUGUGUUAUUGAAAUGCUUCAAAAUCUAGAAGUGCUUCAAGUCAAUGAUCACUCUUUAAAAGGUCGACUUCCUUCGGGCAUUGGAAGUUUGCCCUUUCUAAGAAUCCUAAAUCUAUCAGGAACUUGUGUCAGUGAAGUUCCAAAGACCAUCAGCAUGCUUCCUCGCCUACAAAGAAUCGAGUUGAUGGAAUGCAAUAAUAUUCAAGAGUUGCCGACCCUCCCAACAAGUUUAACCCAUCUAAAAGUGUCAUCUAAAUUGUUGCGGGUAGUCUCGGAUCUUUCGAACUUGACUAAUUUGGUUGAGUUGUAUCUAUCAGGAACUUGUGUCAGUGAAAUUCCAAAGACCAUCGACAUGCUUCCUCGCCUACAAAGAAUCGAGUUGAUGGAAUGCAAUAAUAUUCAAGAGUUGCCGACCCUCCCAACAAGUUUAACCCAUCUAAAAGUGUCAUCUAAAUCGUUGCGGGUAAUCUCGGAUCUUUCGAACCUGACUAAUUUGGUUGAGUUGGAUCUAGUUCAUUGUGAAAUAUUAAGAGAUACACUUUGUACCAAUGAGUUACGGUGGAUUGGAAAGUUAUCCAAACUGACCAAAUUGAGCUUCGGACUUCAAAAUGUCCCUAUACCUACUGAGAUGGCUUCCCUUCCUAUGCUAAAUGAACUUUAUUUGUAUGCAUUCAACCUACAAACCUUUCCGCAACUACCCCUAUCUCUAGAAAAGCUAAGGCUUAGAAAUUUCAAUUCAGUUGUGUCAGUCUCUCUAAACCUAAGAAAUUUGUUAUGUUUAGAGCUGUAUGAUUCUCCAUUGCAAGAAAUACAGCUUGAUGGGCUUCAACUUCCACAGCUAAAGGAGUUGCAUGUGGCAAGCUGGCAAUGCCUCGAGAGGUUGAGGCUAUCAAGAAUGAGGAAGCUAAACGACGUCAAGGUGAAUUUUUGUAUAAAGUUAGUUGAGAUCCAAUUUUCUUGGGUGUUCGAAUCAUUGGAGGCAUUGACUAUUCGAGGUGGCAAGUCCUUGGAAAGGAUAGUUUAUGAGUCUGAUAAUGAAUUGAUUAGUUGUGAAGGGAGGCUAAUUUUUCCAUCGACAGUCUUAAAUAAGUUGCGUACUCUCUCCCUGUGGUGGUGCCCUAAGAUACUCGACAUUCAAGUUGUAGGUAUGUUGGAAUCGUGGGAAGGCUUUGACAUUCAGGGUUGUCCUUACUUGCAACAUCUCGGUGGUUUGUCAAACUUAAAGAACCUGAAGUCUUUAUCAAUCAAGGUCUGCGAGAGUCUAUGGGAUGUCGAGGGAGUCGACGAGUUGAAGUUUUUGAACCGUUUAACACUUGAUGAUUGCGGAUCGUUGGAAAGGUUGAUUGAUGUGUCAACCACCAAACUACCAAAUGAUUGCCACGUACGGAUCAAAAGGUGCAGGAGAUUACCUGGGGUUAAGAAAAGAUUCAGCGGCUCCGUCCAAUCCUUCAAGCAUCAUAAGGCGAGUCUGGAUCAUUCUCUCUAUUUCUUUUUUAUAUUUUUUUGACCCAACCGUCCACGAACACCAAUUCAACUCUAAGGUAGAUUUGUAAUAAUGGUGAGAAAUUAAAAAAUAAACAAAAAUCAAUUAAUAUUUGAUCUCACUUAUUUUAAAACCCACUCGAUAUAAGUUUGUUUUAUUUUCAGCUCAUGUUUUCUCAUUUUCUUUUAUUUUCUUUUUUUACAUGAGAAAUUUCUAUAUGUGCAGCAAAUCCAUGGGACAAGGUCAGCUUUUAUCAAAAUUCAUUGGAAAAAUUGCAAUUUUUAGCAAAAGAAAUAUAUAAAUUAACUCAGAAUAUCUCAUUAAAAUGUUAUUUUCACUUUAUAUGAAAUGAAUUGUUUAUUUAGCGAAUUUUUAUGUAAUACACUCCACUUUAUUGUCAUUUCUUACUUAAUACUAUUCAUUAUGGAGAUGAGUUUAGUGAUUUGCAAUUUCCACAGUGAAAAUAGAACACUAAAAGAAUCCUAUACUCAUUGCACGACUUCAAUAAGAAUUUGCUGAGGGAAUUCUCUCAAGAACACAACUUAAAUGGUCCACCGAUCCACAAAUCGACUGACUUAUGUUUUUGAUGGAGUUGAGUGUUAAUUGAAUUUGCAUGUGGAUGGGGUCGGCCAAUUAGGAUGUGUGUUCCAAAAGCAUCUAGAAAUAUUUAUUAAGAUUUUUCAUUCUAAAGAAAAGACGAUGAAAAUCUAAUUUUUGAAAGUCUGCAUCCUCCCCGGUUUUUUACCGUGUUUCUUAAUAGCCACUUUAAACAUCGUUCUGACAUUUAUUUUUUCAGUUGUGAGGCAUUUCAUCUCAUUUCAUUGACCUGCUUCCACUACACUAGAUAUAGAAGGGGAAAAUGAGGAGGAAAUGCUUCAUCUACUUAAUUUAUAACUAGCCCCGAUUUUUUUUUUUUGGGUAAAAACAUAAUGUUUUUUUUCUAUCUUAGAAGCUUAUAUCUAAGACAGAUGAUGGGUUAGACCAAUAAAAUAUCUUACUAAUGUCAUGGACAUAGGUAGCAUACGAGUCAAAGACAGGGCAGAUGGGUGCGAUGUAAAAUUGUUUACAUUUGGCGAAAUGGAAAAUCGAACUCGUCUGAUGUGCAUAAUCCACAUACACAAUUUCGUUAUAAUCCUGCAUGAUUUACGACAUUUUCUUAUGUGACAUUGUUUCCUCUUCUAUAUUGAUCCUUUCUCAUAUUUCAAUCUCGACAAAUACAGCCAAAACUUGUAUGUAUGACUUUCAUCAGUAUCUUUUGAGGAUUUUAAAGCAACUCCUAUCUAUUUGAUUGCAUUAUUUUAAUCACGUCAUUCCUUUUUCGAAAGCUUUCUCCUAAAAUUGGUUAUGAUUUUAUUUUUCAGGAAUCAGGCUUUGAUUUGACAACAUGUUUCGGACGCUUGUGAAGUUCUGAAGGCAACCUACACGAUAAUUGUUAGAAUGCAGGGACGGAACUAGCACAAUGUCUUAUCUGGGUCAAUGCACUGAAGAGUCCAAAGGUUUCUGAGAAUGAUUUCCAGUACCAGGACAUCAACUUAGGAUGCAGGUGUGACCUCAUCAUUUUUAAGCUAAAAAGAUGAUUUACCCUUGUGGCAGAAUUAAGAGAGUUGUUGUUCUUCACGUCAACAUUUCUUCAAAUCCUUAAAGGAUUCCUCGCUUGAAUUAGUUAUUUCAGGAUUGUCCCAUCUCUUUUCGAUUGGUCUUAGACAACUCAUUCAAAUUGCCCGUCUUGCAUGAAGAACUGCAAAAGUUUAGUACAGGCAGGUUAAGCAUAUGCAUAAUAAUGUUGUGUGAAAGGCCUCAUCCAAUAUAUGAAAUCUACUUGUUAGAACUAGCAAUCUCUCCAAGACGAGAUAUGACAUAACAUGAACAUCAUCAUACAAAGAACAAAAAUGGCAUGGCAUUGAUACAUCAUACUCUCUCAUUUCACGUGACCCAACAUGAAUAUGUCAGGCCACAGCACAUUGUGAGCCCUACUUCCAGGCUUGUAUCUUCUAGUAGCUUAAUUUAGUCAUACUUAACCAGGAACAAAGAUGUCACUAUUCUCUUUAGAGCAUAUUAUGGUGAAGUUAAUAUAAGCUUUCAUGGCAAAUAAUAAUGGAAGACUUAGAAUUGAGAUGCAAUUGCAAGUGAAAGUUUACAAUUUCAAUAGUUGAUAUGUCUAUCUAUUUUCUUGUACAUAAUAUACAUUGCCAAAAUAAUUAAUCACGGUAGACAGUAGUUGAUACGUAUUGUUGGUUGAAACGUUCACGCAAGAUUGGUUGUGAUUUUAUUUCUUCAGGAAUCACGUUUUGAUCAGAUUUGGACAUGUUUUGGAGGCUUGUGCAAUUUUGAAGACGACUCCGAUGAUGAUUUUUAGCAUGCAGGGACGGACUGGCAUAUCAGUCUAGUGGGGUCAAUGUACUGAAGAGUCAAAGUUUCUAAGAAUGGUUUCAAAAACUGGGACAUCAAGUUCGGAUGCCAGUGAGACCUCAUCAGUUUCAAGCUUGAUAGAUGAAUUUCCCUUGCGGCUGAUUCAAGGGAAAUGCUGUUCUUCGCAUCAACAUUUCUGAUCCUUGAAUCCUUGUAAGAUUUGUCGCUUGAACUAGUUACCUCCUGGAUCAUCGCAUAUAUUUUUGACUAGUUCUGACAACUCAUUCAAAUUGCCCGUCUUGCAUGAAGAGCUGCAAAAAUUUAGUACAAGCAGAUUAAGCAUAUGCAAUAUACUGUCGUCCAAAAGGUCUAAUCCAACAAAUGAAAAUUACUUGUUAGAUUUGGCAAUGUUUCUAAGACAGUGAUGAUACAACAUGAACAGCAUCAUACAUAGAACAUAUGUGACAUGACAUUGAUACAUCUUUUCUAUAACUAGGACUUAUUUCAAUCUUAAAAGCAAAUAUUAUUUGAAGGACUAUCUCCCUCCCAUUUUAUGUGACUUAGAAGGUUCAACUCAAAGUUGAAUGAAUCAUGCUAGAGCAGAUGGUGAACCCUACUUCCAGGCUUGUAGUCUUCAAUUAGAUAAUCCAGUCAUAUGUUACCAGUGACAAAGAUAUCAAUAUCCUCCUUAUAGCAUAUUAUGAUGAAUUUAAUAUGAGCUUUCUUGGCAAAUAAUAAUAGAAGACUUAGACUUGAGAUGCAACAGCAACAAAAUGAUGAGAGAACAUCAAAAGAUUUUUUUGCACAUAUCUACAUGGGUUGAUCAAAAUAGUAAUAUAAAGCAAUUAGGUGAGUCUCAAAUGUCUCAAUGGAAACUAUGAUAUACAGUCAAACAAAAAAUAUCUCUUUUUACCUAGAUGUCCAUUCAAUAGCAGAAGAGUGAUAACCAGUGCAACUUUUUAUGGGGAGGAGGUAAAAUCCUUCCCAUCAUCCCUUCUGAGGGGAGGGGCUGGCAGCGGGAAGAAGAUAACUUACACAUUUCUGACUUGCUGUUAGCUACUGUUAAGUACAUGGGGAGAAAGAAAUCAGUAGAAUUUGAGCAAAAUUUCAUUCAGAUCUAAAGUUACAAUUUGAUUGGGUACAGAUGCCUGACCCCAGGUUGAGAAAUGUUUUUCACACUGACAUGGCUUCCUGUCAAAGGAGAUUGACUUUUUGUGUGUGCUCCCUUACAAGUGAAUUUCCCUCAACUUGAGAAUCUCUGGCUUUGUCUCCCAACCUGUUGAACAUUGCGUAAACCAUGUGAUGUUAUAAAGCACUCCAUAUCCAAUCAAAGAAACUGGAAUAAAAUAGAAAAUUUUCAUCCUUUCUCAUUUAGAUGCACAGAAGCAAGUCUUCUACUAAUAAUUUGAGUAAGCUUUCUCUCAGUGAUAGUUCUCGAGAAGACUAACUCUUGAUUUCCUCUGAUCCAUUUUAAAUUUGAGUGGGUUUGUCCAAGCAUCCUACAAGAAAAGAAAGAGCACAAUGCAUGAGCUGCAGGCUCUCUGCUUGGGACAUCAACAUAGUAGUAAAAGUGAACUGAGAAGUGCAAAAAUGUAAUGCUGUCUAUCCACACAAUUUUCUACUCAAAUCUGGAAAUUAUCAUCAAAUGCAUCAACAUGAUAGCCAAAACCCAAUGAAUGAGUGCAUCAAACUGAUGGCCACAAGAACUUGCUGUGUUCCUGUCCUUGGAACAUUGAGCUACAGACGCAUAUUCUUCCUAAAUUCUGAUAAAAUCAACUAUCAAGUCCCUGUUUCUUAAAAAGAGACAUUAAUGACUCAUUGCUCUUAGUAAAUGGCAUAAACUUGCCAAUGUUAUCCUCUUAUAAGUUUUUUGUCCUCUCAUUCCACAAAUCACUUAAAGGUAAGGGAUAAAGUAGGGUCAACCUAACGACAGACAUUUCACCGUCAUGCAUUACUUUACUCAGAUGAAGAUUUGUGGCAGACUUGGCCUCUUCUAUAUCAGCCUUAGUAGUAUUCCAUGUAUCAAGAAAAGGUUUACUGCUUUAGUUUGCCUUGCCUUCUGUUCCUGGAACAUGUGACAUAGUUAAACCUUCUAAAUGUACAUUGCCACAAGAAUAUGUGGCUUCCCUUACCAUUUGUUCCCUGUUACUCUGCUCUUCAUAUAAAGCAGAAUUUAAACUUUUGAUGAUAGACAAAUCUUUUCUUGGAAGCUCUGGAAUGGAACUUAAAUUUGUAUCAGCCCUGGGCGGAACAUGAAACUUCUCUUGGUACUUUUUAUCUGAUGUACAACCUUGUUGAUCGGAUUCUUGAGCGCACGUGCUGUUUGUCCUAUCCAAAGAAGAUCGUUCUAGGAUUGAAUUUCUACAAGCUGCAGAUAAAGUUAGACAUAGAGUUGAAGUUACAGAAAUCUCUACCUAAACUUAUGAUGUUACUCACACAAUGUGUUGAUUCAUCAUUAUCAAUGACAGCUUUAUCUUCACAGUCUGGAAUUGCCUCAGGAAGGAGACUUUUCGAGCCCUGGUGCUCAUCCAUCUCUGUAAAUCUCCCUUUGCUUCCUAUGACCUUCUUCCCACCUUGUUCUCCCUCAGUCAUGGAUGAAUCAAGAUUAGAGCCGUCCAACGUGGAUAGCACAAUGACUGCUAAGGUCCUAAAUGCAAACACGAGUCAUGAAAUUUGUUUUGAGUGUAUCCGUUUUUUUUUUUUUUUGUAUGAUAUUGUUUCCUCUUAUAAAUAGAUCCUUUCUUGUACUUUAAUCUCAACAAAUGCAGUUAAAACCUACAUAUAGGACUUUUAUCAGUAUUUUUCAAGGAACUUAGAACACCUAUUUAUUUUCUUGUGCAUGGUAUUCAUUAACAAAUAGGUCAAACACUCUGGACACUAGUUGAUAUGUAUAACUAAUUGGUUUGACUGCAUAAUCUCAAUCAUUUCUUUCCUUUUCUGAAACUUUCAUGGAAGAUUGGUUGCGAUUUUGUUGUUCAGGAAUCACACUUUGAUAGGACUACAUGUUUUGGAUGCUUGUGAAGUUUGGAAGACAAGUCAUGCAACAAUGGUUAGCUUGCAGGGAUCGAGCUAGCAUAUUUCUAAGAAUGAUUUCAAAUUCCAAGACAUCAAGUUAGGAGGCAGGUGAGACCUCAUUUUGAGAGAGUUACUAUUCUUCAAAUGACAUUUAAAAGAUUCUCUGUCAGGAUUGAUGCAAAUCUUUUCUGUUGGUUUUGACAACUCAUUCAAAUUGCCUGUCUUGCUUGGAGAACUGCAAAAGUUUAGUACGAGCAGAUUAAUCAUAUGCAGAAUAAUGUUGUGUCAAUGGACUUAUCCAAUAUAUGAAUUCUACUUAUAAGUGUUGGCAAUGUCUCUAAGACGGGAUAUGACAUAACAGAAACAUCAUUAUACAUAAAACAAAUACAACAUGACAUUGAUACAUCUUUUCUGUAAUCAUUAGUUAUUUUGGUCUUAAAAGUUACUAUAUCUCAAAGAAUAUCGCUCUCCCAUUUCAUUCGACUCAAAAGGUACAACUCAAACAUGAAUAUGUCAGGCUAGCACAGACUGGGCAUCCUGCUUCCAGUCUUGUAGUCCACGGGUAGUUACUUCAGUCACACGUUACCAGAGACAGAGAUGUCACAUCAAAAGAUUCUUAGCAAGUAUAAACAUUUGUGUUGAUCAAACUACUAAUGUAUGGCAAUUAGCAAAUCAUCCAAUGUCUCAAUGCAAACUAUCAUACACAAUCGAACAAAAAGUAUCUCAUUUUACCCUUGUUGAAAGUCCAUCGGGUAGCAGAGUUGUCAUAACCUGGGCACCUUCAUAGGGGAAGAAGAUAAAAAAAAUUUCCUUUUUUUCCCUCUAGGGGGAGGGCAUGGUGGUGGGAAGUACAUAACUGGCACAUCGAUGACCCACUGUCAACUACUUUUAAGUGAAGUACAUGGAAAAAAAAGUGGUAGAAUUUGAACAAAAUCUCAUUUUGCUCUAAUAUUUAAAUUUGAUUGGGUACAGAUGCUUCACCUCGGUAGAGAAGUGGUGCUCACACUGAUAUGGCUUGUUGUCAAAGGAGAUUGGCUGUUCGCGUGCUUCCUCACGAGAGAAUUUAGACCAACAAGCUUUCUCCAAGUUGAUGGCUCUUGAGAAGACCGACUCUUAAUUUCCUCUGAUCUCUUCAAAAACUUAGAGUGGGCUUGUCAAGGCUGUCUACAGGUAAAGAAAGAGGACAAUAUACAAGCUGCAAGCUUUCUUCCAAUAGCAUUCGAUGUAUCAAUAAAAGGUUUAUUGCUUUCAUUUGCCUUCUGUUCCAGGAAUAUGUGGCACAGUUAAACCUUCCGAGCCCUUACCAUAUCUUCCCUGUUACUCUGCUCUUCACCCAAAGUGGAAUUCAAACUUUUGACAAUAAACAAAUCGUUUCUCGGAAUCUCUGGAAUGGUACUUAAAUUUGUAUCAACCCUGGGCUGCACAUUUACUUCUUCUGGUUCUCUUUGAUCUGAUGAAUAACCUUGUUGAUCAGACUCCUGAUUACACAUGCCAUUUGACCUAUCCAAAGAAGAUCGUUCUCGGAUUGGAUUUCUACAGGCUGUAGACUUUGGCACCCGAUCACUUUUUUUUCUUGGGUUGGGCAUAGAAGUUAAAGUUACAGAAGUUUUCUCCCUGAAUCUCCGGUGUACCCACACAGCGUGUAGACUGAACAUUGUCAAUGAUAGCAUUAUCCUCACAGUCUGUAAUUGCCUCGCCAAGGUGAGUUUUUGAGCCCUGGUGCUCAUUCAUCUCUAAAGAUCUCCCUUUGCUUCCUAUAACAUUCUUCCCACAUUGUUCUCACUCAGGCAUGGAUGAAUCAAAGAUUAAAGCCAUCCAACGUGGGUAAUUUAAACAUCAGAAACUAUACCAUUAUGUUGUAGCAAAUAAAUUUAUGACUGUAUUAUGAGUCCUCCCAUCCCACUCAGAUCAUCCACUUUCCAGCACAAUGAAGCUCAAUUAAGAUGAAUGACAUGUAACAUGUACAUUAGAACAGCCACUUAUCAUGGUAUCAUUUUUCUGAAGAGAGAUGCCAUGAAAUAGCAUUAUCUUUGAGCAAAAUAUGUGCCCUGAGUGGCGAAAAUCUCCAAUUCAUACCUCAGAAAUCAAGACAGAGAGCAGGUAAAUGCUGUAAGUCAUAGCGAUUUUCUCUACAUAAGCGCUUACAUUGCGGUGAAACUGCAAGGAGCCAUAGACUACCAGUAAUAGGCUCACAGCAAUUAUGAAGAUACAUAUUUAUAGACUUGUUUCACGGGAAACAACACUUCCCAGUUUCUGAAGUCAAAUGCACCAGAAUACUGAGAUAAACAUUAUAAUUCAGAAAGAAAUCCUUCCCUGUGCCUAAUUUGUAAUGUCAAAGAAGAUGCUCAAAUGAACUCCAUAAAGCCAGUCAACCUCGAUCACAAAGAGGUCUUUUGAAACCAAAUGAACCAAUGAAACAAACGGCAAAAGCCAUUCGGAAACUCGACCCGCUCAUGAAUUACCUCUGUUUUACGCUAUGAAACAAAUAGCAAACACUGACAUUUCACAAUUACGAGCAACGAAAAUUCGUUAGAUUGAGACAAGCAUAGGAUCUCCAGAGAGCAAGGUCGAGCGCGGGAGAGAGAGAUGGACUAGGUCUGAAUAGAGAAGAGAGAGGAGUAAUCUUGUUCUUAUAAGGUUUUUGAAAGGCGACCACCUUUAUAUAUAUAUAUAUAUAAUAGACCUAAGUAAGUCCUUAAAAGAUUUUAUCUCGGUAUCCGUUUGGAAUUCGGGAUCACUGAAAUAUGAAACAACAAGAGAGUAUUCCUUUCAUCUAAGAAAGACAAAGAUACCAAGGGGAUUAGAGGUGCGAAACAUACGAACCCUAAUGCGUUCAAAUAAUGAACCAAUCUGUGGAGCCCGCUGCUGUCCAACAAGCUGCAGAGGCUCUUCUAGGAGCUCAAGCUCCCUUCCUUUGAUGAAGUUACUCAUAAUCAAACACCAAUAAUUCAAUAAUAAAUAUUAGCUAUUAUAUAAAACCUCAGAAGUCCUAUUUCACCCCUUCAAUGGAACCAUUUUUCGCCAAAUUGCCUCGAAAUUGUUUAAUUUGUUUCAAUACUCCCACCCCCCCCCCCCCCCCCCCGGGCGCAAGACACAUGGGUAAGAUGGUAAUUUCAUAAAAAUAAUAAUAACUCACCAACAAACCCACCUCGAAAAAUCAUCCCGUCUUUUUCUUUUACCAACAAUUCUUGAAUGCUUUCAAAAAAAAAAUUUAAAUCAAAUUUAUUGGAAAAAAUAAAAAAAGAAUAUCUCAUGACAUGGAAGUAUAGAAUCGUGGCUCCGUUCCCUCCUCCCCAUAACAUUCAUUUGACUUUUAGGAUUUAUGGCAUGAAAUGCUCCACGUGUCACAUCCACCAAACUUAACACCCUUGAAAAUCCCAACCACACCUUUAUCUUACGCACCGUUCGUUUCACGGAAAAUAACUUCUCGGAAAAUGUUUUCCGGAUUUUCCGAUGUUCGUUUCACGGAAAACCAACUACUCAAAGAAAAUAUUUUCCAUCAAUGGAAAAAACUACCUUCAAAGAUAAGGAAAAUGUUUUCCACUUUUGAAAAGUGGAAAACAUUUUCUAUAACUUCUUCCACCUUUUAUCUUUUUAUUAACACAUUUUUAUUUUAUUUUUAUGCUUUUCUUUUCUUUUCUUUUCUUUCUUUCCUUUUCAUCUUUCUUCCUUAGCUUGGCCGGUGGCCAGCCCCGACGGCGGCCGGCGACCAGCCGCGACCAGCGACCGGUCGCGGCCACGAGCCAGCUCAAGCUCCGCCCCAGGCCGGCGAGGCUCCGCCUAGCCUAAUCUGGUGAGGCCCGAGCUCGCCCGAGCCCGGCGAGCUCGGGCUCGCCUGGAUCAGGAGCCCAAGCUCCGCCACCAGAUCCGGCGAGCUCGCGGCUCACCAGAGCUCAACGAACCUCUGGCGAGCUCGGGCGAGAUCAGCCGAGCCUCGAGCUCGCCGGAUCUGGCAACCGGAUCUUGGUCGGCUGCCGGGCAGUCAGCCAUUGUCAGGCAUGCGGCGGCGGAGGAAGGAGGAAGGAGGAGGAAGAAGGAGGAGGAAGGAGGAGGAAAAGAAAUGGAAAAAAUAAAAAGAAAAAGAAAGAAAAAAUAAUAAAUAAUAAAAAUUUUGAUUUUUUAAAAUAUAAAUAAUUAAAAUUUUAUUUUUAAAAAUUAUAAAAAAAUAAAACUAAUGAACGGUGGAAAAUAAUAAAAAUUGUAUUUUUUAAAAAUACAAAUAUUUUUUGGUCAAUUAAAAAUAUUAAAAUUCAAAUUUUUGAUAAUUUUUCAUAAACAAUUAAAUUAGUUAACGAACGGUGGAAAAUGUUUUCCACUCAAAAUUUAAGUUUCAGUCGAACACCGGAAAAUAUAGCCAUUUUCCUGGAAAAUGACUUCUGGGAAAAUAUUUUCCGGAGAUGGCCCAUUUUCCGCGAAACGAAUGGACAGAAAAACAAAAAGUUCCAUGGCAUCGACAAUGAUGCGGACCACCUAUAAAUUAUAAAUCCCCAACAAAUAAAGUCAUAACUCUCCCAAAAAUGAAACCCUAACCUUUCCGAAUUUCAUGUGCCAGAAGCCAACCGAUCGACAAAAUGCAAGUCCAAAUCCUUGAAACCAAACUUAUCCAACCCUCUACACCACCCUUUCUCGAUCAAGAACAGGUCCUCCCUCUCUCGCACCUCGACACCGAUCCUAAUCUCAACAUCACGUUCCGUUACCUCCGUGUGUAUGUAAAUGCCGACCAAACGAAGCGCGCCCACGAUACACCGUACCAUGUCAUUGCUAGAGCGUUCUCUGGUGCACUUUGUUACUACUACCCUCUAUGCGGCACGCUUCGUCCUGGCGAUCAUCACCGCCUCAAGCUACAUUGUGUUGCCGGCCAAGGCGUGCCGCUUGUUCACGCCACCGCCAAUUGCACUCUCCAUGCGGUUAAAAACCUUGAUGACGCGGACUCGGGUUUCUUGGAGUAGCUGAUACCCAACCCGGAUCCGGAGGAGAGUUUGGCCAACCCGUGUGUGCUCCAAGUCACAAUGUUCGAAUGCGGGGGGUUCAGCUUAGGUACCGCCAUACACCACGCCAUGUGCGACGGGCUCGGGGCGACCCUAUUCUUUGGGGCAGCGGCGGAGCUAGCUCGUGGGGCGGAGCGAGUUUCCAUCGAGCCGGUGUGGGACCGAGACAUCUUGUUGGGGCCAAGGAGUCCGGCUCGGGUCGAGGCGCUAGUUGGGGAUUACCUAUGCGAGAAGGGUCGGAACCCGUACGAUGAUGAAGAGAAUUGCAAGUUUGGUCGGGAGUUCUUCCACGUGAAAGAGGAGUGGUUGGACCGAUUUAAGGCAUUGAUGCUGGAAAAGUGCGGCCAGAAGUUCACCACGUUCGAAGCUUUAGGUGCAUUCAUUUGGCGCGCAAAGUAAGUCAUUUAAGUACACCAACCAUUUCGAGAUUAUCUUAGGAUUAUCCUUCUGAUUACACUGUUAAUUUAGAGAUUUGCACAUAUGUAAAUAUCCGGCCGCAACGUCUUGACUUCAAUUGAUUCACAAAUUCCUGAAAUAGGGUCAAAGUAUCGGACAUUCCAGGCGAUGAGACGGUGAAAUUCUCAUACUCAUCGAACAUCCGCAAGGUGCUGAAACCGCCAUUGCCGGUCGGCUACCGGGGCAACGGAUGUGUCCCGAUAUACGUCCAACUAAAGGCGAAAGACUUGCUGGAAAAGCCAAUUUGGGAAGUCGCGGAGCUGAUCAGGAAGAGCAAGCGCAACGCAAGCGAUGAGUACGUGCGAUCGUACAUCGACUUUCAAGAAGCACAUCGAAGAGAAGGCGUCUCGGCAGGUCAGAAGGAGAAGGCUUUUGUUUUUUUGUUUUUUAAUUUUUUGAAAGAUUUACGUUGCAUAGCAGGCAUUGACAUUGUCCACGAAAUAGUAUAUAUUUAUCUAUUAUUGCCUUAUGAUUAUGGGGAGACAAGACAAUCAAUUUUCAAUGAAUUGAGUGCAUGUUAAGGAAAUAUACUCUUUUAUUUCAAUUUCUCAGGAAAAAAAUUUAUCGGCUUGUAAUAUCACAUGCUUAGGACAUUUUGUAUAAGGAUGCAAAAGAUACUUUAUGGUCAAAAAGAGCCAAGUGUCUGUAUAUUAUGAUUUACAUGUCUAUUAUCACACUUACAAUUUUUAAUAUCUUGAGGUCUUCACUAGGAGUACAAUAUUGUAAUUUCUCAAAUUUAGACCACAUGCAAUGAGUUGGGAGUCUACAACAUCUAGUAGAAUUAAUCAGAUGUUCGAAGAAUCUCGGAUAUCCAAUUUGAAAUACAAGAUUGAUAGUUGACUAGCGUAUUGCGGCCAUUUAUCGAAUUUAAUCUAACACAAAUUCUCCUUUGGCAUAUUUCAACGCAUUUUCACAGUAGAACUAGCUACAACAUCAUCUGUAAAAUGAGCUCACUCGAUGAUUUUUGUUUUCAGGAAAAAAUGUGAGCGGAUUCACGGAUUGGAGGCAUUUGGGCCACUCGGCGGUGGAUUUUGGGUGGGGAGGCCCGGCCAACGUGCUGCCCCUCUCGAGGAAGCUCUUGGGGAGCAACGAGGCUUGCUUCUUCUUGCCUUGUUCCGAGGUCGGAGUCGGAGAUCCGAGCGAUGGCUUUAGGGUUUUGGUGAAUCUGAAGGACAGGUGGUUGUGUGGUUUUAGGGAGGAGAUGGAGAAGCUUGGGAAGAUGGAGUUUGGCUUUACUUAAUGUCAAGGCAAGAUGCUUGAGUGGCUUUUCAUUGUAAGCUGUGGAAGUUGGUUUUGUAAUUUGGAGCAAGUUCCUAUGGGGGACUUUUCAUUUCCCCCCUCCAAGUUUGAUCUAAUUCUCUUUCUUCUUUUUUUUCGAGAAUUCAUUGUGAUCACUACGCUACUUAUGUGAUAUGAUGGGCGAUCAUAUUUUGAACAUAAGUGAGAAUAUUACAUGUUAAAAUCAACAUUCGUACGUGAAAUUCAAAAUAAAAAUCGAUGGAAGAAUUCUAUAGUCAUGAAUGAAGAGGUUUGCCACUAACGUUUUUCUUAAUCAUAUCACGACCAUAGCAAGUGAAAGCCUAGAAUUCCGAAUGAGUGUAUUUAUCAACGCAUUUCCGGAUCUAUCACUUAUCAAAAACUUGAUUUGGCAAUUUAGCUAGCUAAAUUAAUGAAGUGGGAGUAAAACCUAGCUAAGUAUGUAGGCCGAUUAAGAUGAGAAAAACUAGCGAAGUUGCUAGUCCCAUGAUAAACUCUAACGAUUGGCCUUACCACAUCAUCAGGAGCCUUUGACAUGUCAGUCAUUAUCUCAAUCAACCACCUUACCCCAUUCUUCUUUUGAUGAAAUGCAACUGUUUCUUUGACUAUAUUACACAGACUAAAUUAAUUGUCCCAAAUUAAUCACACAAUUCAAGAAUUUAACAGACCCAUAAUGAAUCUCACAAAAAAAAAACUUAUAUUAUGAUUAGCUUUAUCUAACACGCUAUAACCCCCAAAUAAACUUUGUACAAAAUUUGAUAGUAAGAAAGAGUGUCUAAACAAAAUUUGAUUGAUGAAGGAUAAUUUCCUAGGUCUAGACAGAUAACGCCUUGACCUAAAUUAGCUAAAUAAGGAAAUCAAGAUAAGAAAAGGAAAUCACAGGGAAUACACGCCAAUGCAAAUAACAAAAGUUAAUCCCUCCCACAACGCUCGCAAAAUGUGUUUAAAAAUAUUAUAUAAAAUCAGUCGAUUUGCUACACCAAUUGCUCAAGUUGUUAGGAAUACGAGUCAAUAACAGAUGUCAAGCAUAUUCCUGUUAAUUUCCAUAUGUAACGUAUUUGAUAUGCAUUAGUUGGCUCUCCAUUCUAACAUCUUUAGCUUUUCUAACAUUUCAUCAUCACAUAAGUAUCUAAGCAAAUCUUAAAAAGCUUUAUCUUGUUUCUCAUCUAGAUUUUAGGAUCGUCAAGAUGUAAAAUAACUAGAGUUUAUUCCUUCCUAUUGGGGAAAUGAAAAAUAUAAGGAGAAUCGGGCGAAGAAAACGAAUGGAAGUUAACAUCAUACCGUUUUUUUUUUUAAACAGACAUAUAUGUAACGACCACAACGAGCUGGACCGGAAGGAUGAAAAAAGUCCAGUAGUGAGAAUCCUGAAGGCUUUGCUGAAAUCUAUCACCUUAUCCUCAAAGUGACUAACCAAUAGGAGUUUUCCUCUAAAAAUAAAAUAAAUCGACCGAAAGUCUAUGUGAAGCCUGUGAGAGGAGCUAGCUCUGCGACACGAAGAAGCCAUGGCGUCUCUCCUGGGAACUUCUUCCACAGCAAUCUUGGCCUCACGGCGCCUCUCCUCACUUUCAGGUGCACUUUCCUGCACAUGUUUCAAGCGUUUGGGGGAUAGUCCGAAUGACCCAUCUCAGUUCUGGUCCUCGACUUUCUCGAAUUCGACUCUUUCAAGCGCGGGGUUUAUGAGGUUUUUAAUGGGUCUGUGGAAUUUGCCUUUGUUGUUGAAUUUUCUUGUUUGCAGUGCAGAAUCAUGGCAAGAAAUGCUAUGGAGGGAUUGAAUUUCAGACCAGGAAAGGAAGGUGUCCGUGGCAUCUUGCCGUCACCAAUGUUGCGACUGACAUCAAUUCUGUCGAGCAGGUAUCGAUUCUUUCCUUUGCCUUUUCUUUUAUUAGCUCUAUGCAUUUCUGGGAAGUUGCAGCAAGAGACUGAUGUAGAUUGAUGCUGCUUCAAAUUUUUUUAAUUGCUGAGUUUUUUUAGUGAAAGUAGACUGAAAAUUGGGCUGCUUCCAUUGCAUUUAAUGAUAAAGUGAGGAUUUCUUAGGCUGAGGCAUUACGCUAAUUGAAGUCGAAUGGGAAAAAGAAAAUGCUUUGCAGUUGAUGGUUGUUUGUGGGUGGUCUUGUUGAGUGAAGUGAGAAUUGUUUGGGGGAGAAUUAGCAUGGAUUGCUUGUGUAGGAUUUUGUGAGCUGGAUUGGAUGGAUUUUUUUCAUUUUUCAGGCUCAGAGGCUUGCGUCUAAGGAGAGUCAGAGGCCGGUCUAUCCUUUUGCCGCUAUAGUUGGGCAAGAUGAGAUGAAGCUAUGCCUCUUACUAAAUGUCAUUGAUCCGAAGAUUGGUGGUGUCAUGAUUAUGGGAGAUAGGGGCACCGGGAAAUCCACUACCGUCCGGUCAUUGGUCGAUUUACUCCCUGAGAUUUCGGUGAAACCGCAAGGUUCUAUGGACUUCCAGCAACCGGGUUACGGCAAUUCUGAACGCAAAUUUAUCCACAAGCUUAUGCCACCCAGUUUCUGAAGCCAAAUGCGCUGGAAUACUCACGGAGGCAUAUCGGAGAGAUAAACGGAGCAAUUAAGAAGAAAUCCUUCGCUGUGCCUAACCUACAAAAUCAUGGACGAUGCAUACUGCCAAUCUACAUAGAGCACAAAGAGGUCUUCUGAAAUCAAACGGACCUACUGCGACAGGAGGGUGGGAGACGCAAAAUGCACGCGAAACAGCGAGAGACAAGGCACAACAAAGGCGAGAGUCUGAAGGAACUCCUCAUCGGAAAAGUUCACAUCUCAUCAGGUUUCUCCAUCGGAAAAACUAAGUGCGCUUGUGCAAAGCCCCUCCGCUUGACAGUACCUUCCUUGCGAUCGCGACAGGAAGUGAGCUCGAGCGUGGGAGAGGGAGGUGUUGGAAGAUAUGCUCGAAUCUGAUCUUGGGAGAUAUGCUCAUAAUCUCAGUUGAUCUUAAUUGUACAUAAAUUAGUUAGGAUCUUUAGAUUGAGAUUGGAUUCGAUUUCAUAAAUAUUUGUUUGCCUUUUAUUAUUUCAUCUCUGUACUAUAAUUACAGAAGAAAUGUACAUCAGGAUACAUACGAAAUAUACAAGAAUUACAGAUCUCUAGUCUUCUUCACUUUCUUACAUGGUAUCAGAGCUUUGGCUUCUGAUUGUUCUUCGCUUCCGCUCCUGAUUGCCCACCAAAGGAGAUCUGAAUCACACAACAGAUCUACCAUCUUGGUAUAGGAAUCACUCUCAAAGAAGACAAGAGCUACUGGUUUCUUACCUCCAAUGGCUAACAACCAAUCCAACCCAGAAGCCUCACCACCGGCGUAGAUCCAAAAUUUACCUGCAACAACACAACAACAAACAAUCCAGGCACACCCUGUUCAAUGGAGACCUACACAGGCUCAGUUUGGUCUAGGGCAACCCUUUGCGGGUCAACCGUUCCAGUGGGUACCUUACCCAUUUUAUCUCGGGACAAACCCGAAUACAUCAUCGCCCGUUUAUGUAGGACACCAGGGAGCCCACGUCCAAUCCGAGGCAAGCUCACCAGCCAUAAACGGGGCAAGCUCGACCCUAGGACUAGAGCCGGUAAGCGGAUUUGGAGAACCAGGUAUGGGAACGAAUCCCUACCUGGGGUUUUCAAAUGCGGAUUACCAAUUGGGCCAAGGGACAAAGACCUACCCGAACCUUGUGCUCGGAUUCAUGCCAUUCCCCGUCGCUGCGGUCACCGGGCGUCCGGAGCCUGGUGAUCCCCUACAUGUCUCAACAACCGAUGGCCCUGAGCUGAAACUGAUCAACCUUCAGUUAACCGGACCAGAGAAUUACACCAGGUGGUCCCGAGACUUCCGGCAUGCCCUUGUGACGAAGGACAAGGAUGGAUUCCUCGACGGGGCGGUUCCGAUUCCUGCCGAUGAGCGACUAGCCCAAUUCUGGAGGAAAUGCAAUCAACUCGUGAGGACGUGGAUUAGCAACUGCAUCUCCCCAGAGGUCGCGGCUGGUCUCCCACCAACAGAAGACUCGAAAGCCAUAUGGGAAAACAUCAAACAAAUGUAUGGCAAAUUAGAUCGGGCACGAAUUCUUUCCCUUUUGCAGGAACUCAGUGAGUUAAAACAGGGGAACAUGACCAUCACGGCCUGUUACAACAAACUGUCAUCCCUGUGGAACGAUCUCAAAGCAGUAGAAGAGAAGCUCGAGGGACCAGAGGAGACACUCGCACAAUACCAGUCGAUCAAAGAAAGGGAAAAGGCGACCCGAUUCCUUUUAAUCUUGAACGAUUCUUACCUGACGUUUCGCUCGCAGAUUUUGGCCAUGGAACCGAUGCCCCCUCUUGGCCGGAUCUUUCAAUUAGCAGUCCAAGAAGAAAGCCAGAGGCUUGCUUCAUCAGAAUCGGCGAAAGGAGGAGAGAGUUUUGCCCUGGCCAGUCAUGGUGAGCGAAGAAAUUGGGGAUCGAAAACCCUAGUGCUCGAAAUAGGGGUGCUAGGAGGAGAGCUAGGGUUUCAGUCGCCCGGAUCUGAGGAUUCCCACCUCCUUAAAAGAGGAGGACUGGACGGCUCGAAUUCAGCUUGCAGAUCGGAUGGUCUAAAGGGACCCAUCUAUUCGACCGGAUCUAAUGGUGGAGAUGGAGCGACUAGGAAGACAUCCGACGGUGGUGGUUUUUUUUCUGCAUCUAACGGCAGAGGAAUUUUUUCGGCAUCUACAAAAAGUUUUAAUCAAAAAAUGGGUAAAUUAUAUUGUGAAUUUUGUAGAAGGCCACAUCAUACAGUGGAAAAUUGCUGGAAAUUACACGGUAAACCCGGAGAAAAAGGAAAAAAAGAAGGAAAUUUCUACGGCCUACCGGGUUGGUGGUUCUAAUGUUGAUCAGUCCAUAACAAAUGAUCAAUACCAACAACUGAUGCAGGCAAUACAGAAAUUGGACAUCUCAAGCAAGGGAGGAAAUUUUUCAGGUGUUUCUCGCUGCCUGAUUAAUAAUAUUUCCAAGAAAUCCUAGAUAAUUGAUUAUGGGGCAAGUGAUCACAUUGUCUGUGAAAGAGCAUUAUUUUCAGAUAUACAUGAGAACUUGGAAUUUCCUAUUACUAUCCAAUUACCAAAUGGCAAUGUUACUCAUGUCAAAAUCACUAGAUCAGUCAAACUCAGCCCAGAAAUCAUACUCCAAAAUGUCCUUUACCUUCCAAAAUUUCGAUUCAAUCUUAUUUCUGUGUCCAAAGUCUGUAGAGAAAAUUCUUGUCAUGUAUUGUUUGAUUCUAACACUUGCUUCUUUCAGGCCCUUUCGACUGGCAUAGUGAUGGGCUUGGGUAGUCUUUCUGAAGGAUUGUUUCUAUGGAAAAAUUCUCCAAGUAAUUUUGAUUUAUCCUCAUUUCCUUCAAAUAAAAUAUUAUUGUGUAACACGACUACCAAUGAUAAAUACUAUCUUUUACAUUCACGAUUGGGUCAUAGUGUUUCAUUUCCUUAUUCUAAGUGUCAAAUAUGUCCCCUUGCAAAGCAAUCACUCAUUCCUUUUGCCCUUAGUAAAAAUCGUGCAACGCACAUUUUCUCUUUAAUUCACAUGGAUGUUUGGGGUCCUUACCAUACCCAACAUUAUGAUGGAUCGCGCUAUUUCUUGACAAUUGUGGACGAUUAUUCUCGUGCCACUUGAGUUUUUCUGAUGCAAUCAAAGGGACAAGUCUUCUCACAUUUGAAAACAUUUAUUGCUCUAUCCAAGAACCAAUUUGGAAGAUCUAUCCAACGAGUUAGGACAGACAAUGGGAAGGAGUUCUUCAACAAUGACUGCAAUUUUCUUCUGCCAUCUCAUGGGAUUCUCCAUGAAAGUUCUUGCAUCUAUACUCCACAACAGAAUGGAGUAGUGGAGCGUAAGCAUCGUCACCUAUUGGAAGUUGCACGUGCAUUAAAAUUUCAGGCGUCUAUUCCAGAAAAUUAUUGGGGCGAAUGUAUAAUUACUACAUCAUAUAUGCCAACUCAGAUACUCAAUGGAAAAACCCCAUUUGAGUUACUCUUCAAGAAGAAACCGGAAUUGGGGCAUUUAAGGAUAUUCGGAUGUCAGUGCUUCACUACUGUUUUGGGCCCUCGAGACAAAAUGGGCCCUCGAACUCGAUGGUGCAUCUUCAUGGGUUAUCCGAAUUUACAAAAGGGGUAUCGAGUCCUAGAUCAAUCAACAUUGGAAUUCUUCAUCAGCAGAGAUGUUAUUUUUCGCGAAGAUAUUUUUCCUUUCAAAGAAAAGGACUCUUCAACGGAGAUGCCAAACAAUUCUGGUAAGCCACUAUCUAUGGAGGAUUUUUCAAAUACCGAAUAUUUUGUGACAGGAACUCCAGAACCACUUAUGAUAACCCCAGUCACUCUUGAGAUUUCCGCACCAACAAUUGUCGAAAAUGGUGCUCAAGAAAAUUCCUCAAUGGCGGAAGAAUCCUCUAAUGAAAUUGGCAAUACAGAAUUAUCUUCAACUCUAGCUCAAGCGAAUCCUCCUCGACGAUCUGGUCGUUCUACAUGACCGCCAGCUUGGAUAGAAGACUAUGUUUGUGCAUCACCCAACUCACCAGUUAUUAACUACCCAAUAUCAUCUUAUGUUUCGUUCCAUAGACUUUCACCAGAACAUAGAUGUUGUGUGAGUCAAAUAUCAAAGGACAUCGAACCAUCUACUUAUGAAGAAGCAGCUAAAGACCCAAGAUGGCAGGAACCUAUGGGAGCUGAAUUGCAGGCACUAACUGCAAACAAGACCUGGGAUUUAGUCCAUCUACCACCAAAUAGGAAACCCAUUGGAUGCAUAUGGGUAUACAGGAUUAAAUACCGUGCUGAUGGGUUUAUUGAGCGUUACAAAGCUCGAUUGGUGGCCAAAGGAUUUAUUCAACGGGAAGGCUUUUUGACUACCAUGAAACCUUUUCCCCCGUUGCCAAAGACGUAACAGUAAGAUCCUUCUUAUCUAUUGCAGCUAUCAAUGAUUAGCCUUUACACCAAAUGGAUGUACAUAACGCUUUUCUGCAUGGAGACUUAGAUGAGGAAAUCUACAUGGAUAUUCCUCAAAGAUUACGGAGACAGGGGGAGAAUAGAGUAUGUCGUCUCCGUAAAUCUCUCUAUGGUCUCAAGCAAGCUUCCAGGCAAUGGUAUGCAAAAUUUGCCGAUGCUCUCACUUCUGCAGGUUUCAAACAGUCUGGAUAUGAUUACGCCUUGUUCACAUGGACUCAAGGUACGUCAUCUAUUUAUCUGAAGGUAUAUGUUGACAAUAUCCUCAUCAUGGGAAAUAAUAAAACUGCAAUAGAGAGAUUCAAGAAGUAUCUGCAUUUUACUUUUCAAAUUAAAGACUUGGGAGCACCCAAAUACUUUCUUGGAAUCGAGAUUGCUCGAUCUGAUCGUGAGAUUUCUCUUAGUCAACGGAAGUUUAUGCUGGAAAUUAUAUCAGAGGCAGGACUAUCGGGAUGCAAACCAUCGGUUAUUCCAAUUGAGCAGAAUAUAAAGUUGACCACCAAGGAUUAUGAUGCUGGGACAUCUGAGAAUCAUGAUCAUGUUCUCAAUGAUCCUUCAGGUUAUAAGCUUGUUGGGAAGCUCAUAUAUUUAACUAUGACCAAAUCUGAUAUAUCAUACACAGUGCAGACUCUCAGCCAAUUCAUUCACAGUCCCAAGUUAUGUCACUUGAAUGCUGCAUUAAAGGUCGUGAAGUACUUGAAGAAGUGCCCGGGACUAGGGAUUCUUUUAUCCAUGGAAUGCAAUAUGAAAAUGUCGGCAUACUAUGAUGCAGAUUAUGCGACUUGUCCUAUGAGUCGACGAUCCAUUACAGGUUUUUGCAUUAAACUUGGAGAUUCUCUUCUUUCAUGAAAAACCAAGAAGCAGGCAACUGUAUCAUUGUCUUCAGCCGAAGCAGAAUAUCGGGCUAUGGCAAAAACUACCUGUGAGAUCAUAGGGAUAUGGGGACUACUUGGGGAUCUUGGGAUAAAUUUGAAGAGUCCGACUAGGUUGUUCUAUGACAACAAUGUGGCGCUCAAACUUGCAGCAAAUCCCAUAGUACAUGAAAGAACGAAGCAUAUAGAAGUGGAUUGUCACUUCACUCGAGAAAAGAUUCAAGAAGGGAUAAUUGAGACUCGAGGAAUUGGAAUGGCGGAGCAACUAGCCGAUAUCUUCACUAAGCCCCUAUGUCAAAGACAGCAUGCAUAUCUAUUGAGCAAGCUAGGCAUCUUGGAUAUCUAUCAGCCACCAGCUUGAGGGGGAGUGUUGGAAGAUAUGCUUGAAUAUGAUCUUGGGAGAUAUGCUCGGAAUCUCAAUUGAUCUUAAUUGUACAUAAAUUAGUUAGGAUCUUUAGAUUGAGAUUGGAUUUGAUUUCAUAAAUAUUUGUUUGCCUUUUAUUAUUUAAUCUCUGUACUAUAAUUACAGAAGAAAUGUACAUCAGAAUACAUACAAAAUAUACAAGAAUUCCAGAUCUCUAUAGUCUUCUUCACUUUCUUACAGGAGGGACAGAGAUCGGCUGGAUUAGAAUGGAGAUGAGAGAGAAGCACUCUGGUUUUUUUUGCAGGUUUUUGAAUGGCGACUCUUUAUAGAGAGAGAGAGAGAGAGAGAGAGAGUAGCUCUGAAAGAGGCAGGACCAGAAAGUGGCGGAAAACCGACGGAGGUUCGUCUGAGCGACUCGUCAUGCGCUCGCCGGGAGUUCUCCCGAGGGGACAAUAAAAUCCCGAUUCUGCCCCUCUAGGGGAACCAAUUCACGUAUUGCUCCGGUAUUGCCUUUAUUUUGUCUACUUUGGACCCAAAUCAUCGGAUCUAAAUAGAUUUUAAUCGUCGAUCGCAUGGAUUCAGACACUUGGGAACCAUGAUACCAACGGCAUUGAUGGAUUUAGCGCAUGUAGAGUUGAGUUUAGACAAGCAUUUACCCUCACAUUAAUAAAAUGUGUACAGGACUCAAGGAGCUAUUCGUCGGUUUGCUACCAAAGCCCAUCUCAUGUGCUUUACACCAAGAAGAGGGCACUUUUGCUCAAGAAAAAUUUCAAGCUGGCAUUAGUAAGAACUAAAGAAAUUGACAGGAGAAUUAAUAUCUUAUUGUCAUAUAAAGGAGUACUUUAAAGUUGUGUCGUAUUGAACUUUGUCCCACCUAUUACACUAUUGAAAUGUUAUGUUUAAUAUACCAAUAAAGUAUCAAUCGCUAGUUGAGCAAGUUUAUCACCACAACCCCAUUAAAUAUGAGUAGGGAAUUCUAAGAUUAAUGAUAGACCAAAGCCCAAGUUCGUCUUUCACAGAUUAACCAAAAAAAGAAAAGCAAACUAUUUAUGUUACUUUAGGGGUCUACCGUACACUUUGCUUCACAGAAUUGAAUGGAUUGUCUGAGCCCCUUGACCAUUUUGUUGGAUGUUCUAAGUUUUGCUUUACUAUUUACACUCCCUAUGUAUAUAAGUUUACAAAAAAAAAAAAAAAAAAAUUCUCCGUUACUCUAUCGGAUUAAUAAAGAUAGGAAAACAUUUAUGAUUAUUCUAGCAAAAAAAUGACCUUUGAUAGAAAUAACCUUUUUAUUUUAAGUGAAAUGCGUACUAUAUAUUAGUAAUUAGCAUUUGGCGUGUUUAAAAAAGAUGAAACUUCAAAAAUUAAAUUUGAGAUACACCGCUAACUAAUUUUGUUUCAAAAAGGCUUUUAAGUAAUUUUUCCUCAAUCCAAAAUAGUAAAACUUUUCGUUAUCUAACUUUACUAAUUUAUUAGGCAAUCAUCUUUCCUACGUGUAAUGAAAGUACACAUUAAUUAAAGUUUUAAAUCAAGUAUGUUGAACAUUUCGCCCCUCGAAUUAGAUUCUGGCCAUUUAGUUCUCGGAAAAAUGAACUCUGUCGUUUAGACAAUCACGCCUUUGCAAAGCUGGUGUUUCCAAUGCGUAAAGAGAGUUACAAGCAACUGAGUUGAUGGCGAUGGAAAGAGGUUACAAACCGAGUUUUGACAAGAGCUUGGCCGACGCGUGUGGUAUUACACGGUGAGCCUGAGUCCCUCUUCGACAGUCCGGCCAUUUUUUGUUCGUUUUGAGAUGGCCGACGUACCUCAACUUCGGCAUCCUGGUCACGAUGGCCCUCAACUUCGGCAUCCCGGUCAUCCUUAUAUUCUCGGCCUUAUAGAGCUGAGUGGAACAUUUCGACCGUGUCCUACGCUGUCAGGCACGCCGACCUCCGAUCCACAGUUCCACGUUCGUGUAUUGCUGCGGAGGAUGCGAAGUUUUGCACCACAAGUUAUACGCUAAGGAUCUACUAUGGCCCCAGAUACAACACCCUUGGCAGGUUGGCCUUCCGCUGCGAUUCGUGCAAUGUCCAGUUAUAUUUCUGCCUCGCGAUUAAGCCGGACAAGGGACAUUCCAACUCAAGGCAAGAAGUUUCGAGUCAUGAAUGCACAUUGACCUAACGCUAUGGCGAGUUUAGCUGCAGCCUGUGCAGGGAUAUGAUAUCGGAAGCAGAUUGUUAUGUCUCUUUUGGACCGUGCUGUCUUUUAGCAGAAGAGACCAAGCUGCUCGGAUUCUCCUCAGUUGAUCGUCAUUGCCGCCAUAUCUGCGAGCUGCUCGGACUCUGUCAAGUGCUUCCAUUACUAUUGCCGGACAUGGCACCUACUAUCUAGAGCAAGAUUUUCUACUCAAAACUCUCGCAUAUCAUCAGCUAGGAGUGAAUGUGACAAUAAUGAGGAUGAUGCAUGUGGUACACCCAACAAAGAAUUGAGUUGAUACAUUGUGAUAAGAUUCAAAGGUUGCCGACACUCCCAACAAGUUUAACCUAUCUAUUAGUGUCAUCUUCAUCGUUGUGGGUAGUCCUAGAUCUCUCGAACUUGACUAAUUUGGUUGAGCUGAAACUACAGCAACACGGACAAGUAGGAGAUAAACUUUGUAUCGGUCAAUUAUGGUGGAUUGAGAGGUUAUCCAAACUGACUGUUUUAAGGGUCAAACUUCACAAAGUCCCUAUUCCUAUUGAGUUGGGUUCCCUUCCUCUGCUAACGUUACUUGACUUGUCUAAAUUGGACAUGCAAACCUUUCAGCCACUUCCCUUGUCUCUGCAGAGGCUAAGCCUUGAGAAUUUCAAUUCAAUUGGGUCACUCUCUCGGGACUUGAGAAAUUUGUCAUUUUUAAAGCUCCAUGGGUCUCCAAUGCAAGAAGUUCAACUCGAUGGGCUUCAACUUCCACAACUAAAGGUGUUGCAUGUGGAGUACUGGACACCCUUAAGAGGUUGAGGCUAUCAAGAAUGAGGAAGCUGAAAGAUAUUAAGGCGGUAAAUUGUCAAGCUGGUUGAGAUCCAAUUGUCUUGGGUGUUCGAAUCACUGGAGGCACUGUCUAUUGAACGUUGCAAGUCCUUGGAAAGGCUAGUUUAUGAGACUCUCGAUGAGUUGAUUACUUGUGAAGGGAGACUAAUUUUUCCAUCAAGAGUCUUAAGUAAGUUGCAUGCUCUCACACUGUAUCAUUGCCCUAAGAUACUCCACAUUCAAGAUGUGGAUACGUCGGAAUUGUGGGAGUACUUUCGCCUUUGGAGUUGGCCUCAUCUGCAAAAUCUCGUUGGUUUGUCAAACUUUUAAGAACCUGAAGACUUUAAAUAUCCAGAACUGCGAAAGCCUACGACUUGUUGUGGGCGUCAACGAGUUUUUGGGCCAAUUAAUUCUUUGUAGCUGCGCGUCGUUGGAAAGGGUGAUUUAUGUAUCAACCACCAAACUGCCAAUCGAUCGCCACUUAUUUAUCUUCGGUUGCGAGAAAUUACGAGGGACUGAGAAUGAGUCAAGGGCUUCCAGAAGGAAUAUGGGGCUUCAAAGCAUUAUAAAGUGAGUCCGAAUCAUUCUCUCUUUUUUUUCUUUUCGAUUUUCUUAAUGGAACUAUCACAAACAUCACUUUAGCUUUUAGGUAGAUUUGUAAUAAUUGCGGGAAAUCAAAAAACAAUCCAACGAGCAUGAAUUAUAUUUGCUUUUACUCAUUUUAAAACUCACUCCAUAUAAAUUGUUUUAUUUUCCGCUUGCGUUUUCUCAUAUUCUUUUCUUUUUAUGUAUACGAGAAAGUCCUAUUUGUACGGGGCUAGUUUUUAUCGUAAAUGAUUCUAGAAACUUCAAUGUCUGGAAAAAAAAUGCACACUAGCUCAGAGUCUCUGACAAAACUAUUAAUCUUGUUUUGCAUGGAGUGAGUUGUUCGGCUUAGCAAUAUUUUUAUGUAAGAUACUCUACUCUAUUGUCAUUUCUUACUUAAUAUAUUUAUUAUGGAGAUGAGUUUGGUGAUUUUCGAUUUUUACGGUGAAGAUGGAACUUUAAAAGACUUUGGUUCACAUUGAUGGAUUGAGAGUUGCUUGAAUUAGCAUGUGGUUGGGGUUGGCCAAUUAGGAUGUGUGUUCCCAAAAGCAUCUAAAAAUAUAUUAUUUAAGAUUUUGCAUUCUAAAGGGAACAAUGAAAAAUCUGAUUGCUGGAUAAUGUAUUUUCACAUCAAAGCACAAGGAUUGUUUCUUUCUGCGUACUUGAACACUUGCUAAGGGAGUAUAGGCAUAGUGUAAAAUAAGCAAAAAGUAAGAAGAUUCCUAAUUCUCGUCUUCUUAAUCUUUUCGGAAUGAUUGAAUCAAGUUUUUAGAUGAUUUUGAUCUGCUUCCUAAAAAAAAGUUUAAUGUUGGUUUAUAGCUAAACCCAUCAUUUGAUACAAAAGAUUUAAGUAACGUCUUUUUAAUAUUUUUAUUAGUGUUUUAUUUUUCAUAUUCAACGGCAUAUCUUUUUUAUUGGUUGUUUCCUUUUUUUCUAUUUUGCUCCAUCGACUAAAAAAGCAGAAAGCACAUAUUUUUUUCAAUCUCAACGAUUGCAAUUAAAACUUAUAUAAACAGAUAGAAACUGUUUUAAAUUCCUCAAAAGAUACUGAUGAAAGUCAUAAAUAGAUUAAACACGGUGGUUGAUUUGAUCGCAUGAUUUUGAUCAUUGUCGAAACUUUCAUGGAAGACUGGUUAUGAUUUUAUUUUGCAGGAAUCGUGCUUUGAUUGGAUCUGGACAUGUUUUGAAGGCUUGUGAUCACGUGAUAAUUGUUAGCACGCAGGGACGGACAAAGUCAACAUUUUAGGUGAUAAACUCUCUCGAGUCUUGACACUCCUUGCACCUGCUUACGCCGCAAAUUCUCGAACUCCUCUUCACGGUUGUGGCCAAAGAUAUUUGGUCGACUCCUUGCGGCUGCUGAGUCCCAUUGUCGUCACGACCGAGCGGAACUGAAGAAGCCAGGUCUCUUUGACGCCUCUUGAUGGACCACGGCCAUUGCGCCUCACCAUCUGCCGCCAUGUAUACUCGGAGCCUCUCCAAGGCGUUCUCUCUAGUUUUCGCCAUCGCCAUUUCCAUUUCUCUAGCUUGCUUCGGUUCUCUUUGCUCUUCUUCCUGCGGGUCUCCUCCUGUCUGUGGAGCAAUGCAGGAGGACACGUCUUUACUCUGUGUGACGGCCCGAGGCAGAGGAUUAUAUGUACUCGACUGGCUUUUUCCGGUCCUGCGCCCUAUUACUAAUGUUAGACUCGAAUCCACUACCCGUUAUGUUCGUCCUUCUUCAUGUAAAUUAACUAAAUUAAAAACAAAAACAAAAACAAAAACAAAACAAAACAAAACAAAACACAGAAGAAAACAACAGAAGAAGGCAUAACGGUCGGCCCCCGCUGCUGCCCCACCAUCAUCGAAAAGGGCCAAUGAUGGUGGGGGAUGGCAAGCCCUGAAGCCAGUGGCUGGCGAGGAUCCCCGAACCUCCACAGUGGCCAAUGACCAUCGCCAGCCGGCCAUCCCCCACCACCACCGGCCCCCUCCGGCGGGAGCAAGGGCCCUCGCGAUUUUGCCUUCUUCCUUUUUUUUAUCAUUUAAAUUUAGCUUAUUUUUUAGUUUGAUUUAAAUAAAAUUUGUAAUAAAAAUCAGAUAUAGAUAUAUUCCAUAUUUUUGCCAUAUCAUUGCCACAAGAAGAAAUAAAAUAUUAAAAAAACCCAAGUCAGUGUUUUCGAUUACCUAAGUUAGACAAAAUUAGUGGAAAAACUUGAUUGCAUAAAUUUGACAAGUUUUAAACUUUAAUGGCAUUUUCUGUAAGUUUUAAGAUUUAAUUACACUUUCAUUAUAAGUUUUAGGAUUUCUAGAUUACUUAUCCCUAAUUUGUAUUUUACCACAUUAUGAACUUAAGCUAUCACAACCAACUACUGCAAACUCCGUCUAAGUUUUGAUAUUGGAUCACAUGAUCUUGAAUUCGAUCAUUCACUCUUUUCACCUUCAAUAAUUUUGGAAAGGUAUUAUGUCUGCAUAUUUCAUACUUUCACUCUUCUAUCUACCAGCGUUAGCAUAAAGAGGUAUUCAGAUAUAAAACUUAGUGGACUCUUUAUUAGCUCAAACCUUUGGAACUACUUAUCGCGCACGCCGACUAUAAGGAAAGCAAUGUCAUUCAUGCUCUUCUUUAGUACAUUUCCAGGAGCACGUCUAAUCGUACCCUAUAUCCUGGAGAACUUUUGACAGCAAUUUUGGACCUUUUGGUUUCUAUCGGUCUUUGCAUAGAGGUGGUCAAUAUGAUAAAUGAAGAUAAAGAAGAUAAGAUUUGCGACCGUAAGACUGAUAAUCGCAUAGGUCGGGCAUCAUGUGACAGUUCAAAUGUCGCACGAUCUAAAGUUUUAUGUUAGCACUGCCCUGGCUUUCCCGCUGCUAAGAAAACCCACUAAGUUGAGACGCCGAGGUGUCUUCUAUAAUGACCUCCAGUAGGAAACCGAGUACUCUCAAGUCAAAGGAAAUAACAAGCCGAGAUUGAACAAUUAUGAAUUGUUAAGUUUGAGAAGUGGGUCCCAUAUUUGAAACAUUGAAAACUUGACGGCAUCUCAUGAACAACGAGGGAAGAAAAAUAGUCUUGAUUCAGCGAGGCACCAAGAAAUGUCCUCGGGAUUUCAUCCCGAACCGACAGGACACAAAAAUAGACAGUCCCUGAAUAGAUGCAGGAAGCCAGUAUGCUUCCACAAUCCAGAAGUCUGAGAAAUAAGCAUGCGUACGCUUUCCUGAUUCAUCAUUGCACCCAUGUUCAGAAGAAUGUCUGAGCAAGUAGGCAUUUCCCAUGUUUGUAUAGGCACAUGCAUCCAUGAUCUCCUGUGAUUCUAUUUGGGCGUGACUUGUGCACACUCGUGUCUAAGAGAGAGGGAGAGAUAUCUCGUUUGAUGCAACUUCAAGUGUGAAUCUCCUUGGACAUGAGCUGUGAUGCAAAUUUAUGUACCCUACGGAUGUUUUAUCUGGUGAAGGAAUUGCAAAGAAAUGCCAGGGGUAAAAGAUAUAUAUAUAUAUAUCAUGGACAACCCGAAGGACAUCCUGUGAAAUCAUUGAUAACCAGAAGCAUAUCUGCUCUUCGUAGAUGGGAUGAUUAAGCAUUAACAGAUUGUUGUUGGUCACAAGUGCUCGAACAAGCAAUUCUUUAGCUUCUUCCUGCUUCUUUAGCAUGUUGCAGAUCUGCAAGACAAUUCCCCUAGGCAGCCAAUGUAUUACUAGCAGAAGGAUCACAAAGAUGGUAGAGUAGACAAGAUUCAAUGCCAGUCUCUGUUCCAAUCGCUUUCUGAAAACUCAAUUGCUAAUGUUAGACCUUUAAUUAUAAAAAAUAGCUAUAAGGUACGAUAGAUUCAUCCUCAAGGAUAAUUAGGUUGGACUGUAGAAGAAAUCAGAAUUUCUGUAUUAGGGAGAUUCUCUUCAUCAAUUGAUUUCUAGUUGUACAAGUUCAAUAAAUAAAGAUGCUUAAUGUCAAUGAAUCCAUAACAAAAUUAUCAGAAGUGAGCAAACAUCCAGUAGUGUCUCUCUAUUAGAAUCUCCAUGGUUUCUGACUAUAGUCUACAACAUGCAUAUAACUGAUCACCAAAGCCAAAAAGUGCAUAAGCAACUCAUUUAUAGCAAAAAUAGUCGCAAUUCACUUACAUCUUCAAGUUCCUUUGUAUAAGCUUCAGCCUUUUUGACAUUUUCAUCAGUUUCCAUGACCAAUGGACUUCCAACUUCAGUGGAACUCGCCUUAGGAGAAAUCUUAACAUGAAAUUUAGGAUGGUCACCAGACACUCUGUUGGUUUUGCUUUGUUCGGUGUCCUCAUGAUUGCAAACCUGAUACGUAUGAUCUAAGAAACCAGCAAGAAACGAGUUUCGACUCUCUGUUGAAAUAGAAAAACUUAAGAAGGUUCUGUCCAUUUACCGGUUCGGUGACAACAGCUUCGGAGGAUUCGCUGAAACUUCUGAAGUGUCAAGGGUAAGAACAUUACUUCCACAAACAAAACCCAGUCACAGGAGCGAAGGCAGUGGAAUUAUUAGCACUCUUCACCUUUUUCCACCUGGAGACUCAGAGGGCGAUUCCAGUGGACUAGAUGACAUCCCCUGCAAAAUAGACACUCACCAAUUCUAAUGCAUUACAAAAUAGCAUCCCCAUAAUUGUAUUUGCAACACCCUAUUGAAGAGGUCUAAGGUAUUACUUGGAAGUGAAGAGCAAACAAUAGAAAGGAACCUCAGAUGAUUUCCCUUAUGAAUUGAGAAGUGGCUGGUUUUAUUGGUUUACCUGUUCUGUGACAACAGUUUCUGAGGAUUCUCUGAAACUUCUAAAGUGUCAAGAGUAAGAACGUUACUUUCCACAAACAACCCAGUCACAGGAGCAAGUAUAAUGGCGCUAUUAACACUCUUCACCUUUUCUCACUUGGAGACUGAAAGAGCCGUUUCGAUGGACUAAAUGGCAUUAAAUUGGCAUCUGAUCCCUGCAAUAUACACUCAUGGCUUCUAAUGCAUUACAAAGUAGCAUCCCCAUAAGUAUAUUAGAGCAAACAACAGAAAGGAACCUCAUAUGAUUUCCGUUUCAAGGAUGAAUUGGGAAGUGACUGGUUUUCGGUGCUUUUGCUACAAUGAGCUAAUGAAUGUGCUGCAUCACCUCGCAUUGCUGUAAUUUGCUCAGAGUCUCUCAUGGAACUGAUUUCCUCUGUAGGACUAAAACCAAGUUGAUCUUCUUUGGUUCUCGUGGCCCUGCGCACAUUGACAUCAUGAUCUCUUGAGAGUAUCUAUGGUUUCAAAUACCAGGACAUCAAGUCAGGAUGCAGGUUAGACCUCUUCGUUCUCAAGCUAGAAAGAUAAAAAGCCCUCUUGGCAGAAUUAAGAGGGUUACUGUUCUUCACAUCAACAUUUCUGACCCUUGAAUCCUUAAAAGAUUCCUUGCUUGAAUCACUGAUUUCAGGAUUCACACAUAUCUUAACAAUAGGUGUCAACAACUCAUUUAUACUGCCCAUCUUGCAGAGGGAACUGCAAAAGUUUAGCGCAAGCAGAUUAAGCAUAUGCAAAUUAAUGCUGUGUCAAAGGUCUAGUCCACUAUAUGCAAUCUACUUGCUAGCGUUGGCAAUGUCUAAGACGGGACAUGACAUAACAUGAACAGAAUCAAACAUAAAAUUGAUAUGACAUGACAUUGGCGUAUCCUUUCUGUCAUGCGGGGUUAUUUCAGUCUUGAAAGUAUAUAUCAUUUAAAGGAAUAUCACUCUCCCAUGCCAUGUGACCCAAAGGUUCAAACUGAACAUGAACAUAUCAUGCUACGGCAGAUUUUGAACCCCACUUCCAGGCUUGUAGUCUUCUAGCAGAUAAUUUAGUCAUGUUUUACCAGAGACAAAGAUGCCAAUAUCUACUUCAAAGAAUAGUACGAAAAAUUUAAUGAGCUUUCCUGGCCAAUAAUAAAGGGAGACUUAGACUUGAGAGACAAUUGCAAGUAAAGGUUUAUAAUUUCGGCUGAAAGGGCUUUAAUUUCAUCAACAGCAAGCAAAUAAUCAAGAACAUAUCUACAUGUGUUGAUCAAACUAGAAAUAUACAGCAAUUAGGAAAGUGUCCAAUGUCUCAACGCAAACUAUGAUAUACAAUUAAAAUAAAUAAAAAAUCUCAUUUUACCCUAGUUGAAAGUCCGACGGAACAGAAGAGUAAUAACCAGGGCAUCUUUAUAUCGGGAACAAAUAAACUUUCCCUUUUUUUAUUUUGAGUUAGUGUGUGGGUGGGGGAGUGGCAGCAGGGAGGAGAUAACUUAAACAUUACUUGUUAGAUACUGUUAAAUGAAGUACAUGGGAAAAAUAAAAUGCUAGAAUUUGAACAAAAUUUCAAACAGCUCAACAAUUACAACUCGAUUGGGUACGGAUGCCUCACCUCAGAUGAGAAGUGGGUCUCACACUGAUAUGGCUUCCAGUCAGAGGAGGUUGACUUUUUGUUUGCUCCCUUGCUGGUGAAUUUAGACCAAAAAGCAACUUUCCCCCAACUUGAGAAUCCUUGGCAUUGUUUCCCAACCUGUUGCACAUUGCAUGAACCAUGUGAAGGUAUAAAGCAUAUCAAAGAAACUAAAAUCAAAAAGAAAAUCUUCACCUAGUGUCAUUUAGAUGUACAGAAGCAAGUCUUUUGCUGCUAAAUUGAGUAAGCUUUCUCCCAGUUGAUGGUUCUCGAGAAGACUGACUCUUAAUUUCCUCUGAUCUCUUGGAAAACUUUGAAUGGGCUUGUCCAGGCUCUCUACCAGUAAAGAAAGAGGACGAUAUUUAAGUGCAGGUUCUCCGCUUGGGACAUUUACAUGUUACUAAAAGUGAGCUAAGAAGUGCAAAAACAUUAUGCUGUUGACCCAACAAUCUUUAUACUGAACUCUGGAAGUCACCAUAAAAUGCAUCAACAUGAUAGCAAAAACUCAAUGAAUGAGUGCAUCAGACUGAAAUCACAACAACUUGCAUUCCCCUCCUUAAAAAUUAAGCUACGAUGCAUAAGCUUUCUAAAUUUUCACAAAAUCAACCAUCAAGAGUCCAUGUUUCUUAAAAGGAGCCAUUAAUGGCGCAUUGCUCUAAUUUGGCAUGGCAGAAACUUGCCAAUAUCAUCCUAAUAUAGAUUCCCCCUCAUUCCUCUAAUCACUUAAAGGUAAGGGAUAAAUGGGACAACCUGAAAACAGCCAUUUCACUGUCAUGCACUACUUUGCUUGGGAUAAUACAGGCUGUAUCAUUAAGACUUGUCUCAGGCUUGGCCUCUUCAUCGUGAGCCUUAGUAGCAUUCAAUGAAUCAAGAAUAGGUUUAUUGCUUCCAUUUGCCUUGCCUUCUGCUCCUGGCACAUGUGGCACACUUGAACCUUCUGACUGCAUGUUGCCAUGAGAAUAUGUAGCUUCCCCUAUAAUUUCUUUCCUGUUACUCUGCUCUUCACCCAAAGUGGAAUUUAAACUUUUGAAGAUAGACAAAUCUUUUCUUGGAUGCUCUGGGAUGGUACUUAAAUUUUUGUCAACCCCGGGCUGAAUAUGUACCUCUAUUGGGGCUGUUUUGUCUGACAAAUAAUCUUGUUGGUCAGAUCCUUGAGAACACGUGCUGUUUGUCUUUCGAAAGAAGAUUGUUGUGGAAUUGAAAUUCUACAUGCUGCGGACUUUGGCACCCAAUCAUCCAUUCUUGGGUUUGGCAUAGAAGUUGAAGUUACAGAAGUUCCUACUUGAAUCUCUGAUGUACCCACACAGCACGUUGAUUGAAUAUUAUCAAUCAUAGUGUUAUCCUCACAGGAAUUGCCUCAGGAAGGCGUGUUUCCGAGCCCUGUUGCUCAUUCAUCUCCGAUGAUCUCCCUUUGCUUCCUAUAACCUUCUUCCCACCUUGUUCUUCCUUAGUCAUGGGUGAAUCAAGAUUAAAGCCAUCCAACCUGGAUAGCACAAAUGGCUGCUAAGUUCAUAGAUUGCAAUCACAAGUCAUGACAUUUCCCUUCACUUGAAAAUAUAACCUUAUGUAUCAAACAAUAUGCCAUAAUGUAUAAAUUGUGAAGCUGUCUUACCCAUUAAAAUCAAAGGAGAAAGAAAAUCUUUUCUUAAAAUUUCCUUCAUCAGGUGAUUCUGCUUCAUUUCUGUCCUUGUUUGGAGAUUUCUUAGAUAGGCAGGAGAAAUCAAGAUCCGGCAUGUCCACUUUGAAUGAUGAAAACUUGUUAAAGUCAGCAUCCACGUUAAAAUCGACAUCCCUGAAAAAGGUUAUUUAACAAUCAAUCCACAGAAAACAGAGAUAUAUCCCACUCUCAUAACAAAUAAGAUUGUAACUAGCUUCCAUGCAUGUUCACCAUCAUCCAUCAUUUUAAUAAUUUUUGAAGUGGCUGAAUGAUAUGUAAAGCAUGGCUCACUCGAUCACCACGGGCAGUAUUCUCCACAAAGAGGUAAUUGUACACGGGUGAAUAUACGUAACCAACUCAAGUAUGAAGAUAGAAUAUUAAAGUUACAUUCCACAUCCAUACUGGUUUAUUAUCUAGCUGCCCAUACUUUAUGUUUCACUUACAGUUUAUCAAAGUUGAAUUUCUGUGUUUUGCCUUUGCCAACAGUAUCAACGCUAAAAUCCACUGUGUCAUCUUCUGCCACAGACAACGACUUCCAAGAGGUAAGGAACUCCUUUCCAAAUUCGGCAUCUGUUGAAAUCAGAUUUAACAUUGAGCUAUGACCUACAUAUCUGACCUUCAUAAGACAUGGCCAGAAAUGUGUACAAGCAAUCAUCCUAAUCAAUGACAAGGAUGAAAACCAAUUUUAACAUUAAGAAAGCUUUAAUUUGUUUUCAAGUAGAUGAAAAGUAUGCUGCACUAAUUAUUGACCACAAUAUCCAAAAGAGUCAUGUGUCAGGCCAUAUUACAAAAAUAACCUAAACAGAUUAUAUAGGUUUAGGAUUGAGAAAUAUGCAUCCUUGUGGUACCAUUCCACCUCUGAAGCAAAUUUACUGUAUUUUGAGAUUUGUCAAGCUUAUACAGAGUACCUAGUAAUGAUUUAUCCUCUUUCUGAUUCACCACUGCAGUUUCCUUAGGUGAAUCUGCCAUCUGCAAGGGAAAGAGUGAGGAAAGCAUAAGAAAAAAGAGAAUUCCAAUGGCCCUUAGAAUUUACAAAAGACAAGGGAGAUUUUAAUUGCAAACCCAUUAGGUUGGCUAUACUACACAGCAACCUCCUCUCUUCGUAAAAGCAACAUCUCUUUGUUAAACAAUUGCAUCCAUAACAUUUUUGCACUUAUCUUAUGCAGAAGCAUCUAUAAACUAACCUAGGAGGGACCUUAGCCAGUCCAUUAAAGUGAAAAACCCACACAUGACAUGUAGACAGUUCAUAAAGGAGCAGCAUCAUUGACUUAUACAAAGUGGUUAGGUGGAGAGUUGCAAGCUCUAAAUUUAAAACCGUGGGGCCAAAAACACCCAUAUAUACGUGCCACUAUCAUAUAUCUGUGAAGAUUCAUUUUUCAUCCUUCCACAAAUGCAAAGGUAAAGGAUCUCCAAUCCGACAGCAUUGAUAAGAUGGACACCUAAUCAGUACAAUAAAGUAACGAUCAUUUCAAGAAUUCUCUGCCUUGGUUCAAAGGGACAUAAGUCUCUCAUACAUUUGAUAUGAAAUGUCUGAAGGAGUUCAACUAGACUGCAAGUGGAAACCACUAUAGCUAUUGCAAAGGAUGAACAAAUGCAGUAUUAAUAAGUUCAUACGGGGGCAAAGCACAGGGCUAAUCCAGUAUAAUCUAUCCCAAGAAAAGAACGCAGAUGCUAUUUUAACAUGAGAAACCAUAGCAUUGAGUCUUAGCCAAUGAAUUAAUGGCUGUCUUAUGACUGCCUAAAAUAUAUAGGUCCUCCUAUCACAUUCAGAUCAUCUGUUUUCCAGUACAGAGAAGUUCAAUUAAAACGAAUGUAAUUGAAAAAAAAAAAUACAUCAGAACAGCUACUUAUCAUGGCAUCAUUUCUACGAAAGCAGAUGCCAAGUAAUAGCAUUGUCUUUGUAUGUAAAUGCUGUAAGUCAUAGUGAUUUCCUCUAGAUAAGCGUCUACAUUGCGCUCAAACUGCAAGGAGCUAUAUACUUCCAGCAAAAGGCUUACAGCAAUUCUGAACGCUAACUUAUCCAGAGGCUUGUUCCACCCAGUUUCUGAAGCCAAAUGCGCCAGAAUAGUCACGGAGGUAUAUCAGAGAGAGAUAAACGCAGCAAUCAAGAAGAAAUACUUUGCUGCGCCUAACCUACAAAAUCAUAGAUGGUGCUCCAACGAACUCGAUAAAGCCAAUCUACAUUGAUCACAAAGAGGUCUUCCGAAAUCAAACGGACCUACUGUGACGGGAGGGUGGGAGACGCAAAACGAACGAACGCGAAACGGCGAGAGACAACUGAACGCGGAAUCAAAGAGGUGAGAGAGUCCGAAGGAACUCCUCAUCAAAUCCACCAUCGGAAAACUAAGCGCGCUCGCGAAGUACCUCCGCUCAACACUACGAAACAAUCAGCGAAAGCCCAUGGUUCAGAGGCACGGAGCAACGAGACACUGAAGAAGCCACGGCCAGAAGAAGAAAUCGACGGAUUGCGAAAGCUCGAGAUCGAUUCGCAUGUCAACAGUACCUUCCUUGCGAUCGCGACAGGGAGCGAGCUCGAGCGUGGGAGAGAGAUAGAGAGAGAGAUCGAUCGACUGAAUUCGAAUGGAGAUGAGAGAGAAGUAAUCUGGUUUUUCUACAGGUUUUUGAAUGGCGACUCUUUAUAUAUAGAGCGAGACGGAGAGUAGCUUUGAAAGAGGCGGGACCGGAAAAGCGACGGAAAUUGGGCGGAGGUUCACUCCAGCGUCGUGUGUUCGCCGAGAGUUUUCUCGACGGGACUGAGAAAAUCCCGAUUUUGCCCCCUAGGGGAAACAUUUUCACUUAACUCCGUUCAUUUCAAGAGAAAAAAAAACUUUAAAAAAUAUUUUUAUAAGAGUAAUCACUUCAAUUGUUUACAAAAAUUCAUAAAAUAUUCACUAAUUAUUUCAAAUGAUAACAAAUGAUUGUUUUUAGAAAAAUAUAAUUGAAACAAUCCAAUUCUGUAAAUUAAAUGAAAUUUGUCUUGAAAAAAAUCCAAUGAACCUACAUAUCUGAAUCCAAAUAAAUCUUGACCGUCGAUCACGUCAAUCCACACUUGGGAACCACAUGAUCAAUCACCUUGAUGGAUUCAGGGCAUGUAAGCUCAAGUCCAGAUAAGCAUCUACCCUCAUAUUGAAAUUCAAUGUGCUAUUGGUUGAUUACCGUGGAAGCUCAUCUCACAUUCCAAGUGUCACAAAAAAAAUUGGGCAUUUCCUCCAGGGGCAACUUAAAAGUUGGAUUGAGCAGGACUUAGAGAAAUUGACAAGAAGAUGAAUAUCUUAUUAUGUUAUAAAAGAGGAUUUCUUUUUUUUAAGUUGUAUAGUGUUGACAUUUGUCGUACCUCAUCUGCUAUAGGAAUGUUGGGCUUAAAGUACCAACAAAAUACCAACAGCCCAUUGAGCUAGUCUAUCACCGGAGUCCUAUCAAAUACGAGUGGGAAAUUCAAAGCCGCCAGUACACUUAAGCCCAAGCCCGUCCUUUGCGAAUUGAUUUAUUACACAAUUGUCUUUUUUAUGUGUAAUGACAAAAACUAUUAGUUAAACUUUUAAAUAAUAAUUAUUUUUCUUAUGGGGACAAUUUUUUUUUUUUUUUUGUCGACAGUCAAGCAUGGUUUUUUCGUCGGAUUUUGUAAAGCUCGUGUCUCUAAUGUGUAAUUAGAGCUAUAAACGAUUGAGUUGAUUGGCCAUGGAAAUAGGUGAUGACCGAGUUCUGACGAGCUCGGGCGAACGUGUUUGGUAUUGCAUAGUGAGUCGGAUUACCUCUUCAACAAUCCCCCCUCUUUUCUUUCGUUUCGAGAUAGUCUACAACCCUCGACUCCGGCAUUUCUGUCAUCCUGAUGUUCUAGGCCUUAAGAGAGCUGAGCGGACAUUUCGACCGUGUCUUAUGCUGCUAGGCAUCGACCGUGCGAAGGAAGGAGUAGAAGCAAUGAAGGUGAAUUUGAAGGAGGAGCGUGAACUGGAGGAACUAGAGGAAUUGGACAGAGAAUCUCAAAGUAAUCAUGAUAACAUGGAAUAACUGAUAUGGAUGUAGAUUCAGCGCAAUUCCAUUUCUUUAGGAAGCUAGGAGUAUUGAAGAGUCUUCACGUUACUCUAAAUAUGCUUGUAAACAGAGAUUUUCACUGGGUACCUAAGUGUCAGACUAUUGAAAUUGCUCACAAAUUUCAUGAUUGCCAAUGUACAAUAGUCUCAAGCUAGAUUAGUAUCAGACUUUGAAGCACUUUUGUAGCAACUUUCAAAUGAAAACUUUUCAUUCUUCAUCAGGAUUUCAUGGGACUGCCAACAUUUUGGCCACCAUUUAUUUCUCCAUGUUGGAAACGCUAGAACUGCGGAAAGAGAAUGAAUCGGGUGUGGCAGUGAGAACAACAGUUUCAACAUCAAUAACGACAAUGACGGCAGCAUCGACAAACGAAGGCUUCGCGAAAGAUGAUCGGGCUCUGCCUACAUCUUUCUCGUGAUCUCAAUCGGUCUAAAAUUAAUCUAUUCUGAGCAUGAAAACAUUUUGAAAACUUGUCUUCAGUAGUUGUUGAAAAAAGCUACGUCAAACUUCGAAGCUUUCUUGGAAGGAUAUUGCAGGGUUCAGGGAAGGUUCCCAGAAGCAUCUCCUUGCCCAAAAGAAACAAAACAAGAACUGAUAUCAUACCAAAAAAAUGGAGACUUCCUUUUCUUUUUUCGACAGGUAAAGUUACUUUUAUUAUUCCGAACAUGGGACCUGCAACUUGCACGCGCAUUUGAACAAGUACUUAGCCACCAAGUUUGAGCAUUCGAUCUAAUAGUCUUCCAUUGUUAAAAAAAAAAAAAAAAAACCGACUUUCGGUUUCAACCAUUUUGCAAGUUCAGGGAAGGUUUCCAGAAGCAUCUCCUAAUCCAAAAGAAACAAAACAAGAAGUGAUUUCGUAUAUAAAGGGCCCGUUUGGUUCGGCUUUGGGGGAAUGCCAUUUGGAGAAUGCAAAUAUCUUUGAGAGAAAGAGGCUUUCGGAAAUGUUAGACCGUUUGGUAAAUUUUAGCAUUGAAAUGCAACUUGGCAAAAACACCGUUUGGCAAACUUUGCAUUUGGAAUUAGCUUUUGGUAUUUUUUAAUUUCUUUAAAAUCUGAAAUCAAAUCCGGCGGCCGGCCACUGCCGGCCAACCGCCGGCGACCGCCGGACGGCCAGAUCUGGCCGUCGCCGGACCACCAGAUCUGGCCGCCGGAGGUCGCGGAGGCCAGAUCUGGCCUCAAGACCGCCAGAUCUGGCCGCCGAACGGCCAGAUCUGGCCUCGCCUGGUCGCCUGGCUCGCGCGAGACCAGGCGACGCCGGCCGAGGUCGGGCGACCUCAGGCGGCGUCGCUGGCUCGCGCGAGACCAGGCGACGCCGGCCGAGGUUGGGCGACCUCAGGCGGCGUCGCUGGCUCGCGCGAGACCAGGCGACGCCGGCCGAGGUCGGGCGACCUCAGGCGGCGUCGCGUGGCUCGCGCGAGACCAGGCGACCGAAUCUGGUCGGGUGCUCCGAGCACUGCUCAGCCCGUUGCGUGGGUCGCGCGACCCAGGCGACGCCGCCUGAGGCCGCGACCCACGCGACGGCGGUGCGUGGCGACGGCGGUGCGUGGGCGACCAGCUCCAGCUGGUUGAGCUCCGCCGGCUAAAGCUUCGAUCUUGAAGAAACGAUGAAGACGAGGAAGACGAUGAACAGUUACUUUUGAGGGUAAAAGAAGAAAACUAAAUUAUCAAUGAGGGCAAAAGUGGAAGAAAAAAAAAAUCAUUAAACCCCUUCAGCAUGCCGAAAAUGCUGAAUGCCCAAAGCAGGUCCCCACCUGCUUUGGGCUUUCAGCAUUCCAAAGGCAAACAUUUUGCCAAGUAGCCUUUGAAAGCCGAACCAAACACCCUAAAAUUUUUCCCAAGGGGCUUUGGGGGCUCAAAGCCCCUUGGGAAAGCCGAACCAAACGCCCCCAAAAUGGAGACGACUUUUUUUAUUCUUUUUUUUUUUCCGAUAGGUAAGAUACUUUUAUUAGCCCGAUAUAAGGAAAGGGUGGAUCAAAGAGAAUAAAUAAAAUAUUGUGUGCAAAAAAGCAAAGAAAAUAAAAAAGUAAUAAUACUUGGAAUGAGGUAAAUUAAUGCAUAAUGAAAGUUUAAUUCCUUGAUUUCCACGUAUGUUAUGCCAUAAUCACUUUCUUCCGAACUGUUGCACAUGGGGCCUGCAACUGCACGCGCGACAAGCCAGCCAGCUGUGAACGUCCUCAGUUGGCUUCUGCUAAUGGGGCCUUCAACUGCGUGACUGCUUUCACAAGUGUGUCGACCACAACUUUAGUUUUUUAUUUUUUAUCAUCGACCAAUAGCAUUCGAUCUUAUGGUCUUCGUCGUAAAAAAUUGCUACAUCCUGUUUCCACCAUCUUUUCAUAGACCCAUAGAAUUCUCCUGUAACUACAUUAUUUGCUCAUAACGUGUUGACGCGGAAUAUUUUCUGUUUCCACCAUCUUUUCUUAGACCCAUAGAAUUCUCCUAUAACUACAUUAUUUGCUCUUAACGUGUUGACGCGGAAUAUUUCUUUGCUGAAGAUCAUCGAGUGAGAGAGGGAGAGAGGGAAAGAGAGGUCUGCUUAGCUGAGCAAAUUACUGCUAUGGCAAGCUCAGAUGCUGGAACAUCAUUGGGAAGCAAGUACCAAGUGUUUUUUGAGUUUUAGAGGACCCGACACUCGAACUGGAUUUACUGAUGUCCUCUUUCAUAGCUUGUUUGACGCUGGAAUCGACGUGUUUCGAGAUGAUGAAGAACUCCGUGUCGGUGAAAGAAUCGAUGAAUCACUGCUGCAAGCGAUCAACAACUCCAGGAUCUACAUACCGGUCUUCUCUCAGAACUAUGCUUCGAGCCAAUGGUGCCUUUGCGAGCUCGCACAGAUCGUGGCAAACACCUUGAAAUCUGAAGGUAAUAAAGAGAUCCUACCUAUUUUCUUUGACGUGGAACCUAAUGAUGUUAAAUUGAAGACCCCACUAUAUCACAAUGCCAUACUCAAUUUGGAGCACGAGAAGAAGUUGAGCAAUGAGCAAGUAAAUGUUUGGAGAGAGGCCCUCAUGGAGGUUGAUGCCAUAAAGGGGUGGGAGGUGAAGAAAUACAAAGGGUAAGCUAGCUAUUUUCAAGACACUUGUUUCCCCAAUUUUCCUUAACACUUAAUAAUAGAUCUCAAAAUUCUAGUAUGAUUGAGGUGGGAGUUUUAUUAUAGUAAUACUAAAUGAUGAAUCUUUACGUCUGCAAAACAAAAUGUGAAGACAUAAUAUUCAACUUCUACAGUUGUUGCUUGACAAUUGCAUAAAUUUUUAUACAACAAUUUUGCUCGAAAAUCCCAAGAUUGCUACUCUCAUGUUGAAAUCAAGUUGAAUUUCGGGUCAUGACAUAGCAUCAACGUUGUCAAGGGCCUAAAAGUAUGUUUUGGAGAGACCUUAAUCUCCAAUAUGGACUUUUAGAAUAUCACUCCUAGAUUUAAGGUCCCAUUACUUAUCAGAUCAUUGUGUAGUUUAUCCAGUGUUUGAAUGACAUCACUUCUAGUUAGGUAAUCGUGAAUUUUCUCACUAAAAUGGAUUUUCAUUGUGGCAGCCACGGAGAACUAAUCAAAUUGGUAGUUGCAAAGGUCGUGGAAUGUUUGAAGUCAAAACAUAGAUUGGUGACUAAAUAUUUAGUUGGAAUUGACAAUCAAGUAGUAGCAGUAAGCAAAUUAUUAGAUGUCAAUUCCGAUGGUGUGAGACUCGUUAAAAUUUAUGGCAUGGGAGGUAUUGGAAAAACUACACUUGCCAAGGUCAUCUUCAACCUACUUUCUUCUCAUUUUGGAAAGUGUUGUUGUUUCCUUGAAGACGUUCGAGAGAAGUCAUCAAGAACCGAUGGCUUAGUUGACUUGCAAAAAAGGUUACUAUCCGAAAUCGGUCAUCCUGUAGGAACAAAGAGCAUUGAUGAAAUUGAUUAUGGAAUUAAGAGGAUUGAAGAAAUACUUCGUAAUAAGAAAGUCCUUAUUGUACUCGAUGAUGUUGAUAACAACAAACAAGUGGAGAAAUUAGUUGGAAACAGUACUUUAUUUUCUGGAUCCAGGAUAUUGAUUACAACUAGAAAUAAAGAUAUCUUGCAAGUCAAUAGACAAAAGUAUCAGAUUUUGGAUUAUGAAAUGGAGAUGAUGAGUGCUGGACAUGCACUUGAGCUUUUCAGUAGUCAUGCAUUUAACACAGACUUUCCUUCAGAUGAUUACGAUUAUCUUUCAAGGGAGAUUGUAUUUGCUACUGGGAGACUUCCGUUGGCUCUUGAGGUGAUUGGUUCGUUCCUCUGCCACAAAUCGCAAGAACAAUGGAAAGAGACAUUGCAUAAGUUAAGAAGAGCACCUCAUGAGGAUGUUUUUGGAAAGUUGAAGAUUAGCUAUGAUGCCUUAAAUUUCGAGCAACAACAAAUUUUUCUCGAUAUUGCAUGCUUUUUCAUUGAUGAAGAUAAGGCAAAUGCAAUCUACCUAUGGAAAGGUUGUAAGCUUUCCCCAAAUACAGGAGUUGCUGCCCUCAUUGACAUGUCUUUGGUAAAGAUUGUGGAGAAUGAUAAGUUUUGGGUGCACGAUCAACUUAGAGAUAUGGGAAGAAAAAUUGUUCUCCUAGAAGAUCCAGAAAAUCCUGAGGAGCGGAGUAGGAUAUGGAUUUGUGAGCAAGCUCUUAAUGCAAUAAGACCAAAGCAGGUAAAGCACUUAUGGAGAGAUCUAACUAGUUUUUCCAAUAUAUUCCACUCCACUGUACCUUCUUGGGUUUUUUUUUUUUCCUUUCCUUUUUAUAAUCCUUUGGCUCUAUGAGAUAGAAUAUUGAUAUCGCUCAUUUCCUAUUCUCAUUUGUAGAUAAACAAGAAAGUUCAAGCACUAUCUCUUUAUUCAUCUAGACAAAGUAUGUGUGAUGUCUUUGUUUGAAUUAAAUGGAUUGGAAGGUUGGAACAUCUAAGAUUCCUUAAAUUAUCUCACUUAGCCCUUGUUGGAGAUGCAACAUAUCGCCUUCCCAAUUCAACAUUGAUUUCUUUGAGUUAUUUUCUGCAAAAAUGGACCAACACGUGCCUAAAGAAUUUAGUCGUUCUUGAAUUUGUCAACGUUACUUUCCUUGGUAAUUCGGAAAUCUCAAUCAAGGUGCGUAAUAUUCUUAUUCCUAUUUUAUUUUCUUGGAAAGUAAUAUUCGAUUGUUCAUCUAUUGAGUAUUGCUUUCAUUUUGACAGAUGGCAACAAAAUUGAAAGUUCUUUCUUUCAAAUAUUGUCAAAACAUAUUCAAAACACCUGACUUCUCUAGAUGCCCGAAUUUAGAGAAGCUUACUUUCGAACGUUGUGACAAUUUGAGGAAAAUCAAUGGCUCUAUUGGGAAGUUGAAGCGUCUGAUUGAUUUCAAGAUUGGUAGCUGCAAUUCUCUUAAACAUUUGCCUGAAGAAAUCGGUGACCUAGUGAAUCUACAGUAUUUCUUUGUACGCUGUAAUGAAAUGAAGAAACUCCCAAAUUCCAUGUGGAAGUUGAAAUUAUUACGUGAGUUGUUCUUUCAAGGUUGCACUUCUCGUAAUUUAGAUUCAGCAAAUUCAUGGGAAUUACCUUGUGUUAUUGGAAAGCUCCAGAAUCUGGAAGUGCUUCAAGUCAUUAGUUCCUCUUUAAAAGGUCGAAUUCCUUCUGAAAUUGGAAGUUUGCCCUUUCUAAGAAUCUUGAAUCUAUCAAGAACUCAUGUAUGUGAACUUCCAGAGACCAUCAGCAUGCUUCCUUGCCUACAAAGAAUUGAGUUGAUGGAAUGCACUAAUAUUCAAGAGUUGCCGACCCUCCCAACAAGUUUAACCCAUCUAAAAGUGUCAUCUCAACUGUUGCGGGUAGUCUCGGAUCUUUCGAACUUGACUAAUUUGGUUGAGUUGUAUCUAGUUGAUGAUGGAAUAGUAAGAGAUAAACUUUGUAUCGAUGAGUUACAGUGGAUUGGGAAGUUAUCCAAACUGACCAAAUUGAGCUUUGGAUUUCACAAUGUCCCUAUUCCUAUUGAGAUGGCUUCCCUUCCUGUGCUGAACGAACUUUAUUUGGAUGGAUUCAACCUACAAACCUUUCCGCAACUACCACUAUCUCUGGAAAAGCUAACGCUUAGAAAUUUCAAUUCAAUUGUGCCACUCUCUCUGAACCUAAGAAAUUUGUUAUAUUUAGAGCUGUAUGAUUCUCCAAUGCAAGAAAUACAACUUGAUGGGCUUCAACUUCCACAGCUAAAGAAGUUGUGGGUGGAAGGCUGGCAACACCUAGAAAGGUUGAGGCUAUCAAGAAUGAGGAAGCUGAACAAUGUCAAGGUGAAAUUGUGUUAUGAAGUUAGUUGAGAUCCAAUUUUCUUGGGUGUUCGAAUCACUGGAGGUAUUGACUAUUACCAAUAGCGAGUCCUUGGAAAGGAUAGUUUACGAUAAUGAAUUGAUUAGUUGUGAAGAGAGGCUAAUUUUUUCAUCGACGGUCUUAAAUAAGUUGCGUUUUCUCUACAUGUGGAUGUGCCCUAAGAUACUCGACGUUCAAGUUGUGGGUACGUCGGAAUUGUGGGAAAACUUAAUCAUUGAGGAUUGUCAUUACUUGCAACGUCUCGGUGGUUUGUCAAACUUAAAGAACCUAAAGUGUUUAUCAAUCAAGGGCUGCGAGAGGCUACGGGAUGUCGAGGGCGUCGACGAGUUGGAGUUUUUGAACCGUUUAAUACUUGAUGAUUGCAUAUCGUUGGAAAGGUUGAUUGAUGUGUCAACCACCAAACUGCCAAAUGAUUGCCAGGUAGAUAUCGUUAGGGGCAAGAGAUUACCUGGGGUUAAGAAAGGAUUAAGCUGCUUCACCCAGUCCUUCAAGCAUUAUAUGGCGAGUCUUGGAUCAUUCACUCUAUUUCUUUUUUAUAAUUUCUUGACGCAACCGUCCACGAACACCAAUUCAACUCUAAGGUAGAUUUGUAAUAAUGGUGAAAAAUUAAAAAAUAAACAAAAAUCAAUUAAUAUUUGAUCUGACUUAUUUUAAAACCCACUCGAUAUAAGUUUGUUUUAUUUUCAGCUCACGUUUUCUCACUUUCUUUUCUUUUCUUUUCUUUUUUAUGAGAAAGUUCUAUAGUGCAGCAAAUCUAUGGGACAAGGUCAGCUUUUAUCAAAAGUCAUUGGAAAAUUUGCAAUUUUUAGAAAAAAAAAUAUAAAUUAACUCUGAAUAUCUCAUUAAAAUGUUAUUUUCACUUUAUAUGAAAUGAAUUGAUUAUUUAGUAAUUUUUAUGGAAUACACUCCACUUUAGUGUCCUUUCUUACUUAAUACUAUUCAUUAUGGAGAUGAGUUUAGUGAUUUGCAAUUUCCACAAUGAAAAUAGAACACUAAAAGAAUCCUAUACUCAUUGCACAACUUCAAUAAGAAUUUUUUGAGGGAAUUCUUUCAAGAACACAACUUAAAUGGUCCACGGAUCCACAAAUCGACUGACUUAUGUUAUUGAUGGAGUUUAGGAUGCAUGUUCCAAAAGCAUCUGGAAAUAUUUAUUAAGAUUUUUCAUUCUAAAAAAAACAAUGAAAAUCUAAUUUUUGAAAGUCUGCAUCCUCCCCGGUUUUUGACCGUCUUUGUUAAUGGCCACUUUAAACAUCGUUCAGACAUUUAUUUGUUCAGUUGUGAGGCAUUUCAUUUCAUUUCAUUGACCUGCUUCCACUACACUAGAUAGAGAAGGGGAAAAUGAGGAGGAAAUGCUUCGUCUACUAAAUAAAUAAAUAAAUAAAAAACAUAAUGUCGUACUAAUGUCAUGGACAUAGGUAGCAUACGAGUCAAAGACAGAUGGCUGUGAUGUAAAAUUGUUUACAUUUGGUGAAAUGGAAAAUCAAAUUUGUUUGAUGUGCAUAAUCCACAUGUACAAUUUCGUUCUAAUCCUACAUGAUUUACGACAUUUUCUUGUGCGAUAUUGUUUCCUCUUCUAUAUUGAUCCUUUUCUCAUAUUUCAAUCUCAACAAAUAUAGCCAAGACUUGUAUGUAUGACUUUCAUCAGUAUCUUUUGAGGAUUUUAAAGCAACUCCUAUCUAUUUGAUUGCAUUAUUUUAAUCAUGUCAUUCCUUUUUCGAAAGCUUUCUCCUAAAAUUUAUUAUGAUUUUUAUUUUUCAGGAAUCAGGCUUUGAUUUGACAACAUAUUUCGGACGCUUGUGAAGUUCUGAAGGCAACCCGCACGAUAAUUGUUAGAAUGCAGGGACGGAAUUAGCAUAAUAUCUCAUCGGGGUCAAUGCACUGAAGAGUCCAUAGGUUUCCAAUAAUGAUUUCCAGUACCGGGGCAUCAACUUAGGAUGCAGGUGUGACCUCAUCAUUUUCAAGCUAGAAAGAUGAUUUACCCUCGUGGCAGAAUUAAGAGAGUUGAUGUUCUUCACAUCAACAUUUCUUCGAAUCCUCACAGGAUUCCUCGCUUGAAUUAAUUAUUUCAGGAUUGUCCCAUCUCUUUUCGAUUGGUCUUAGACAACUCAUUCAAAUUGCCUGUUUUGCAUGAAGAAUUGCAAAAAGUUUAGCAUAGGCAGAUUAAGCAUAUGCAGAAUAAUGUUAUGUGAAAGGCCUCAUCCAAUAUAUGAAAUCUACUUGUUAAAGCUAGCAAUCUCUCCAAGACGAGAUAUGACAUAACAUGAACAUCAUCAUAUGUAGAACAAAAAUGGCAUGGCAUUGAUACAUCAUACUCUCUCAUUUCACGUGACCCAACAUGAAUAUGUCAAGCAACAGCACAGUGUGAGCCCUAUUUCCAGGCUUGUAUCUUCUAGUAGCUAAUUUAGUCAUACGUAACCAGGGACAAAGAUGUCACUAUCCUCUUUAGAGCAUAUUAUGGUGAAUUUAAUAUAAGCUUUCGUGGCAAAUAAUAAUGGAAGACUUAGACUUGAGAUACAAUUGCAAGUGAAAGUUUACAAUUUCAAUAGUUGAUAUGUAUAUCUAUUUUCUUUACAUAAUAUACAUUGCCAAAAUAAUUAAUCACGGUAGACAGUAGAUGAUAUGUAUUGUUGGUUGAAACGUUAACGCAAGAUUGGCUGUGAUUUUAUUUCUUCAGGAAUCACGUUUUGAUCAGAUUUGGACAUGUUUUGGAGGCUUGUGCAAUUUUGAAGACGACUCGGAUGAGGAUCUUUAGCAUGCAGGGACGGACUGGCAUAUCAGUUUAGUGGGGUCAAUGUACUGAAGAGUCAAAGUUUCUAAGAAUGGUUUCAAAAACCGGGACAUCAAGUUCGGAUGCAGGUGAGACCUCAUCAAUUUCAAGCUCGAUAGAUGAAUUGCCCUCGCGGCUGAUUCAAGGGAAAUGCUGUUCUUCACAUAACAUUUCUGAUACUUGAAUCCUUGUAAGAUUUGUCGCUUGAACUAGUUACUUCUGGAUCAUCGCAUAUAUUUUCGACUAGUUCUAACAACUCAUUCAAAUUGCCCGUCUUGCAUGAAGAGCUGCAAAAAUUUAGUACAAGCAGAUUAAGCAUUUGCAAUAUAAUGUUGUCCAAAAGGUCUAAUCCAACAAAUGAAAAUUACUUGUUAGAGUUGGCAAUGUUUCUAAGACAGUGAUGAUACAACAUGAACAGCAUUAUACAUAGAACAUAUGUGACAUGACAUCGAUACCUCUUUUCAAUAACUAGGAGUUAUUUCAAUCUUAAAAGUAAAUGUUAUUUGAAGGACUAUCCCUCUCCCAUUUUAUGUGACUUAGAAGGUUCAACUCAAAGUUAAAUGAAUCUUACUACAGCAGAUGAUGAACCCUACUUCCAAGCUCGUAGUCUUCCAUUAGAUAAUCCAGUCACAUGUUACCAAAGACAAAGAUGUCAAUAUCCUCCUUAUAGCAUAUUAUGAUGAAUUUAAUAUGAGCUUUCUUGGCAAAUAAUAAUAGAAGACUUAGACUUGAGAUGCAACAGCAAGUAAAACUUAAUGAUUUCAGCUGAAAAGGCUCUAAUUUCACCUAGCAACCAAAUGAUGAGAGAACAUCAAAAGAUUUUUUUACACAUAUCUACAUGGGUUGAUCAAAUAGUAAUAUAAAGCAAUUGGGUGAGUCUCAAAUGUCUCAAUGGAAACUAUGAUAUACAGUCAAACAAAAAGUAUCUCAUUUUACCCUAGAUGUCCAUUCAAUAGCAGAAGAGCGAUAACCAGGGCAACUUUUUAUGGGGAGGAGGUAAAAUCCUUCCAGUCAUCACCUCUGAGGGGCGGGGGUGGCAGCGGGAAGAAGAUAACUUACACAUUACUGACUCACUGUCAGCUACUGUUAAGUACAUGGGGAGAAAGAAAUCAGUAGAAUUUGAGCAAAAUUUCAUUCAGAUCUAAGGUUACAAUUUGAUUGGGUAUAGAUACAUGACCCCAGGUUGAGAAGUGCUUUUCACACUGACAUGGCUUCCUGUCAAAGGAGAUUGACUUUUUGUGUGCUCCCUUGCAAGCGAAUUUAGAUUAACAAGCGACUUUCUCUCAACUUCAGAAUCUUUGGCUUUGUCUCCCAACCUGUUUAACAUUGCGUAAACCAUGUGAUGUUAUAAAGCACUCCAUGUCCAAUCAAAGAAACUGGAACAAAAUAGAAAAAUUUCAUCCUUUCUCAUUUAGAUGCACAGAAGCAAGUCUUUUACUAAUAACUUGAGUAAGCUUUCUCCCGGUGAUAGUUCUAGAGAAGACUAACUCUUGAUUUCCUCUGAUCCAUUGAAUAAAUUUGAGUGGGUUUGUCUAGGCAUCCUACAGGAAAAGAAAGAGCACAAUGCAUGAGCUGCAGGCUCUCUGCUUGGGACAUCAACAUGGUAGUAAAAGUGAACUGAGAAGUGCAAAAAUGUAAUGCAAUCAAUCCACACAAUUUUCUACUCAAAUCUGGAAAUUAUCAUCAAAUGCAUUAACAUGAUAGCCAAAACCCAAUGAAUGAGUGCAUCAAACUGAUGACCACAAGAACUUGUUGUGUUCCUGUCCUUGGAACAUUGAGCUACAGAUGCAUAUUCUUCCUAAAUUUUCAUAAAAUCAACUAUCAAGUCCAUGUUUCUUAAAAAGAGACAUUAAUGACUCAUUGCUCUUAGUAAAUGGCAUAAACUUGCCAAUGUUAUCCUCUUAUAAGUUUUCUGCCCUCUCAUUCCACAAAUCAGUUAAAGGUAAGGGAUAAAGUAGGGUCAACCUGACGACAGCCAUUUCACCGUCAUGCAUUACUUUACUCAGAUGAAGAUUUGUGGCAGGCUUGGCCUCUUCUAUAUCAGCCUUUGUAGCAUUCCAUGUAUCAAGAAAAGGUUUACCGCUUUAGUUUGCCUCACCUUCUGUUCCUGGAACAUGUGACAUACUUAAACCUUCUGAACGUACGUUGCCACAAGAAUAUGUGGCUUCCCCUACCAUUUGUUCCAUGUUACUCUACUCUUCAUAUAAAGCAGAAUUUAAACUUUUGAUGAUAGACAAAUCUUUUCUCAGAAGCUCUAGAAUGGUACUUAAAUUUGUAUCAGCCCUGGGGCUGGAUGUGAAACUUCUCUUGGUACUGUUUUAUCUGAUGUACAACCUUGUUGAUCGGAUUCUUGAGCGCACGUACUGUUUGUCCUAUCCAAAGAAGAUCGUUCUAAGAUUGAAUUUCUACAGACUGCAGAUAAAGUUAGACAUAGAGUUGAAGUUACAGAAAUCUCUACCUAGACUUCUGAUGUUACUCACACAACGUGUUGAUUCAUCAUUUUCAAUGACAGCUUUAUUUUACGGUCUGGAAUUGCCUCAGGAAGGAGACUUUUCAAGCCCUGGUGCUCAUUCAUCUCUGAAAAUCUCCCUUUGCAUCCUAUGACCAUCUUCCCAACUUGUUCUCCCUCAGUCAUGGAUGAAUCAAGAUUAGAGCAGUCCAACGUGGAUAGCACAAAUGACUACUAAGGUCCUAAAUGCAAACACGAGUCAUGAAAUUUGUUUCGAAUGUUUCCUUUUUUUUUGGUAUGAUAUUGUUUCCCCUUUUAAAUAGAUCCCUUCUCGUACUUCAAUCUCAACAAAUGCAGUUAAAACCUACAUAUAUGACUUUUAUCGGUAUUUUUCAAGGAAUUUAGAACAGCUUCUAUCUAUUUUCUUGUGCAUGGUAUUCAUUAACAAAUAGGUCAAACACUGGAUAUUAGUUGAUAUGUAUAACUAAUUGGUUUGACUGCAUAAUCUCAAUCAUUUCUUUCCUUUUCUGAAACUUUCAUGGAAGUGGUUGCGAUUUUAUUGUUCAGGAAUCACACUUUGAUUGGACUACAUGUUUUGGACCCUUGUGAAGUUUGGAAGACAAGUCGUGCAAUGGUUAGCUUGCGGGGAUCGAGCUAGCAUAUUUCUAAGAAUGAUUUCAAAUUCCAAGACAUCAAGUUAGGAGGCAGGUGAGACCUCAUUUUGAGGGAGUACUGUUCUUCAAAUGACAUUUAAAAGAUUCUUUACUUGAAUUAGUGACUUCAGAAUUGAUGCAAAUCUUUUUUGUUGGUUUUGACAACUCAUUCAAAUUGCCUGUCUUGCUUGGAGAAUUGCAAAAGUUUAGUACAAGCAGAUUAAGCAUAUGCAGAAUAAUGUUGUGUCAAUGGACUAAUCCAAUAUACGAAUUCUACUUAUUAGUACUGGCAAUGUCUCUCAAACAUGAAUAUGUCAGGCAUCCUGCUUCUAGCCUUGUAGUCCACUGGUAGUUACUUCAGUCACACUUUACCGUUGCUGUCGGCCCAACCACCACUGACGCCAAGAAGAGGAAAGGAAACUCAGAGGGUUGCGAAGAAGAGGAAAAUAAGAAGAGAGCCUAGAAGUGUGAUUAGUUCCAGUGCGGUCGGUUGUGUCUGCAGCUCGUCGUCACCCAACCACCACCGUUGCCGAGAAGAGGAAAGGAAGCUCAGGCGGUUGUGGAGAAGAGGAAAGGAAGAAGAGGGCCUGGAAGUGUGAUUGGUUCCAGUGCAGCCGAUUGUGUCUGCAGCUCGUCAUUCCGUCAUUCGCCGUCGCUGGGCCUAGUUGGCCGACUCGCCGUCAAAAACAAGGUGAGCCUCACUCCCCCACCCCGCGCUUGCUUGCUUCUCGUACCCUGUAUUUACUUCUACGAACUUAAAAUAGCUAUUUUCGACGUGCGGGUACUUCCCGAUUUCGGCUUUGCAGGCAGGUGGUGAUCGGCAGCAUCAUUCGGGCCUAUCGUUCGCUUAUUGGUUUUGGUGGGGUUUGGCGGUGUUCGAUUUGAACGAAUCUUUGCGAGGUUACCAAAUCGAUGUAAGUGUCUUCACGAAUCUUCGAUUCAUUUUUUUUUUCUGUCUUUUGUUUGGGGGGUGGGGGGUUGGUAGUGAUGGCAGGAGCGCUCUCUGGUCGUCCGAUUAGAUCUGGUCUACAAUGCUAGUCCUUUUGCUGAAGUGAUUUUUCUGAUCGAUUCUCUAAUGUACUGAUGUUGAAGUUUAUUGCAAAUCGAUUUUGCUGGCUUUGUUGCUCCGGUAUAUUCUCCCCCUGUUUCUCUCUAUUGCUAAUAGAUUGCUACUUGUUGAUAGGAGAAAUUCGAAUUAUUUUGAGUACUUGUUGUCCUUCUGUCUAUUACCCCUUAGAAAGAGAGAGAAUAAUAGUAGAUUACAUGUGGUUAACCCAAAUGGUUGUUUAUGUGUCAACAUAUAUUGUAAGUUGGGACAAUACCUUUCAAGUGUACCUAAGUUUACGAGAACCCAUUGUGAUCUUGCAGUUUAAUAAUGCAACAGAAUGUGUCACUUGGGGGCUUAUGUACUUGCAGCAUGUAAUAUGGUUGAAGUACUAACUUUUAGUUGUGAAUGCUGAGAUCUUUCAUCAUGUAAUCUCAAUUUUUUAGUGCUUUGAAGUCUAGACUUGAUAUUACUUACUUUUAGGCUUUUAGGAUACCUAUUACUUACUCAUAGUUUGUCAUACUAUUUUAUUUUAAUUUUAUGAAAUUUACUCAUUCCUAUAUAAAUUAAUUAACUUCAUAUGCAUUACAUCACAAUGAACUUUUGAGACCUUUAGUUUAAUAUCGUCAAAGAGAGAUAUCUGAAAUACUUUUAUUGUCACGAGAAGAAGGACAAGAUCUAUAGUGUGGGAACACUAUAAAUAGACUCUUAAUCAACAAAAAGAUGAAUGUAUACAUUGUGGGCCUUUAUUGUCCAGGGACCGGUUCAAUGCAUCGUCAUCUAGCCAGAUGCAAGCACUUUCCAUACGCAAAAGUCGAGAAAAGGCAAUAGAGUGCAUUGGGUCAGGUUGUUGGGGUCAGUAGUUCUUCUAGUCCAUGGAAAUUUGACCAAGAAUCUAAUAGAAAAGAAUUAGCAAUUAUAUUUAUUCUUGAUGAAUUGCCUUUCAAGUUGGUAGAGUGUGAGGGUUUUCGGUGAUUUGUUAAUAAAAUCCAACUAAACUUCAUAAUCGCCUCGAGUAACACUUUGAGGCGUACAGGGAAGAAAGAAGUAAAUUGAAGAAAUAUUUAAUUGAGACAUCUCCUAGAGUAUGCCUUACAACUGACACUUGGACCUCGUGUUUUAUCUUUGUCCACUUGAGCUUUUGCAAAUGUGCUUUGGAAUUUCAAGGAUGAGCUUACCCGAUUUGUACUGGUUGUUUGAGAACCUCAUUGGAACAAAAUCAGAUCGUGCGAUUUCCCCUUUUUUGGCCAACACUGAGUUUGAUUUAUUAGGAUGCUUGUCAUGCUAUUUAGAUAUAGUAGAGCUACCCAAUGUCAGGACAUAUGCACGGGUUGAUAAUUGUUAAUGUUCAGAGCUAAGCUUGUGCUAAAGUUUAUGCGUAAGCAAUGUAAUCCACAAAAAAAAACCCCCAAAAACCAAAAGCCCAACUCGGUCUAGUUUUUUUGUUUAGGGUCUUAUGUGUUUUAGGUCGGGUCAGAGUGUGCCCCUCAUGAUGGGUCGGAUAACAUCAAAAUCCAACCUGACCCGACCUGACCCAUUGACACCCUUAUUCUACGUAGUUGAACACUAGUCAAGGAAGUAUAUGCAUCGUGUAAAACAAACAAAAAAUGGGAAGAUUCCCAAUGCUCAUCUUCCCAACCUUUUUGGAACGACUAGCUAAUUAUGAGAUGAUUUGGUCUGCUUACCAAGAAAAAGUUAUAAUUAUUGUUUGGUGGUACUACAAUCAUCAUUUGAUACCAAAAAUUGAAGCAACCUCUUUUUUAUAUUUUUAUUAGUAUUAUCUUUUUAAUAUUCAGCAACAUAUCUUUUUCAUUGAUUAUUUUUUUCCUUCCAUUUUCCAUAGAAUGGAAAAGCAAAAAGCACGUAUCUUUUUCAAUCUCAACAAAUUCCGUUAAAACCUACAUAAAUAAAUAGAAACUAUACUAGAGUCCUGGAAAGACAAUAUAUAGAUUAAACACGGUGCUUGAUUUGUUUGCGUAAUUUUAAUCAUUUCAUUCCUCUUUUGAAACUUUCAUGAAAGAUUGGUUGUGAUUUUAUUUUUCAGGAAACAUGCUUCGAUUGGACCUAAACUUGUUUUGGAAGGCUUGGGGUCGAGUGAUGAUUGUCAGCAUGCAGGGACUGACAAGCAUUUUAUAUCAACAUUUUGGGUGACAGGACUCUCUCAAGUCUCGACACUUCUUGCAGUUGCACUUGCUUACCCCGUGAAUUCUUGAACUUUUGUUCAUGGUGGCGGUCGAAGACACCUGGUCGACUCGUUGUGGCUGCUGAGUCCGGUUGGUGUCACAACCGAGUGGAAUUGAAGAAGCCGGUCUCUUUGACGCCUCUUGACUCAUUAGGGCCAUGCUGCAUUUCCAGUUUUCGCCAUCGCCAUUUCUAUUUCCCACGCUUGUUUCAGUUCUCUUUGCUCUUCUUCCUGUGGGUCUCUUCCUGUCUGCGAUUUGCUUGACCAGAAUUCCAUGGACAAGAUAGAAUGGUUUGUUGGGGUUCUAAGUCGUUUCUUUAAUUAUGGAUUGCUUUUUAGCUGUCACAACUGUUUUUGGAACGAGAUCAUUACGGAGCAAUGCAGGACAAGGACUUCGUCUUCACUCUGUCUAACGGCAUGAGACAGAGGAUCUUAUCAUUCCAUGGUUUAUUGGAUUUGAUAUUGGAAUGAGAAUUUAAAUUUCUUUUGCGAUCCUGACUUUAUUCUCUCAACGGUGAAGAGUCUGAAUGUCUGCUAAGAAUGACUGACUUCAAAUACCAGAUUACCAGGACAUCAAGUUAGGAUGCAGGGGAGACCUCAUCAUUUUCAAGCUAGAUAUAUGAAUUGCCCUUGUGGCUGAUUAAAGAGAGGUACUCUUCUUCACAUCAACAUUUCUGAUCCUAAUAUACUCAUUAAUUCCUUGCUUAAAUCAGUUACUUCAGGAUCAAUGUGUAUCUUUUCAAUUGGUUUCGACAGUUCAUUCAAAUUGCCCAUCUUGGAUGGAGAACUGCAAAAGUUUAGUACAAGCAGAUUAAGCAUUUAUGCUGCGUCAAAGGCCUAAUCCAAUGCACGAAAUCUACUAGUUAUAGCCAGGAAUGUCUCAAAGACGGGAUAGGACAUGACAUGAACAGCAUCAUACGUAGAACAGAUACGAUAUGACAAUUGAUACAUCUUUUCUAUAAUCAUAAGUUUUUUGGGCCUUAUAAGUGACCAUUGUCUCAAAGAAUAUCACUCUCCCUUUUCAUUUGACUCAAAAGGUUCAACUCAAACAUGAAUAUCUCAGGCUAGCUAGAGCAGAUUGUGAACCCUACUUCCAGGCUUGUUGUCUUCUAGGAGCUGAUCUAGUCAUAUGUUACCAGAGACAAAGAUGUCAAUAUCCUCUUUAAAGCGUACUAUGGUGAAUUUAAUUGAGCUUUUCUGGAAAGUUAUAAUGGAAGAACUUAUACUUCAGAUACAAUUGCAAGUAAAAAUUAGUAGUUUCAGCUGAAAUGCUAUCAUUUCACCAAUGGCAAGAAAAUGACCAUGGACGUUGGAAGAUUUUUCACAUAUGUAAACAUAUGCAAUUAGGAGAGUGUCUGAUGUCUCAAUGCAAACUACGACAUACAAUUGAACAGAAAAUAUCUCCUUUUACCCUAGUUGGAAGUCCAUUGGAUAGCAGAAGAGUGAUAACCAGAGCACCUUUAUAUGGGAAGGAGGUAAUAUUUUUCCCUUUUUUUCCCCUCUGUAACUAAACAUGAUCAAUGAUAGGAUUAUUCUCACAGUCAGGAAUUGUCUCAGGAAGACGAGAUCUUGAGCCCCAGUGCUGGUUUAUCUCUAAAUAUCAUCCUUUGCUUCCUAUAACCUUCUUUCCACUUUGUUCUCCCUCAGUCAUGGGUGAAUCAAGAUUAAAGCCAUCCAACCUGGAAAGCCUAAAUGACUGCUAAGAUCCUAAAUUGCAAUUGCGAUUCAAGUUUGACCACCAAAAAAAAAAUCACGGGUCAAGACAUCUGUUUCAAAUGUUUCCCUUCAGUCGAAAAUAUAAUCUUAUGUAUUGAAGAAUAAUCCCAUAUGGAUGCAUUUUGAAGCUGUCUUGCUCAUUAGACAAAGAAAAGCUUUUAUUGGAAUUUCCUUCACUAGGUGAUUCUGCUUCAUUUCAGUCUUCGUUGUUUGAAGAUUUCUUAGAUGGGAAGGAAAAAUCAAGAUCUGGCACGUCCACUUUGUGUUGGAGAAAUCUUUCCAGAAGAUUUUGAAGCUGACAAAACAUUUCUAUCAGUCUAGUCUUGAUAUCAUUGGUUUAAAGUCUCAAGACUUUGUAAUCUAAAGUCUCAAGACUCAAGACUCAAGACUCAAUAUUAUUCUCACUGACAGUCUUUUUAAUCCAGUGGCGUAGGAUAUCCGAAGCCGAAGUAUAUGGUUGGGGAUUUGAUCCAAUCCUCUGGAAUAGAUACCUUGGUUGGAUAAUCAUUUUUUAUUCUUUUGAUUCUUAUCUAAGAUCAAUUGAAGAUCUGAUGGUCGACGAAACAUUCUUGGAAUGUUCUAUUCUUGGAAACCAAAAUCCUGAUUGUAUGGGCGAACAGGAUUGAUGGGCUAUCAUCAGAUUCCUUAAAUAGCUCGGAUGAUCUUCUUAAUUGAUUCCGUCCAACGGGUAGAUUGGAGGAAUUCCUUUGGUAAGUGCCAACGGCUAUGAUGGCAUAAAGGAGUAUAAAAGGAAGACGUUCUAGUUGUUCUAAGUGUGUGAUCGAUAGAUAAAUUCCAGAGUCUGAAGAACCUUGAUUGUUAGUCGAGACAGUUCGAGCGAAAUUGUAUACACAGAGAGUGGUUGUACUUGGUGAUACCUUGAGCGAGUGUAGUAGAUCAUCUACAUCGAGAAAUCAAGGAAGAUCAACACUGUAACAUCUCUUUGUUCAUAGUGGAAUCCAGCCAAUCGGCUGUCAGUGCAGAAGAGUGGACGUAGGCUUGAAUCAAGCCGAACCACUAUAAACCUCGUGUUUAAUUCUCUCUUUCCUUUACUCAGUCUUACGAUUGUUUUUAAUCCUUCAUCUGUUUAAGUAUUGCGCAAACUGCAAGAAAAUAUUCAUAAACCUAUUCACCCCCCUCUAGGUACUCGUACUAGCAUUAUCACUUUGAACAAUGACAAUUUGUCAUAAUCAGUAUCCAGGUAAAAUGGACAUCACUGAAAUAGGUUUUUUCAUAUUUAAUCCACAGAAAGCUGAGAUAUAACCCUCUCUCAUAAUAAUGGAGCUUGCAAACAAGCAUUCAUGCAUCUUCAGUGUCCUCCAUCGUUUGGAUGAUAUUUGAAGUGGUGGGAUGUAUGUAAGGCAUGGCUCACUUAAUCACCAUGGGCAUUAUUCUCCACAAAGAAGUAAUUGUACGGGGAAUAUACGUAAUCAACACUAGUUUGAACAUAAGAAUAUCCAAUUUAGAUUCCACAUCCAUACUAGUUUACUAUCUAACAACAUAUACUUUAAUUUUCACUUACAGUUUAUUAAAGUCAAAUUCCUUCAUCCUGCCUUUGCCAACUAUAUCAGAGCUAAAAUCUAUUGUGUCAUCUACUGCCAUGGACGACGACCUCCAGGAGAAAAGGAACUCCAGUCCAAAUUCAGCAUCUGUUGAUUUAUGACCAACAUAUCAGAUUGUCAUAUGACAUGGCCAGAAAUAUGUAUAUACAAUCUUCCUUUUAAAAUUAAGAACGCUUUGAUUUGAUUUUCGAGUAGAUACAAAGCAUGAUGCACUAAGAGAAAGGAGAAUCCCAGUGGCCCCGGAAUUUGCUAAAGAAAGGAAAGAACAAAAUUGGGAACCCCUUUGAGUUGGCUAUAGUACACAGCACCUCCUCUCUUUGUGAAGACAGCAUCUCUUUGUCAAAACAUUGCAGCUAUAACAUUCUUGCACUUAUCUCUUUUGCAGAAGCAUAUGUGAACUAGCCUUUAAGGGACCUCAGCCAGUCUAUUAAAGUUAAGAGCCCAAAAGUUGACAUAUAAACAGUUCAUACAGGAGCAGCACUUACUGAUACAACGUUGUCAGGGGGAGUGUCGCAAGCUUUAAAUUUAAGAUUGAGCGACCAAAAACAUAAACAUUUACAUGCCAUGGUCAUAUGUUUCUGAAGAUUCACUUCUCAUCAAUCCAUAAAUGCAAAUGUAAAGUAUCUUCGAUUUGACAGCAGUAAUUAAAUGGCCAUCUAACCACCCCGACAAUAGUGACGAUCAUUUCAAGAUUUCUUUGCCUUGAUUCAAGUGGGACAUUAGUCUCUCAUACUUCUAAUAAGAAAUGUCUGAAGAGGUUCAACUAUACUGCAAGGGGAUCCACUAUAGCUAUUGCAAAAGAUGAACAAUUGAUGUAUUGAACAGUUCAUAGAGGGGCAAAGCCGAGGGCUAAUCCAAUAUAAUCUAUGCCAAGCAAAGAGCAAAGAUGCUAAUUUAACAUGAGAAAUGAUAGCAUUGAGCUUUAGCAAUAAACUAAGGGCCGUUUUAUGACAGCCUGAAAAAACAUAGGUCCUAUCACAUUCAGAUCAUCCACUUUCCAGCACAAUUAAAUUCAAUUAAAAUGAAUGACUUGUAAAAAUAGAUAUCAGAACAGCUUCUUAUGAUGUCAUCUUUUCUUGGAAAAGAGAUGCUGUGAAAUAGCAUACUCUGUGUAAAAUGUGUGCCCUGAGUAGCGAAAAUUUACUGUCAUACCUCAGAAGUUCAGACUGUGAGCAGGAAAAUGCUGUAAGUCAUAGUGGUUUUGUCUACACAAGCGUUUACAUUACGGUGAAACUGCAAGGGACUAUAGACUUCCAGCAAUGGGCUUAUAGCAAUUCUGAAUAUAAAUUUACAUAUAAGCUUGUUUCAUAGGAAACUACACGACGCAGUUUUGGACGUCAAAUGCGCCAAUACCCAGAGACAUAUUCGAGAGUAAACAUAAUAAUUUAAAAUAUAGAAAUUUUCACUUUGCCCAACCUACAAAAUCAUAGAAGAUGCUCACGAAUGAACACGAUAAAGCAAACCAACACAGAUCACAAAGAGGGCAUUCCUAAAUCAAACUGACCCACUGUGAUGGAGGAUGGACGCGAAAUGAACGUGACAGUGAGAGAGAAGGCACGACAAAGCGAGAGUCCAUCGGAACUCUUCAUUUUGUAUCUCAUCACAUUCACCACCGCAAAACUUUGCGCCCUCACGAAUGACCUCUGUUUUUAACACUACGAAACAAGCAGCGAACACCAAUAUCUCAGAGCUGCGAGCAACGAAGAUGCAACGGAACUCCUAAGAAGCCUCAUAACCGAAGGACAUCGUUCGACAGAUUGAAAAAGCUCAAGAUCAAUGUGCAGGUCAACACAGAAUGAAUUACUAGACUGAGACAAGCAUAGGAUCCACGGGUACCUUACUUGCCAUUGUGACAGCAGGCGAGGUCGAGCGAGGCAGAGAGAGAUCACCUGCAUUCGAGUCGAGAAUUGAUGCUGAACUGAGACGAAACGUGAAUGGAAAUUGAGAUCACUUUUCCCGGACGAGAGAGGAGCGAACUGGUUUUCUGAGGCUUUGAAUGGCAACCGUAUAUAUAGAGUAGCUUCGAAUAAAUUUCCGACUUUGCCCUUCGGUGGGGGUCAUUUUUCACGAAGUUGCCCCCGAUAAUGCUCUAAUAUGUCUCAAAUAGGCCUCACGAUUAAGUCUUGCAUGGGCCUGGAUCCUUUUGAUCCAAACAAAUAUUGGUAGUAGCCACGUGGGCCCACAUUGGCCCCAACAUGAUCAACGGCCCUGACAGAAUUGAGACACGUGGACACGGGAGUAGGGAUCGGAGAAAGCCAAAAGGAAAACAACUUAAUCUACUUUUCUAAUUUUUAAAUAUUUAGCUCAUAUGACCAAACUAACAUUGUCUUCUUUGCCAAUGUAAUCGCAGUUUAAAUGAUAGGACUCUUACAAUUUCAGUGACCAAACUAACAUUGUCUUAUUUGCCAAUGUAAUCGAAGCUUAUAUGAUAGGACUCCCCUCUCCCCAAACAUGGAUUGAUUAAGAAUCAAGGGAUAAUCAAAGUUCUUAUCCUAAGCACCUUCACAAUUUAACACUUGAAAUCAUUGAAAGUAGUUUGAAUUAUGCAUAAAUGUAGUAUCUUGAAGGAUUGCUUCCAUUACAUGUAAAGUUGACAUUUAUCUUCUUAAUCUAGGGCCACAUAGCACAUCAUCCAACCAAUUGCAAGUUGACACGUGAUGUAAUAAAUAUUCAGAAACUACUAAAAUGCACAUGAUUAUGAAUUAAAUUAGCAAUGUAGACUGUAGAAAAUGCAUGAAAAAUAUAACUUGAAGAAGUAUUAUAGAAUCCAAACAGAUUUUGACUGUUGAUUACCUUGGAUCUGUACUUGGAAACCACAUGAUCAAAUGAUCUUGAUGGAUUCGAGAUAUGUAGACUUGCGUCUGGACAAGCAUUUAUCCUCAUGUUGAUAAAAUGUGUGUUGAGCUCGUCGAUUGCUAUUCAAGCCCAUCUCACACGCCUAUUGUCGCACCAAGAAGAGGGCACUUUUGUCUGAGAGUAACUUAAAGCUGGUUUGAGUAGGAAUUAAAAAAAUUCACAAGAAAAAUGUACGUCGUAUCAUUAUAUAAGGAGGAUUUGUUAAAAGUUGUGUUGUAUCACUAUUGGAACAAUGGUUUUAACGUCCCACUAAAGCAUUACCUAUUUGCUGAGCAAGCCCAUCACCGCGGCUUCAGUAGAUAUGACCAAGCCGACGAUUCACCUGAACCAAAGCUUGUCCUGCGUAGAGAGACUAACUAAAAAAAAAAGCUAAGUAAUUAUGUUUAUUUGAGGCUCUGGCGUAUACUUUGCUCCACAAAAUUGAAUGGGUUGUUUUUUUUUUUUUUUUUUUGGCCCCCUUUUUGGUCAUAGAAUGGGUUGGUCGUGCCUCUUGAAUUUUAUGUUGAAUGUCUUACAUUUGUUUUUCUCUGAUUAUUUUUACUACCUCGAAGUUAUUAUGUUUUUGCGAGCUUUAUGAAUAUUUUUAGCAAGCCAUACGUUCGGGUAGGUAAAGAAUGCAUAUAUGCGCGACAAACUUUUCUUCUAGUCAACAAGGAGUUGCGAACGUUUUUAGACGAGACUGGACGAGAAGGGGGGGCAAAGCCCUGCCCUCAUAAAACUACGCGUAGAAAUUGAUCAUGCAAAGGAAGAAGUAGAAGCAAUGAAGAUGAAUUUGAAGGAUAGGGAGCGCGAAAUGGUGGGAACUAGAGGAGACUGCUAACACCUUCACCACCAUUUAUUACUGCGGAAUGGAAAAUUUGCAACCGCAAAAGAGGAUGGACAUCGGUGCAGCAGCGAGUUCAACGGCAUCAACAUCCAUGGCAACAAUGACAAUAGCAUCCAAAAACGAAGGCUUUGAAAAAGUUGAUGAUGGGGGUUUACAUCUUUUGCCCAAAUGGUUUAAGAUUAAUCUGUUCUAAGUCGCACUUAGAUGCUUUCUUAGAAGGACAUGGAGGUUCAGGGAAGAUUCCCAGUAGCAUCUCCUACUUCAAAUGAAACGAAACAAAGAACUAAUUUUGUCCGAUACAAAGACAAAAAACAAGGAACAGCACUAGAAUCAACAGGUGGAGCUACGCCUAGACAUCAUUAAUGAAACAACGAACGACUAAUGAUCAAUUCUCCAAGUCAAUCAUGGUGUCUUAUCAGACGGUACAGACACAAAUUCCCUCCCCCUCAAGAAUAGAGGUGUUAAACGGGUGGAUCAGGUCGGGUUUGAAUCGGGUCAUUAAUGAGUCGAUCCAAAUUAACCCAUUAACCCAUUUAUGACCCAUUUAAGUUUAAUGUAAAUUUUCUGACCCAUACCCAAUCCGACUCAUACCCGACUUGACCCAUAUUAAUAAAAUAUUUUCAUUUUAACCAAAUUUAGAAAAACUUAUUCUUAUAUAUUUUUUAAGAUUAUAUUACUAAAAUAUUUCCAAGCUUAUUUCUUAUAUAUAUUAUUUUUAAAAAUGGUAUUGCUAAAAUAGUUUUAUACAACAAAAAUUUAAUGGACAAUUUUUAUAAUUUUUAAAAUAAUUAUUUUUAAAAAUAUAAUUUUAAUUAUUUUUUAUUUUUUUAAAAAUAAAUUUGUUAUUAUUUUAUUUAUAAAAUAUACUUUUUCUUUUUCUUUUUCUUUUUUCUUUUUCUGUGGCCGACCGUUGGCCACAAGCGAGUCUCGAGCUCGCUCAACGCCGGCGAGCUCGAGGCUCACCAGAUCGGCGAAGCUCGAGCCUCGCCCAACAACGGCGAGCUCGAGUCUUGCCAGAUUGGCAAGGCUCGAGCCUCGCCAGCGUCAGGUGAGCCCGAGCUCGCCCCUCACCGGAUCUGGUGAGGUUCGAGCCUCAUCGGACAUCGGUGAGGCCUUUGCCUUGCCAGAUAUGGCAAGCUCGAGGCUCGCCGGUGUCGGGUGAGCUUGAGCUCACCCCUUGCCAAGCGUCGGGGCCUCACCAGAUCUUGCGAGGGGCGAGCUUGAGGCUUGCCUAACCGGUCGCCGGCCAUCGCCAUGCCGGCGACUAGAGGAAGAAGAAAGAAAAAAAAAAAGGAAAGAAAAAAGAAAAAAUAAUUAUAAUGUCGGUUUUUAUAAAUAAAAAAAAAAUUGCAAAGUUAAAGAGAGAAGAGAAAGGUUGUGACUUGUGAGGUUUUGAGUGAAAAUAAAUGGAUUCAUUUUUAAUGGGUUGAUAAAUAGAUCUUAAAUGGAUCAGAGAGCUGACCCAUAUGAGUCUGACUCAUAUAUCUCAUUCUUGACCCAUAAAACCCAUUAUGGGUGCUUUAGGAAAUAAACCUUGACCCAUUAACGACCCAUUUAAACAUAAAUGGGUCCAUAAAUGGGUUAAUGACCCAUUUUGACACCGAAGCAUAAUCAUCUUGAUUCUCAGGCAGUAAAGAACAUAACGCAGAUCUCUGCUCGUCUUCUUCUGGUGGGCUUUACAUACGUUGCGGUUUGUGGAUGGCAGCAGAGAAUGAUCUCCAUGACUGAAAAACGGAGUCUGUUUCUCUAUUAUUCUUAUAUGCUUUGUUGGGACAUUCUUGUUGCAUUACUUGAAAUUGUAUAGGGUACUUGACCGGCUUUCACUGGUCCUGCGGCCGAUAACCAACGUUAGACAAAGAAUCCACUAACCGCCAUGUUCAUCCUUCUUCAUGUAAAAAAUCUUGUGAAAUAAGAUCAAAUCUUUGUAAAAAUUUGUAACCCAACUUUUCUUUUUGGUCGCACUUUUUGCUUGUCAUCUAGUCUUAUCUUAAAUUCUUGAUAUCACUUUUGCACGAAUUACUUAUUUCGUUCGGAGCAUUACCUAUUGUGUUCGCGUAAAUUAGCAAUAAGGACAAAACUGAUGAUAUUAACUGCAGCACAUUUUAUAUAUUCAAUUAUCAAUUAUCAUAACUUAUAAAUUAACUUGAUUAAUUGAGUAAUAUGUUGAGGAAAAAGCCAUUGCCCACGCAGCACAAUAUGAGUAAUUUCGGGCUUUUUGGUUAACCAAAAUUACUUUUUUGACCCUAAUACUCUUUGUUGGCAAUAUAGGGCUCGAAUGAUAACCAUUUGGCUAGAAAUUAAUUUCUAGAAGAGAAAUAGAUUUUUCUAUUUUUAUUCUUGGAUGAAUUUCCAAGCAAAAAUACGUGUUUAAUAAUGAUAUAAAAUUUCUAUUUCCAAAAUAGAAAUUCGCUUUAUAAAAAUACAAAAUUUCUUCCGCCUAAGUGGUGGUGGACAGCAGACAGAGGCAAAUGUCGGUCGACGACCAGUGGCAGCGGUUGGUGGUUAGCAGAUGAUAAUUGGUGGCUGGCGAUCGAUGGAUGAAGAGUGGUAGCAAACAACGACGACAGCAGUUGAUAGACAACGAUUGAGCAGACGAUAGACAACGGCCAGUAGUGAUGGAUGGGCUACUGGAUAGAAGUAAAGACGAACGAUAAGAAAAAAUUUUAUUUCUCAUUUUUGUUCUAGAAAUAGAGAAGUAAAAAAUUCUGAUUUCUGUUCCAAAUCUAAUUCUAGAGUUAAAAUUUAUUAUAAAAAUAGAAAAAUGAAAUAAUUUUAUCAAAUAGAUUUUUAUUUCAGAAACAUAUUCAGAAUAGAAAAAUAGUUUAGUAUUAGAAAUAUAAUAGUUAUCAUAUACUUUGCUUUUUCUUGCACUUUGCUUUUUGGUCUUCCGAGGAGUCAUCAUGAUUUCAACUUUUAGAAAAGAGGAGAGCCUCUGUUCUUCUUUUCAUACAUUGUGUUUGAUCAUUGACAUGGAUACUCGUUUAGCAAGUAAUUUUUUAAUAAGUUACUACAGUCUUCUCGAAAGUAUCAACUCGUAUUUACACUUCAAAAUUUACUAUAUGCUUUCAUAACCUACCAAGUUUAUCAAACUAGUGUUGAAAACGCUUAGAUUAAAAGCAAAUAAUUUUGAUAUCCAAACUAAUCGUCAUUGUGAUGGCACAGAUUGUUUUCUUCACUCUGUGCCCAGUGGUCGACCUCCAUUAUCAGAACCAGAGCCUCGUUCAGUUGAAACAACUUUGACAAUUGAAGCAUUUUCAUAGCUGAAAACACAUAGGACAUCGUUGAGAAGAUAUAUACCAGUCCAAAAAAAAGUGCACAAGUAAAAUAUCUAUGAAAGGAUGCAAGGGGGAUCAUCGAUCACCUCCAACGAGGUAUGGAACACAUUAUAACAAGAUAUUCAAACCAUGUUCAGACAUCACGCAACAUGCUCGGAAUAUCACGAAAUUAGAUAAAAGAGUGGUGUUCAAAUAAUGAUCCAGUUUCCUAAAGUAGUCCACCACAUUCGUUGUUUUAUCUCCGGCACCAUCAAGCACAUUGUGUGGGUUAGUUGCAUCGGGCGAUGGAUAUUUAAUUAGUAAAAGAAAUAUCAGUCGCUAUCUUUGAAAGUUGCAGAAUCCUAAUAGACUAAAAUUUCAACUCGACAACUAUCAAUGGGAAAGAAUGACCAUAAAAGUUCUAAAUCUAUUAUAAUUAUGCAAAUUCAAUCAUAAUUUUUUUAAUCAAUUAAGUCAUAAACAUUUUCCAAUUAUGCUAGUUUAGUCAAUCUGGCCAAAUUUUACUAGCUAAUGCUUACGUGAUAAUUUUUUAAUAUUUUUUAAAAAUUUUGUAUUAAUUUUUUUUUCCUUUUUCUCUUCUCCCUCCUUUGGCUUCAUUUCUUCGCAAUGGCUGGCGAGGCUCUAGUGAGGCUCACCGACCAUUGAGCAAGGGCUUAGCUUGCCAAUGCCUCAUAGGCCACUACAAGUAAAAGAAGCCAAAGAGGAAGAAGGGAAAAAGGAAAAUGAAAAAGUAAAAAAAUAAAAAUAAAUAAAUAAAUAAAUAAAAUUAAUAAAAAAAUCGAAAAAAAUACUAAAAAAAUGAUUUAAAAAUUUCCAUGUCAGUAUGGAUCGAAAUUGUCGGCUAGCAUCUACCUCAAUGGUGCCCAGCCAAAUUUGGUCGAAUUGACUCAAUUUGUAGAAUUAUAAAAUGUUUAUGAUUAAAUUGGCCUAAAAAAAAAAAUUAUGUCCAUCCAAACUUUUAGUCCAAUCUACUCAAUAAUCUUUUCAGAUCCAGUUUUUGUCGAUAUUCAACUUUGCUUUGAGGCUUCCAUUAUCGGCCUUCUCUUGUUGGAUUGACGUCCUCACCGAAUGUCCUUUUUUUUUUUUUUUUUUUGCUUUUAGCCCGCAAGUGAAAAUGUCCCUUUCUUGGAUUCUUAACAAAUGAUCCACUUAGCAAUCUUUGCAACUUUUUGAUAUAUAAUAUAUAACAGAUAUGUGCAUUUAAGGUCUUAAAACUUGUCACAAAAUUGUAAUUAAGUGCUGAAACUUUACAAAAAGUGCAGUCGAGUCUUAAAAUUUACUAAAUUGGUAUAAUCAAUAUUAAAGGCGUAAGUCAUAGUUCAAUGUUAAAUCCAAACUCAACAGAUGCUGAAUUUGGAAAGGAGUUCCUUACCUACCGAAAGUCGUUGUCUGUGGCAGAAGAUGACGCAGUGGAUUUUAGUUUUGAUACAGUUGGCAAAGGCAAGAUAAAGAAAUUCAACCUUGAUAGACUAUACAUGAACCUUAAAGUAUAGGUAGCUAGUUAAUAAGCCAGUAUGGAUGUGAAAUCUACAUUUAAUAUUAUAUCUUCAUACUUGUGUUGGUUACAUAUACUCACCGGGAGAAUUACCAAAAAAGUCAUAAACCUAUUGCAAUUGUGCCAAUUCAAUCCUAAACUUUUUUUUUGUCCAAUUAGUCCUAAACCUUUUAUAAUUGUGUAAAUUUAGUCCAUCCGGCCAAAAUUGGCCGGCCGACACUGACGUGGACGUCGGCGGGGGACAGCUGGCUGGCGAGGUAAUUUUUUAAUAUUUUUUAAUAUUUUUUUUUUCGAAUUUAUAUAUAUAUUUUUAAUUUUUUUUUUUUUUGCCUUCUUCUCCAUCCUCUGGCCGGACGCCGGCCAGAGGUGAGGGCCGGCGAGGUCAGCCUCGCCGGCCACUGGCAGAGGCGAGCCUCGCCCAGCGACGACGAGGCGGCCGUCGCCAGAUCUAGCGACGCUCAACCUCGCCAUGGUUGGGCGAGGCCGAGCCUCGCCAGCUCUGGCGACGGCCACCUCGCCGGCCACUGGUGAGGGCGAGGGUCGACCUCGCCUAGUGGCCGGCAAGGCUGCCGUCGCCAUCGCCACCUCCACCGCCUCCCCCGUCCCCCCGAUCGUCGGCACGAUCUCCCCCUCCGAGCUCAAGCGGCCCUCCCCGGCCGUGACCGUUGCCAAAACCCUGUUCCAACGCCUCUGGACCGACGAGGACGAGAUCGAGCUCCUCCGUGGGUUCCUCGACUACACCACACAGCGCGGCAGGGCCUUGCCCUUGCCAGUGGCCGGCGAGGGCCGAGCUCGUCGGAUCUGGCGAGGCCGCCGUCACCAGAUCUGGUGAGGCUCGGUCUCAGCCCAGCCAUGGCGAGGUCAAGCCUCGCUAGAUCUAGCAACGGCCGCCUCGCCGUCGCUGGGCGAGGCUCGCCUCCGCUGGGCGAGGCUCGCCUCCGCCAGUGGCCGGAGAGGUCAGCCUCGCCAGCCCUCACCUCUGGCCGGCGUCCGACCAGAGGAAGGAGAAGAAGGCCAAAAAAUAUAUAUAUUUAAAAUAUUUAAAAAUUCGAAAAAAAUAUUAAAGAUAUUAAAAAAUAUUUAAAAAAAUUACCUCGCCGGCCGGCUCCCCACCGGCGUCCACGUCAGUGCCGGCAGGCCAAUUUUGGCCGGAUGGACUGAAUUGGCACAAUUGCAAUAGAUUUAUGACUUUUUUUGGUAAUUCUCCCUAUAUUCACCCCUGUACAAUUACCUCUUUGUGUAAAAUAAUGUCCGUGGUGAUUAAGUGAGGCAUGCUUCACAUACUAUUCAACCACUUCAAAAAUCAUCAAAACGAUGGAUGAUGGUGAAGUUGCAUCAAAGCUUGUUACAAUCUCACUUUUAUGAGAGUGGGAUAUAUCUCUGCUUUCUGUCGAUUGAUUGUUAGAAAACCCUUUUCAGGGAUGUCGAUUUUAACCUGGACGCUGACUUUGACAAGUUUUUAUCUUUCAAAGUGGACAUGCGAGAUCUUGAUUUAUCCUGUCCAUCUAAGAAAUCUCCAAACAAGGAUAGAAGUGAAGUAGAAUCACCCGAUGAAGGAAAUUCCAAGAAAAUAUUUUAUUUGUGCUUUGAUUUUAACGAGUCAGACAGCUUCACAAUGUAUACAUUAGGGCUUAUUCUUUGAUACAUAAGGUUAUAUUUUCAUAAGGUUAUAUUUUCAAGUGAAGGGAAAUUUCAUGACUUGUGAUUUCAAUCUAGGAACUUAGCAAUCAUUUGUGCUAUCCAACUAAUUUCUCCACUUGUUCUUUAUCAUCAACAUCAUCAAGUAUAAUGACAACUUUCUUAUUGCAAAGUACUUGUUGAAUGCUCUUCAUUCUAGAAUCAAUUUCAUUAAUGGUCCUGGUUCUCGCAGGAUGGCUAAUUUUGGAUAAUAACCUUUUAUUGCAAGUCAACUAAGCCAUCCGUUUUCAAUGACUUCGCUCACAUGUCUUCAAGGAAACAACAAUACUUUCCAAAAUGAAAAGAGAGUUGGUUGAAAAUGACUUUGGCUAGAGUAGUUUUACGGAUACCACCCAUGCCAUAUAUUUUAAUGAGUCUCACACCAUUGGAGUCAAUGUCUAAUAAGUUGCUUACUGCUAGUAUUUGCUUGUCAAUUCCAACUAAAUGCUCAGUCACCAAUCUAUGUUUUGUCUUCAAUUUUUUCAGGACCACUUCAGCUACCAAUUCAAUUAGCUCCCCGUGGCUGUUGUGACCAUAGAAACCCAUCUUACCUGGUGAAAAAUGCAAAAUCGUGAUUACCAAGCAAGAAGUGAUGUUAUCCAAGCACUGAAUAAAAUACACAAUGAUCCGAUAAGUAACGGGACCUUAAUAAUCUAGAAGUGAUAUUCUAAAAUGUCGAUAAGAAGACCAUAGGAAAUAUGGGUCGUUGAGAAAGUGGCUGAAACUUGAACAAGGGAGUCAAGUAACUUUUCAUGACGAAGACCAUAAGCUCGAAUGCUAUUGGUCGAUGAGAAAGAGGGCCCGUCUUGAGAAAAUAAUUGUUCGGUGAAUAGGAAAAGAAAAACCAAAAUUGAUGAUGUGAAAUUUCAGCCAGAUUGGAUAUUCUUAGAAAAAUAUAGAAUUUUCUAUUUAUCUAUUUUUCUUUCUCAACUUCUUCUUUCCUUGUAACCACUGUUGAUAUAUAUUGGAUAUUUUUAGGAAAAUCUAAUUUUGUAAUACUCCAAGCAUGUUGCGUGAUGCCUCCGACAUGGCUUGAGUUUCUUCUUAUAAUGUGUUCCAUGCCUUUUUCAAGAUAUUCGAUGAUUCCUUGCAUCCUUCUGUAGAUGUUUUAUUCAUGCACCUUCUUGUGGACAAGCAUAUUUCUUCUCAACGAUGUCCUAUAUGUUUUUGGCUAUGAAAAUGCUUCAAUAGUCAAAGUUGUUUCAAUUGAAUGAGACUUUAGUUCUGAUUAAUGGAGGUCGACUAUUGGGCAUAGAGUGAACAAAAUGAUCCAGGCCAUCUUGGUGACGAUUAAUUUGGAUUUUAAAAUUAUUUGCUUUAAUUUAAGCAUUUUCGACAUUAGUUUGAUAAUAUUGGUAGGUUAUGGAAACAAUUCGUAAAUUUUGAAGUGCAAAUAGGAGUCGAUACUUUCUAAAAACUGUUAUAGUAACUUACUAAUAUAUUACUCGCUAAAUGAAUAUACAUGUCAAUGAUCAAACACCAUGUGUGAAAGGAAGGACAGUGGCUCUCUUCUUUUCUAAAAGUCAAAAUUAUGAUGAUGCCUUGGAAGACCAAGAGGCAAAGUGCUGGGAGUCGCUUAGAAAAAGCAUACUCCUAAAUGGCCGACAAAAAGGUAAAGUUGGUUACCAAAAAAGCCCAAAAUUACUCGGAUUGUGCUGCAUGGACAAUGGCUUUUUCCUGAACAUGUUACUCAAUUAUUCAAGUUAAUUAAUAAGUUAUGAUAAUUGAUAAUUGAAUAUACGAAACGUGCCGCAGUUGAUAUCAUGCUUUGAAAGGAGAACGUAAGUUUUCUUUUGAUUGCCAAUUUACACAAACACGACAGGUUAUAGUGAUAUAAUGAAUUUAGGAUAAGGUUAGCGUCCGACAAUAAUUAUGACAAAAAAGAAAAGUCAGUUGACAAAUUCUACCGAGAUCUGAUCUUAUUCCACGAGAUUUUUUUCACAUGAAGAAGGAUGAACAUAGCGGCUGAUGGAUUCAAAGUCUAAUAUUGGUUACAAGUCCCAGGACCGUGAAAGCCGCUCGAGUACCUAAUACAAUUUCAAGUAAUGAAACAAGAAUAUCCCAACAAAGCAUUGGAGGUCGUUCUCUGCCGCCAUCCACAACCCACAACAUACAUAAAGCACAUCAGAAGAAGACGAACAGAGUUCUGCAUUAUGUUCUUUACUGCAUGAUAAUCAAGAUGAUUAUUCUUCUUGAGGAAAGGGAAUUUGUGUCUGUAUCGUCCGAUAAGACAGCUUGCUUGUAAACAGAGAUUCACUGGGUACCUAGUCUUAAGCUAGAUUAGCAUCAGCCUGUGCAGCACUUUUGUAGCAAUUUUCAAAUGAAAACUUUCAUUCUUCAUCAGGAUAUCUUAGGACUGUCAACAUUUUCGCCCCCAUCUAUUUCUUCAUGUUGGAAACGUUAGAACUACGAAAAGAAAAUGGAAUUGGGCGUGGCCGUGGAGAACAACGGUUUCAAAAUCAAUGACGACAAUGAUGGCAGCAUCCAUGAAUGGAGGCUUUGCAAAAGAUGAUUGGGCUCUACCUACAUCUUUCUUGUGAUCUCAAUUUGUCUAAAAUCAAUCUGUUCUGAACAUGAAAACAUUUGUUUUGAGAACUUGUCUUCAGUAGUUGUUGAAAAAGGCAAUGUCACACUUUGAAGCUUUCUUGGAAGGAUAUUGCAGGGUUCAAGGAAGGUUCCCAGAAGCAUCUCCUUACUCAAAAGAAACAAAACAAGAACUGAUAUUGUACAUAAAACUGAGAUUUUCUUGUUUUUUUUUUUCGACAGGUAAAGUUACUUUUAUUUUUCCAAACAUGGGACCUGCAACUUGCAUGCGCAUUUGAAGAAGUAUUUAGCCACUAACUUUGGUUUUUUUAAUUAUCCGCCAAUAGCAUUCGAUCUAAUGGUCUUCCGUCGAAAAAAAAAAAAAAAAGAUCUUCUGUUUCAAUCAUUUUAUAGGUUCAGGGAAGGUUCCCAGAAGCAUCUCCUAAUUCAAAAGAAACAAAACAAGAACUGAUUUCAUACCUAAAACGGAGACUUUCUUGUUUUUUUUUUUUUUUUCCAACGGGUAAGAUACUUUUAUUAGCCCGAUAUAAGGAAAGGGUGGAUCAAAGAGAAUAAAUAAAAUAUUGUGUGCAAAAAAGCAAAGAAAAUAAAAAAACUAAUCAUACUUGAAAUGAGGUAAAUUAAUGCAUAAUGAAAGUUUAAUUCCUUGACUUCCACGUAUGUCAUGCCAUAAUCUCGUUCUUCCGAACUGUUGCACAUGGGGCCUGCAACUGCACGCGCGACAAGCCAGCUAGCUGUGACCGUCCUCAGAUGUAAACGUUCUCAGUUGGCUUUGGCUCCUGCUAAUGGGGCCUUCAACUGCAUUCACAAGUGUGUCGACCACAACUUUAGUUUUUAUUUUUAAUCAUCGACCAAUAGCAUUCGAUCUUAUGGUCUUCGUCGUAAAAAAUCGCUACAUCCUGUUUCCACCAUCUUUUCAUAGACCCAUAGAAUUCUCCUAUACCUACAUUAUUUGCUCAUAACGUGUUGACGCGGAAUAUUUUCUGUUUCCACCAUCUUUUCCUAGACCCAUAGAAUUCUCCUUACUACAUCAUUUGCUCUUAACGUGUUGACGCGGAAUAUUUCUCUACUGAAGAUCAUCGAGCGAGAGACGGAGAGAGGGAAAGAGAGGUCUGCUUAGCUGUGCAAAUUACUGCUAUGGCAAGCUCCAAUGCUAGAACAUCAUCGGGAAGCAAGUACCAAGUGUUCCUGAGUUUCAGAGGACCUGACACUCGGACUGGAUUUACCGAUGUCCUCUUUCAUAGUUUGACCGAUGCUGGAAUCCACGUGUUUCGAGAUGACGAAGAGCUCCGUGUCGGUGAAAGAAUCGAUGGAGCACUUCUGCAAGCGAUCAACAACUCCAGGAUCUAUAUGCCGGUCUUCUCUCGGAACUAUGCUUCGAGCCAAUGGUGUCUUUGUGAGCUCGCACAGAUCGUGGCAAACACCUCGAAAUCGGAAGGUAAUAAAGAGAUCCUACCUAUUUUCUUUGAUGUGGAACCUAACGAUGUUAAAUUGAAAACCCCACUAUAUCACAAUGCCAUACUCAAUUUGGAGCACAAGAAGAAGUUGAGCAACGAGCAAGUAAAUGUUUGGAGAGAGGCCCUCAUGGAGGUUGAUGCCAUAAAGGGGUGGGAGGUGAAGAAAUACAAAGGGUAAGCUAGCUAUUUUCAAGAUACUUGUUUCCCUAAUUUUCCUUAACACUUAAUAAUAGAUCUCAAAAUUCCAGAAUGAUUGAGGUGGGAUUUUUAUUAUAGUAAUACUAAAUGAUGAAUCUUUACGUCUACAAAACAAAAUAUGAAGACAUGAUAUUCAACUUCUACAGUUGUUGGUUGACAAUUGCACAAAUUUUUAUACAACAAUUUUGCUCGAAAAUCCCAAGAUUGCUACUCUCAUGUUGGAAUCAAGUUGAAUUUCGGGUCAUGACAUAGCAUCAACGUUGUCAAGGGCUUAAAAGUAUGUUUUGGAGAGACGUUAAUGUCCAAUAUGGACUUUUAGAAUAUCACUCCUAGGUUUAAGGUCCCAUUACUUAUCAGAUCAUUGUGUAGUUUAUCCAAUGCUUGAAUGACAUCACUUCUAGUUAGGUAAUCGUGAAUUUUCUCACUAAAAUGGAUUUUCAUUGUGGCAGCCACGGAGAACUAAUCAAAUUGGUAGUUGCGAAGGUUGUGGAAUGUUUGAAGUCAAAACAUAGAUUGGUGACUGAACAUUUAAUUGGAAUCGAUGAUCAAGUAGUAGCAGUAAGCAAAUUAUUAGAUGUCGAUUCCGAUGGUGUGCGACUUGUUAAAAUUUAUGGCAUGGGAGGUAUUGGAAAAACUACACUUGCCAAGGUCAUCUUCAACCGACUUUCUUCUCAUUUUGGAAAGUGUUGUUGUUUCCUUGAAGAUGUUCGAGAGAAGUCAUCAAGAACCGAUGGCUUAGUUCACUUGCAAGAAAGGUUACUAUCCGAAAUCGGUCAUCCUGUAGGAACAAAGAGCAUUGAUGAAAUUGAUUAUGGAAUUAAGAGGAUUGAAGAAAUACUUUGUAAUAAGAAAGUCCUUAUUGUACUCGAUGAUGUUGAUAACAACAAACAAGUGGAGAAAUUAGUUGGAAAUAUUACUUUAUAUUAUGGAUCCAAGAUAUUGAUUACAACUAGAAAUAAAGAUAUCUUGCAAGUCAAUAGACAAAAGUAUCAGAUUUUGGAUUAUGAAAUGGAGGUGAUGAGCGCUAGACAUGCGCUUGAGCUUUUCAGUAGGCAUGCAUUUAACACAGACUUUCCUUCAAAUGAUUAUGAUUAUCUUUCAAGGGAGAUUGUAUUUGCUACCGGGAGACUUCCAUUAGCUCUUGAGGUGAUUGGUUCGUUCCUCUACCACAAACCGCAAGAACUAUGGAAAGAGACAUUGCAUAAGUUAAGAAAAGCACCUCAUGAGGAUGUUUUUCAAAAGUUGAAGAUCAGCUAUGAUGCCUUAAAUUUCGAGCAACAACAAAUUUUUCUCGAUAUUGCAUGCUUUUUCAUCAAUAAAGAUAAGGCGAAUGCAUUCUACCUAUGGAAAGGUUGUGAGUUUUUCCCAAAUACAGGAGUUGCUGC